GUCUUCGUCCUCCAUCACAGCUUUACUUUUGGACAGGAGAGCCAACGAACCUAGGCUUGAAACCACAUUCUUCUCCUGCAACACGAUCUUCUCCUGAGAUUUCAAGAUGCCCACCAGUUUCGCCAAAGAGUAGGAUUUAAAUUGCUCGUGCGCUUUAACUGUGGACACAACUGCUCUCCACUCGGAUCUGAGACCGUUCAAAAAUGUAACCUUCUGCUCAAUAAGCUUCCUUUCGAUGUCAUGUUUGAUCAUCUUGCUAAGAAGAUGAUUGAAGCGAUCGAACGUUUGGGUCACAGUUUCUUCGGCUCCUUGCUUGAAUUCACCAAACUCAGACAAGAGUAAGGUUUGAAUGGAGUGUUCAAGAUCUUCGUCUGUAGAGUACAAUUCACGUAGCCUGUCCCAUAUCUCUUUUGUUGUCGUGCAUGAACUCACCAGCCUAAAAGUAUCAGAUUGAAGAGCGAAUCUGAUCAACCUUAACGCUUUGAUAUUGCACUGAAAUUUAUCUUUUUCGUCUUGCGCAAUAUCUUUAACAUCUUUCAGAAGAUCAUUAUACUCCUUUUGAGUUUUAAUAAUCCUUGAAGUUGCUGAAUGAGAAAAGGGUCCAGAGAUGAUUGCUUUCCAGAUGAGGUAUCCAUUAUCCUCAGAUCCUAUAACGUAAUCUUCAAAGUGAUGCGCCCAGACUUCAUAAUCAUGGGUGUACAGGAUGGGAAUCUUCGUUGUUGAUCCAAUGCUGUUCGAAAUAUUGAUGGGAUUCGAUUGCGACUCGUCCAUAAUGAUCGAAUAACCUGUUCAAAGAUCAGACUUGUAAUAAAUCAAAUUAGGGCAAAACAAUAAAUAUCGAGAUACGUCAAUAAUGAUAUGACGGCUCAAUAAAUAUCAGUAAUUGCGGAAUAACCCUAAUCGAAACCUUUUUCACAAAAAAGAAGUGUAUCGAUUACACAGCCUCCUGCUCUGAUACCAAUUGAUAAGUUAAAAACUAACUUGAAGAUCGAUUAGAUCUAUAAAAACAGGUAAAGAAAUAAACAAGUAAACGGCAAGAACACAAUAAUGGAUCAAACGAUGUCGAAUGAUUAAUAAACAGUCCUCAGAAGAGCUCAAUAAAGAACUUCUACUGUAGAGGAUUAGGGUUUACAAGAACGAUAAAGAAAUCUGCAAAGCUAUCGUAAUGCUAUCAAUCGUAUUCUAGAUCGUUAACCUAACAUGCAUGCAAGCACAUUAUUAUAUACUAAACCCUACAAGCUCACGGUUGGACAGGCCCAAACCGAAGUACAAAACUUGGACUAUAAACCGAGCCCAAUGACGCAAUACAAAAUAAAGCUACGCUACCCAACACGCAUUCAGCCCUCCAGGACCAGUCAUUUGACUGUGACACCAGGGUCAUCGUGCGAGGACUUGGUCAAUUCCAUUUCUGAUCCCCAACAAUAGGCGGUCACACUCUUGAUUCAAUUCAAAGGCUAUAACCCAAAAAAGAACCAUGCAUAUAAUUCAAACCAAGUGCUCCAUUGUUGUCUUGUCCAGAAAUGUUGCUAAAACUCUAGUUGGAUGCAUCCAAAUACCAACCCUGCCAGCACGACAUGCCAAAAAUUAGAUUCUAUGCAGAUCUAAUGUCUCAUAUCGAAAACUGAACAACACUGCCCUAAAUUCUGGAAUCCCAAUAACCAAGGACACCUUCCAAACUCGAGCCGAACUUGAUGAUAGGUUGAAGAAUCCAUUGAACCUCAAAUGAUACAGCUCAAAUUUCCGAAGAGUCUUCACUUUGACGAUGAAUGAAAUAUUGCCCAAUCUAGACUAUAAAUAACAAUCCAUAGAACGAGCUAACAAAUCCCUCAACAACCGAUACUCUACCUGAGCGAUCCUAGCGCCUCCUCAUCUCUUCAUUGGCAUCCCAAAAGGAACCAAUGGCUACAACGACCUCCUUGACCAACUACUUCCUACUGCGAGACAACUUGUGUAUUUCCUAAACACAUACAUCCGAUAACUACUUGCUCUACAUCCCAUACUUGACCAAAUCUUGAACAGAAACCCCGCAUACCCACACCGUAGAUCCAUAUGAACCAUUCUUCCGACACCACAAACUCAAACAGAUUGAUAAUCCUCCUAGCAUAAUACCUAGUUCUCCCUUACUUAGGGUUCGAACUACCACUCACUGGUGUUGCAACAAAACCAUAUAUCGUACCGGCUCGACUCGGUACAAACCAUCCCUAACUCUUGGAAUGUAUGACACAUGCAAGAUGAUCUUCCAAAUAAGGACCAAGCAAACCCAAAGAGAUUCAAAAUCUCAGAUGAAGAACUCAGAAAAUUCCAAUCAAGCCACAUUUAACAUUAAGGGUUUCAUGCAAAUGCAUAAGCAAAACACCAAAUUACUAUCCAAAAACAUACACUCCUCGCCUGAAAUCCCAACCGUCAAUUCAUUGUAAUAGUCGUUCAUAAAUACCAAAAGGCAUCAUUCUCAUAGUCGGGAUACAUUAGAGCAGUGUUCUAAAAGGCGCGCCAUGGCGGGCGCCAAGGCGCGCCAUGGUGUGAGGCGCGGCGUCGCCGUUACGAAAAGCUUCAUAACGUUGUUGUUAGGCGUGGCGCGUGGCAAGGCGUGAUAUGGCGUGCCAUGGCGCGUUAUGGCGUGUUAUGGCGCGUGUUUUUUUGUUUGAGACACGUUUUUUUGCUCUUUUUUAUACCUUUUCUAAUCGGACAUACAAGUAUUGUGUUUUUUAUUAACUUUCUGUUAUUAGUUGUUGAUAUAACACUUCUAAAAACUAGAUAUAUUUGAUAUAAAUUGAUAUUUAUGCGGUAAUAUAAUUAUAAAUUAAUACAACAUCGCCGCCUUACAUCACGCCUUGAAAAACGCCAUGGCUCACCAUAACUCGUUAAGCUUGAGGCUUAGCCUUGCCACCACGCCACGCCUCACGCCUUUUAGAACCUUGCAUUAGAGAUAACAAAAGUUCUCGCUCUCGAUUCGCCUGAAACCAUCGGCUAGCUCCUGGCCUACCUAUAUUCCAAGAAGCAGACCCUUGGUCUCAUCACGAGGCAUCCAUAACACAACAAUCCUCAUGCGUAUUCCCACGCUGUCAUACUGCCGCCAAACACCGCAUCUAACUAGCCCCAUGUUGGGCUUACAUCCGACUCUAUAAGUCACAAAGAUGCUCACUCCUUCUCCGAACAUGGAAAACUAGGAGAAAAUAACCCUUUCCAUAGAUAGUGACAUUCCAGUCCAUCUGUCAAUCACUCAUCCUCCGGCCGAAAUCCUCUAUCCAAUCACGACAUCUACUUCCUUCUUGAGUCCCGCGACUCAAUUGGCACUCCUUUGAGCCAGGCCCUCGGGACCUCAAAUCAAAUGAGUCACCUGGUCCGCACCAUUUAAACCCAACAGACAUGGCCAAUAAAGCCCAAACAAUCACUAGACUCAUCCUCAUCCUGAACAACCAUAACCAGAAGAUCGGCAGAUACAACAAUACUAUCACGAAUCAUGGUAUCAACCAUGUCAUCUACCCCCAACUAGACCCUUGUAAUCCUCAUGACUUCUCUCUAUUCGAGUAUGGAUCCUACGCUUUUAGUAGUAUGGGCCCAAUACUACAUUCCACACCUUUCUAUACUUUCCUCAAGAUUCAUCCCAAGUCAUCUAAGUUACUUGCUUAAUAUAGUACUUCCAACACCCACUAAACAGCAUAGCAACCACACUAAAGCACUUCCUAGAUUCUCCUAGGAUUCCCCACCUCCCUGCCAUUAGCUGCUGAAGAACCCCUAUUAAUGUCAGCUAACCACUUCAUGAAUACAAUUACAUGCAACAAAACUUAAAUAAUCUUUCGACUAAAAGACUCAACCCUACAACGUUUAGAGUCAGACGAGAGUUGUGCAAUUGGACCAAAUCCUUCACUCUAGGAUUAUUUAACCUUCAUAACAUGUAACUUUAAUGUAUCAUUUUAUAGUUAACUCACAUCAAUAAGAGAUCUACAAAGCACAGAGCAGGAAACAUUCGAGCAGUGGAUUCGACUGGCAUUAAGACACAAUAAAAUCAGACAGGUCCUCAUUCGAAAUUCCCAACCUCUAGGCACAAGCAUCUAGGAUACACCUUUAUCAUGUCCUCACUCUCUCAUGAGUGGCUAAUCAUUCCCCACGCUGACCUGCUAUGAACUACACCCACUCAUUAAACUUUUACCAACCCUACAUCCACUUGUGAAUUCUAAUCAUAAAUAACGUUGGAUCCCAUAAACAGUCGAAUACUUGACUCAACCCCAAGUCAUUUAUCAGAAAAGAACAUGAAAUAAAUCAAAAUAAAAUAUUCUCAUACUAUAGAAUCUUUGUUAUGUACAACUAUGAAUGAUGCACACACAAAACACCUAUAAUAAUGAUGUCAAUUUCAUCUAACAUAUAAGAAGUUCUCCUAGGCUAUCAGACAUGAUACAUCAAGCAAUUCUAUCAGGCAAUUCCUGCAGACCCUGAGCCUAUCACUAGCAUGCAGUUCUAUCAUAAUCAUCAUAAACAAGUACCCGUGUGGUAACUUGGGGUAUACUUUCUUGCUACGGCUGAUCAUACGCAUCUCGUCCUUCGUGGUUACUUCUGAAAACAAUUUGAAUUUAAUUUGAAAAUUAUUUGAAAACAAUUUGAAAAUAAUUCGAAGCUUUCAAAGAUCCUUAGUUUGAUUCUAGAUUCACCCGAAUGUUCAUCCAAUUCUCUCAAACUCGGGCUCUGAUUCCAGCUUGUAACAUCCUAAAAAUCAAAGUAAAAUUUUCAUUUAUCAAAAACUACCCCAAGACAAUAACUGUUUACAAAAACAUUGUUUCAAAAGUAUAAUUCAUCAAUCAGAGUAUCCCAAUAUCCAAUACCUUAAAAUCCGAAGGAUGUGCACGAUCAAGCCUUCGCCUUGCCACGAUCAUUGGAAGUACCUGAAACAAUAAACUAAACAGUAAGCACGAAUCUUAGUGAGUUCCCCUAAAGUACCACCACACAAAAAUAUAACAUAUACAAUCAUGCAUGUUGGGUCCAAUCAGUCAUUAGACUGGAAUACCCUUGGGUCCACAACCUCUCCGUUGGAUUACUCUUGGCCCACAACCUCUCCGUUGGAUUACUCUUGGCCCACAACCUCCCAGUUGGAUUACCCCUGGACCACAACCUCCCGGUUGGAUUGCCAUACAUACUACAUAUUGGGUCCAUAACCUCUCAGUUGGAUUACCCCUGGCCCAUAACCUCCUGGUUGGAUUGCCCCGGGUUUGUUGACUGGUAGCACAAAGCAGUACAGUAUCAACCUAACCACACCAUGUCAACAUAUACAUCAAAUAAACAUAUAAACAGUCAGAAGACAAUAAGAAGAUCUACAGAUCACUAGCGCAUAACAUCAUCCUAUAUACUAAGAUACAUAUCUAACAUACCAUUACAACAUAUCAACAUCCUAUAUACCAGGAUACAUAUCUAACAUAUCCCCACAACAAAUCGACAUCCUAUAUAUUAGGAUAUAUGUCUAACUGAUCAGUAUAACAUAUCAACAUCCUAUAUACCAGGAUACAUAACCAAGUGGGGCGACAUUGGUGCCUUCGACCCGCAAGUACAGUAAGGAAACUGACCUCUCAGACCGAACAUAUAGUUGAACGGUCUCUGAUCUGAAUCUCAACUCUAGUCGUUACCUAUUCAUCAAAUACUGAACAAUCUCAAAUACAACUCAAAAUAUCUAAAAACCCUUAGGUCAAACUUGGUCAAGAUUCAACGGUCAAGAGUCAAAGUCAACUAUAGCACGUCGCCAUGCCAUGACCAUCCUUAGCCACGUCGUGGCCACUAAACGAAAAAACAAAUGGGCCUCGAUCCAAUCUCUACACCAUGGUAACCCGAGCCCCGCUUUGGGGACUGAUCUGGGCAACUUAAACCAUUAAGUCACUUUCAUUUCCAACUUUAAGGGCUCCAAAAUUAGAUCUGGUCCUUUCAAAGGUCCAAGUGUUCCAAAUUUAUCCCUUUAGACACUCCAAGUGAUAGAGAUCUCACUCCAAGGUCUAAAUAAGGAAAAAAUAUAACAUGGAUUAUUCAAUAAGCACUUAUCCUAGAAAGUCUAUUGACCAAUAACUCCAAAAGGGUUUGUAGCAUCAUUUCCAUCAUAAAAAUUCGUGCUUUUUAGGCAUGCAUGUCCAAUGCAUGCCUUGAACUCUCAUUAGGUCAAAACAAGGGUAAAAGUGCCAAGAUUCCAUGCAUGACCUCCAAACUCAAUUCUACUUUAGAUUUAAAGAGCCAAAUACUCCAAAUGGCCUAAGGAUUUAUAAAGUUGCAAACUUUAUGAGAUCCUACCCUCUAAAAUCCACAAGAUAUGAAGACAAAGGACCAAAAUCCAAGAUCUACCAACUUGGAAAGGAAAGUAUUGAGUCUUCAACACUCACCCAAGUCUAGAAGAUGUAUAUGUUGCUAACAAGGUGAUAAACCACACCAGUGACUUCCUUCUCCUUCAAAGUAUACCAAAAAUGAACUUUCAAGAGUGAUGGAGGCCAAGGUUUCAAGAUGGGGAGGUGGAGGCUGAAGGAGAUAACCUAGAGAGGGAGUUAAGGCGUUUAUAUAUAAGGGAAACCCUAAAAAUCCUAGAUUUGAGUUUCAGCGGCUGUUACAUCGUAGCCUUCUGAUGCUACUGAUGGGUUUGAGCCAAAAGAACAUCCUAUGUGCUCAUGUAAACCCUAAUGCUUGGAUCUAGGUUUCUCUAAUUGUACAUGAAUUCAUCCAAGACUUUCAAACCCUAGAUCUAAUGAGUAUAAUUUGAAAUUAAUGUGACAAAUUAGAUCUAGAUGAUUACCUCUUGUUGCUUGCUUGAAUCUUCUUGUCUUUGAAGCUUAGAGUCACAAGUGUCACUCCUCUAAUGGCUUACAAACACUAAUAGCAAAAAAAUGAUCUUGGAGAGAGGUUGCAAGAGGCAAAGUUUCGGCUAUGAUCUUUCUAGGGUUUCAAGUGACCGCAAAUUGUAAGCCUUAGGGUCCUAUUUAUACUGGAGCUGCUAGGGUUUCAGCCUAAACCCUAAUGGACAACUUAGGCCUUAAGCUAUCCAAGGAAGAUUCUGGAAUAGGGCCUUGUGGCCAAAAUUAUGGAUGAACACAUCCUAAUUUCGUCCAUGCCUAGCCCAAGAGGUUCCUCAGCCCAAUACUCAACUAUCACACAUUUGGCAGUUUAAGUCCAUGUUAUUAAAUUAAUGUCUUUUAGCCACAAAAUUAAUUCGUAAUAAUUCUUGACUAAUAUUAAUUUAAUUAUAUGAUUUCUCCAUUAAUAUAUUAUUCAUAUAACAUAUUAAUAAAUCAUAAACAACCUCUUUCUUAAUAAAUCAUCUUAUCAUGUUGCUUCGGUGAAGACAACCUAAAAGGACCAAGCACAACCGGGUCAAGUACUUGCCAAAUAUAGUUAUGGGCUUAAACACUAAUCCAACAGCUACGUUGUGACACCUACCAAGACACACGUUCAUUAAAUUUCAUGACACACCGUGGGUACCAUGCCCCACGUCAUGGCUGAGCAUUUCCUCCAAAUCCUUAUUAUGAUUUCUUAAUUAUUCUCCCAACCAUCUUGGGUCACGGGUGUUACUGCUAAAUCAAUGAUUGUUUCUGCUACCUUUAGCAAGUGUACCGAUGCUAAUAAAACCCAAUACUAUUGGUUUCGUCUGAGUAUUAGUUGUUUUUUGGGCUUGUUCCAUUAUGGGGCCUAAGAAUUUGGGUAGGACCAUGAAUCGAUGGCAUCCGGUAAGGCUCUCGACCCAAGUAUAAAUGAUAAAUACAUGAAUGGAAGUAGUUAGCCUAAGUCUGUAAGGGGGAAAAAUGUGUUACUAGAGGGAGGAAAAUGUCCUCUAGGUUGCGGCGAGGAAUGACGACCAUGAUUAUUUCCUCACCAAUUAUUGGGAGGGGGGGUGGGGGUCCCAAUGAAUAUAUCUGAUCUCAUGACAUGUCAACAAGAUAUGUAUGGUUAGACAGGGUAGCGAGAGUAGGGAUGGGCAUAUAUGGUGGAUAGGUCUUAUCCAAUUUUGUGAUGGGCUUCAAUUUCUAAUAUACUUUAAGCAAUAAUGAAUGUAGGAAGUGUUUUGGUGAAUAUAUGAUGCUACAAUAUCGUAUCUGUCCACGAAACCCCGGACAAGUUGUAAGGCCGAUUGUUGUUUGUUGACUUCGGUGUAGAUGUUGCACGUUCUUUGGAUGUAUCUCGAAGAUAUUGAUAAUAUUCUAGAAAAUAGGGCAUUAUUUCAAGUUUAAGGUUGUCGAACUUGUGUUCAGGAGCAUAAGCAUUAGUGCCUUUGUUGUUAAGGAAAAUAUUAUUGACUUAUACCCAUGCCUUGUGCAUGGGAAAUGGAUUCUUGUUCAAGGACCCGGACGAGUAUGUCUUUAGAUAAAAAGGGUUCCAUAAAUCUAUUGCAUGCAAAACAUGUGUAUCAAUUUCUGCCCAUAAAUCAUAGUUCUGGUUUUUGUGGAAGGAGUAGUGCUACCUAAUAGCUUCAUACAUGAAGUUGGAAUCUUUAACCCAUGAAGAUUAUGAUGGCAACCGGUUUUUAAGGACUUUCAACUUUUAGUUUUUAAGAAUAAAUUUGAAUUAAACAAAAAACUUUGUUCAUGAAUAGACGGCUAUAUUUUAUUUUAAACAAAAAACUCAUAAUCCAGAAACUAUUUCAAUUAGUAUUUUAGAGCUUUUCAAUUUUUAUGUUAUUUUACAAAUUUCAAAAGUCAAAAUAUUUUUACCGAACAUUAUACAAAUAAAAAUUAUAAAUUCAACUACAAACAAAUUUUACCAGAAAAACCUAUGAAGGUUGCCACUAGAAAUGUACAAAUGAUAUGAUACGAUUUGAUUUUCAACAAAAAAAAAAAAUGUAUGUCCCUUUCUAGAUUGGAGGACAAUAUAAUCAUUAUGGUGUUUAGUUGGAUAGAAAAUAAAAAAAAAAAAAAAAUUGGUGUUUGUAAUUGGAUUGAUUUGUGUUGUCAAACUUUUAACAUUUUGUAAUUUUGUUUUCGUUUUUUCACCCUUCUUUUGCUUUUAAAGUAGUGAUUUUAUAAUAUCUCCGUUAGUUUAAAAAAAAAAAAAAAAAAAAAAAAAAAAAAAAAAAAAAAAAAAAAACCUCCAAGCCAUGGAAAGUGGGGUAAAAAGGCUCUAAUUGAUUAUUUUCUUUUAUUUAUUUAUUUAUUUUAAAAUAAAACAUAUUAAAAAUAACACAUCAUUUAAUGCUAGCACUCUUUCUUUUAACAACUUGGAUGUUAUUAUAUUCUCAAUCAUACUUGGCUUCAAAAAUUGUUAUAUGGUUUCGAAAAAUCUUAUGUGUGGUAGCAUGCUAAGCAUUCUAGACUCCUUUCAAUCUUAUACGUAUCUUUCGAUAAAUUAUCUACAAAAUCUGUAUUUAUUCACAAUCUUUGAAUGCCAAUGUGAAGUAGUUUUGUGUCAUAAAUCCACUUUUGGACUUUUAAAAUUAAAGAAAAUUCAACCUUACAUCCAUUUAUUUUGCUUUGGUGUCAAUAAGCUAAAAUACAAAUAUUUUAGUUAUUUCAAAUAUCAUGAGCAUAAUGACAAUAUUAUUAAAUCAAUGUAACGGCUUUGUCGGUUAAUUAUAUUAUAAUUUAUGAUAAAUCAUUAUUUUACGGAUGAUCACUAAAAAAUUUAACAAUUUAAAUCAGAGUUAUAUAAUAUUCGCAUCUCAUAUGCUACAAGUUUAAUCACAUAUAGAAUUAUAAAUAAAUUAAAUAUUUUGAGCUUAUUUGCUACGUAAACAUGGCACAAAAAAGAUAUUAAUGUAAUUUUAUACACCUUGUUUACGUGCUUACGUUCAGAUAACAUCUUGCAUGUCUUGAAAAGAAAUAAUCUAUAAAUAUUAAACAAUAUUAAAUUAAAGGUAAAAAAUUAGAUGAUUCAAAUAAUAACUUAAUAUUAAUACGGAUAACCAAAGAGUUUCUAGCCAAGUAAUAUUGUAGUCUAAACAGUUAUCACGAUCAAAAAUAUAAUAGCGGUCACCGACCGCCAUUUGAAAUCACGGUUCUCGCGGCAGUAUAGCGAUGAUAUAACAUUUUUUAUAUUAUUUAGAAUUUAUAUAAAUCAGAGUAUUAAUCAGUAAAUCAUACAUCAAAAUUCAACCAAAUCCAAUUAAUUAGUUAAUCAGUAAAUCAUAAUUCGCAUAUCAUGUUUAGUUAAUCAUAUUUCACAUAUCAUAAUUAGUUAAUCAUACUUUAUAGACCGGUUACCAAUGUCACAUUAAUCAUAUUUUAACAUAAUCAACAAGAAAACAUAUGCAAUACUUACAAUUUUAUCAUAUUUUAACACAAUUACAGUUAGCAAAUAAAAUGAUUAAGUAAUUUGAUAGUUAAUCAUGAUGUAAUACUUUAAGUUUUCAUCACAAUUAGCAACACAACACAUACAUUGUUUCAAUGGAAGUCAUAACAGUAAAAAAAUUACAAUUUUAUUCAAUGGAAUUACGCAAAUUUUGGUUUGGACUAAGUAAAAACAAUUUUGUUUAAUGGAAUGACAUACAAUUUUUUUUAUAUGUAAAAUAGCCUAAAAUUGGAAUUUAUUCAAAUAGUGGUUAUAUCGCCGUUAUAGCGGUGAACAUAAUCGCGGUGAAUAGCGGUAAAUUGCAACGCUAAUAGCGUCAUUGCUAUUCUAAACUGCAAUUUUAAAAUAACAUUUAUUUACCUCCGUUAACCGCUAUAGCGCCGCUAUUGACUACAUACAUUGUAGUAUCCGGUGCCGUAAUAUAGUCGUUUACAACAUAUUUUAACUAUUCCUUCGAGCAAGAAGCAGCAAAAGUAAGUAAAAUUAGUACAGCUGCUUCUAAUAAGAAAUAAAAUAAACAAUAACAAAAGUAGCUUUUAUUUAGUAUACUGCUAUUUUAAACAGGGCAAUCUAGAAAUCGUUGGAAAUAUUAAAAAUAACAUGCAAAGGAAACAAGAACAUUAAUGACAAAUGAUGAUUGCUUCACGAUAGAAAAGGAGUUCGAAUAAUAGAUAAGAUACUUUCUUCCGUGUGCCGCGAAAUUCACCCAACUUUGACCGUCGACAACCCAUCUCUCAAUUUCCUUUCAAAUUGUUUAUGCAGCCACUUUCAUAAAUUCCUUUAGAUUUUUUUUUUUAUUUUUAGUAAGACUAAUAAACGACACGGACCCUAAAUAAUUAUCAAUUUAGUACGGAGCCGAGCAGUUUCAGCCAUGGGUUGUUGGCAAUACCUAGUAAAGGUGGUAAGGCCAUUUAAGAGAAGUCAUGUAUAAAUCGUUGGGAGCUUUCUUUUUCACUCUUCUUUUUUUUUUUUUUACGGUUUGAAAACGGGUCGAAUUUUAAAAAUGAAAAAUUAAUUUUUUUAUCCACUAUAAAUACAACUAUCUACCUCAAAUUUAGGGUUGUUUGAGACUUUUUUUUUUCAAACGACGAAAUAAUAUUAAAACUAGCAAGAAGCUAAAAAAAUAAAUUUUUUUAGAACGGUGAAAGAUUUUGUUAAAAAAAUAGCAAGAGGCUUCAAAAAAGAAAAAUUACAUCAAAAUAAAAGUUAAAACCAGAUUAUGAAACCAAGAAGUUCAUCUGAUCCUAGAAUUACUAGACCUAUUAGAAAUCCAAAAAAAUGUCUUCUCCAUAAUAGCAUCAAAGAGAUCCGAUUUCCUAGGAAUAGUCGAGCCAAAAACAAAAUUAUUUCUAAAAUUCCAAAGACACCAAAAAACCGAAAUAAUCACUGCGUCAAAAACUUUUCUUUGACCAACCCUCAAACUUGUAGAAUCAGUCCACCUCAUGAUAUUGUAAUCUUAUCCGGAACAUCCCACCAAAUAGCAAUAUUGUGACAUCCCCAAAAUUUUUGGCCAGAAAAGACCGAUUUAAUUUAUGUUUUUAAAAUAAAGUCAGAGUAAUCUUCCAAAAUGUGUUGCGGAAUUUGUCCCCAAAACAAAAUAUGAUAAAAAUUUAUCAAAUCAUUUCUUAAAUAAAUGUAUUUUCAUUAUAUAACAAAAUCUCGAGAUGUCAUGUUCUGAUACAGACCAAAAGCAUAAACAGUACAUUAUAAGCCUUUCACCAGUUAUUUACAUCCACAGACCUAUAAUCUAAAAUCACUCGUUAUCAUCCAAUUAUGCUCUGGGUCCACUACCUUUAAUACACAGAAAGCUGAGUGAGUCAGGUUUGGGAGCCUGGUGAGCAUAUAGGGUUUUCAACCCACAAUAAAUAAAUUUAUUAGUUUCAUCAAUCAACAAUAAAUUUAUUAAUUUCAUCAACCAACAAUAACCUUGAUUAUCCGUUCCCGUUAUACUCACUUUACGUCCCUAAACACCUAUCAUAAGGGACCUAGCCUAAAGAUUUUCAUCGGGAUGACAACACUGCUUUAGGGAUUCAUCCACAAUUUAUGUCAAAUAAGGCAACCAUAAGGGGGAUGGAGUAUACCGGUGAACACUAAGUUCAAAAACACCUACAAGUUGCGAGCCUACUAGCGUUCCACUAGACUGUCUAGAAAUGUAUGUGGUCGACAUCUAUACUCCGCUAGAUGACUAUAACAACAACAACAUCGAGAUCUCUCAUCAUUUUAUCACACAUCAACUAUUUCAUUUACCCAUGUUUUACCCAACAUAUUUGUAGAUAAAAAUACAUAUACAAUUUAAAACUUGUAUAAAACAUCUAUUCAACACCCAUCUCAAAUAAACAAACAAUAUAUAUACACAUAGCACGUAUUUUAUAGAAAAUAUUUCAUAUCUAUGUGUAAGAUGAAAGUGACUACACACUCACUUGAUAAGACAGUGAUUGGACAUCACUUCGUCCCUUAAAACAAUCUUCUUUGAUAAAACCGGGAUGUUUUCUCAAAAACCGGGCUUCACGCGGCCAGAGUUUUGUCUCGAAAAAUUCUUUUCUCGGGAUCUUCGGGCUCUCCGUGGCUUGCUUACGAUGCUAGGAUAGUACCCUAGGCUUUGGGGGGUUUAGAAUAGGCUAAAAGGGAGUAGAAGGUGAAAGAGAAUGAAAUUUUGUAACAUUAACUCGCCUGACUUCAGAUCCUAUUUAUAGGGACCGAAGCUUCUCAUUACACUAGGCGUAAUUUUCUGGUACGCGGGGUGUACUGCCUCGCAAGGCUCUUCGCUGGGCGUACACCUUCAUACGCUGGUCAUAGGAGUGGAUUACUUGGGACGUGUCAAGGCUACUAACAUGUAGCAAAGCUAGUCCGAGUACGUUGGGCGUACUCGUUUGUACGCUGCGUGUACAAGAUAUGUGUCCUCUGAUCGGGUUCCGACCUCCGGAGGUGUCAAAGCUACUAACUCGUAGCAAAACUAGUCCGAGUACGUUGGGCGUACUCGUUUGUACGCAGGGCGUACUCCUUCGUGAGUUUAUUUUUCAAACUUCAAAAAUUCGUAAAUUUCGCAUACGAACUCCGUUUUUGACGUUCUUUAUAUCCACGCGUAGGUGAGACCGUGCUCUACAACUUUCGUGUAGACUCCGUCGGCUAAUUUUGACUUUAUUUUUAAAGUUAUAUUUUUAACAGGACGGGACAUGAAAAGUCCGUUAAAAAUUCAUAACUUCUUCAUCCGAUGUCUGUUUUCGUCUGUCUUUAUACCGUUUAACCACUAUCGACGAGAUCUUCGUUUCUCGUUUAGGUUGUGUCGGCUAAAAAGUGGUCGAUCUAAAAUUCGAGUUUCGGGAUGCAUACGGUUAUACCAAAUCUUAGAAAAUUAUAAUUUCCUCAUACGAAGUCAGAUUUGGACAUUCUUUUUAUGUACGCUCUCGGUUUAACGUGUACUACAACUUUCAUUUAGAUCGCUAAGGCUAAAAAACACUUUAUCGUAAAUUCACUUUUUACGUCACACAAUGUCGUGCCAGUUCUGUUGCGAAACCUCGACAGAUCAUAAUUUCUUCGUUAUAACUCGGAUUUCGGUAUUCUUUAUAUAUCCGGAAUCCUUGUUUCAACCACUACAACUUCCUUCUUAGAUAUCGGGUUUAUUUAUUUUCGACACUUAUUUUUAUUCUUAGCUUAUUAAAUCAUGAUAAUUAAGUAUAAAACACAUAAUACUCAAAUAAUACAUCUUAUUAUUUCAAAACAAAUUACAAAGGUUGGCCUAGACUAUUACAUCAUCUUUAAUGCCUAGCCUAGAAACACGGACGUUACAAUUCUCUCCCCCUUAGGAUGAUUUUGUCCCCGGAAUCAUACAUCAACAAAUAAAUGCAGAUAACGACUCAUCAUGUCACUCUUCGUUUCCCAGGUGAGAUUUGGCCCAUUCGUAUGUUUCAAUCGCACAAGAACUAAAUCGACCAUCUUGCGUCGCAACUUCUUAGUAUUACGAUCAAUAAUUACCUCUGGUUCUUCUAUUAACCUCUUGCUUUCAUCCAACCUUAGUUCAGAAAUUGGAACUAUGUCGAGAACUUCUCCAGUGAACUUCCUCAAAUAACACACGUAGAAAGUGUUAUGAAUACCAUCUAGUUCUUCUAGUAGUUCUAGAUUGUAAACUUGGUUCCCAAUCCUCUGAAGAACUUUAAACAGUCCAAUAAACCUUGGACUCAACUUUCCCCUUUUACCAAAUCUUAUAAGUCACUUCCAUGGCGAGACUUUAAGUAAAACCGAAUCUCCAACUUUGAAUGUUAUCAGUCGUCUUUUCUUGUCAGCAUAGCUCUUUUGACGAUCCUGAGCUGCUAACAUCCUUUCCCUAAUCACUUUCAGCUUUUCAACAGUUUGAUCGACUAUCUCGGGUCCUAUAAACUGUUUUUCUCCAGCUUCAAGCCAACAUGACGAUGUUCGACACCUUUGUCCAUACAAAGCGUGAUAAGGUGCCAUCUUGAUGCUCGAGUGGAAACUAUUAUUGUAGGAAAAUUCUACCAGAGGUAAAUGUUCAUCCCAGUUACCUUGGAAUUCUAGGGUACAUGCUCUUAGCAUAUCCUCCAAUGUUUGAAUCGUUCGUUCGCUCUGACCAUCAGUUUGUCGAUGGUAGGCUGUACUUAGACACAAUUUCGUACCCAAUUCCUCUUGUAGACUUCUCCAAAACCUCGACGUGAAACGACUAUCACGAUCUGAUAAAAUCGUUAAAGGAAGACCGUGAAGCCUCACUAUUUCCUUCACAUAAGCUUUUUCAAGUUUAUCUAUAGACCAUUUUUCAUAGGCUUUUUUGAAGUGUGCGCUUUUAGUAAACCGAUCAAUGACCACCCAAAUCAUGUUGUGACCGCUCUUCGUUUUGCGCAAUUUAGUCACAAAUUCCAUGGUGACGUCUUUCCCAUUUACCCAUGGGGUACAGAUAAAGGUUCUAAACUCCUAUAUGAUUUUUGAUGUUGUGACUUAACCCUAGCACAUGUCACACACUCGGUCACGUACUUUGCAACAUCGAGCUUCAUCGUUGGCCACCAGUAGUAGGGUUUCAGAUCCCUAUACAUUUUCGUGCUGCCUGAAUGAAUCGGUACAUGGUCUUGUGAGCUUCCUCCAUCAGAAUAUCUCUUAUUCCUCCUGUCUUAGGUACCCAAAUCCUAUCUUGGAAUACCUUCAGUCCUUGACUGUUUAUAUCGAACACUAACGUUUUUCCCAAACGUUCUUCCUUUCGGCAUUUUUCUCUAAAGAUUCUUCUUGAGCUUUCUAGAUACUUUCUACAAUCGUUGAGACAACUUUGAUUCUUAAUUCUCUUGGCCUUUUCUUUUCAAGGCUCACUUUUCUGCUUAAAGCAUCAGCUACAACAUUUGCUUUACUAGGAUGGUAAAGGAUUUCACAAUCUUAAUCCUUAAGCAACUCUAGCCAGCGUCGUUGUCUCAUAUUCAAUUCCUUGUGAUUAAAGAGACACUAAAGACUCUUAUGACCAGUGAAAAGUUUUCACUUUGUGCCAUAAAGAUAAUGCCUCCAUAUCUUUAGGGCAAAUACUACUGCUGCCAACUCCAAAUCAUGAGUGGGGUAGUUCUUUUCAUGUUCUUUCAAUUGUCUCGAUGCAUAUGCUAUCACUUUAUCCCUUUGGGUCAGAACACAACCUAACCUAACUCCAGAUGCAUCGCUAUAAAUUGUGAAGUCUUCAACUCCUUCAGGUAAAGAAAGAAUCGAUGCUUCACACAAUUUCUUCUUUAACUUCUCAAAUGCUUCCUUAUUCCUUAUGCUUCUCACUCCAAGUAUAUGUAGUUCAUUUAUGGGUCAAAGCUGUUAAUGGAGCAGCUAUCGAAGAAAAGCCUUGGAUAAAUCUUCGGUAAUAUCCGGUUAAUCCUAGAAAGCUUCGGAUCUCCAUGGGACUUUUCGGUUGUUCCCACUUCAUUAUAGCUUCAAUCUUCGUUGGGUCAACCAUGAUCCCUUCUUGGUUAACCACAUGGCCCAAAAAUUGGACUUCUUGAAUCCAAAAAUCACAUUUCGAAAACUUUGCAUAUAGCUUCUCCUUUUUUCAGAACUUCUAACACUUCUCACAGAUGCUUGUCAUGUUCCUGCUUGCUUUUUGAAUAAAUCAAAAUACCUUCUAUGAACACUAUCACGGAUUUAGCGAGGAAUGGUUUACAAACCCUGUUCAUGAAAUCCAUGAAUGCUGUUGGAGCAUUGAUUAGUCCAAACGACAUAACCAAGAACUCAUAGUGUCCAUAUCUUGUUCUAAAUGCAGUAUUCUCAAUAUCCCACUCUCUCACCUUUAGCUGAUGAUAUCCUGACCUAAGAUCGAUCUUUGAGAAGUUGCUCGAACCUUGCAGUUGAUCGAACAAGUCAUCAAUCCUUGGCAACGGGUACUUGUUCUUUAUUGUUGCCUUGUUCAACUCUCUGUAAUCUAUGCACAUUCUCAUGCUCCCAUAUUUCUUCUUUAUAAAUAACAUCGAAGCUCCCCAAGGUGAUGAACUAGGUCUAAUGAAACCAUUGUCCAACAACUCCUGAAGUUGCGUCAUAAGCUCCUUCAUCUCUGUCGGUGCUAAUCGAUAUGGUGUUUUUUAUAUUGGUGUUGUUCCUGGUAACAAGUCUAUUCUAAAGUCCACUUGUCUAUCAGGGGGCAAUCCAGGAAGAUUUUCGAGGAAAACUUCUGGAAAAUCACACACCACUGGUAUACUUUGCAUAUCCUUUUUCUCCUUCUUAGCAUCGAUCACGAAUGCCAAGUAUAAGGUGCAUCCUUUAGACAAACAUUUUAUGGCUUUCAUUAGGGAAAUGAUUCCGGAAUUUAAUCUGCGCUUGUCUCCGUAUACCAUAACGGACUCUUUUCCAGGCGAGUUUACCCUCAUUAUCUUUUUCUUGCAUAGUAUCUUGGCAUCAUUAGCACUAAGCCAAUUCAUCCCUAGAAUGAUGCUGAAACCAUUCAACUCAGUGGGUAACAACUCCUCGUGGAAUUCGUUUUCGUUCGAGUCAAUAAUGAUAUUCUUAAUAUAAUUGCUAAAAGGUAUGAAUUUGCCACUAGCAACUUCUAAAAUUAGGGAAUUAUCAAGUUUUUCUUUAAGCAAUGCUAGUCUUUCGCCAAAUUUAUGUGAUAUAAAGGAGUAAUUCGCUCCGAAAUCAAAAAAUAAAUUGGUAGGCAAUCCAUUUACAAGAAAGGUACCUGAAGCGACAUCCGCUGCAUCCUUUGCGACUUCCAAUGUCAUCUGGAAAGCUCUGACUUUUGGCUUUGGUGGGAAAUUAGGCCUUGCUGCAUCCUUUUUCUUUGGGCAAUCCUUCAAAAUGUUCCCUUCUUCGUGGCAUCCAUAGCACACCCUUUUGUUGGAUGUGCACUCGUUGGCGUAGUGCCCUGUCUUUCCAUAUUUAAAACAAGUGACCUCCUCGCCACAUUUCCCAACAUGUUUCUUCUUAUAUUUAUCACACCAUUUUGGUUUGCCUCUUCUUCCUCUCGAAUCAGACUUCGAGAAUUUACUUUUAUUGUUGGACCUCGAAGAUCCAUCAAACUUUCUUUUCCCACCAACCUCUACCCUCUCCUGAACCCCUUCCUUUAACUGGGUUUCCACAUUUUUAGCUGUUCGGACUGCUAUCUUAAGAGUAGCUGCCAUCUUGACCGUUUGAACAAAGUCAGCUGGCAGUCCGUUUGCAAACCUCCCAAUUUUUUAGAGUUCAGUUGGCACUACGUUUGGAAAUAACUUCAUCUUUUCGGUAAACGCAAUAGUAUAGUCGUCAUUGCUCAUUUUCCCUUUCUUCAAGUUCUGAAAUUCAUUGUUUCGAUCUAUCAGAUCUAUCUCUAAGCAGUACUGCAACUUUAACUGCUCCAAGAACAUUUCCCAAGACAUUUUCAGGGCUUCUUCAUGUAGCAUCGUGUCUGCCAAUAACUUCCACCAACUUAAAACUCCGGUCUUCAGUUGUCUGACCGCAAAAAGAGUUUUCUGCUUGUCGCUACAGUUGCAACUUUCAAAUACCAUCUCCAUUUUGGAGAUCCAGUCCAUAAUCUCUACAGGUUUUAGGCUUUCGGCAAGACUUGGCAGUUUGCCUGUAACAACGUAAAUUUUCAAAACGAUUUUUUAUUUUUCAAACAACAUAAUUAUCUUUAAACAUUCUCAAAUUACAUGAUCAACACUUGUUAUCAAAUAAAACAUAUCCCAAGAUCAUAAAUGAAAUCCUCUGACUGUGUGUGUACGGAUCACGCUGGCGCCUUCCCACGGUCGUCACUAGUACCUGAAACACAUAACACAACAACUGUAAGCAUAAAUGCGUAGUGAGUUCCCCAAAAUACUGCAUACAACACAUGUGCCACUCAAGGCUACAGUACGACCCUCCAGUCGAUGUGUCUCAGCGGGACCCUCCAGUCCCGAAGCUCGUUGGACCCUCUAGUCCGGUCAUAGCUCGUUGGGCCUUUCGGCCCAGUCUGUAUCGUUGGACCCUCCGGUCCGGUCUAUAUAAUCAUAUAACAUACAUAUAUCACAUAGCACAUAAUCUCAUACAUAUCACAUAAGACCCUCCAGUCAACACAUAAAUACCACUCUAUGUAACGUAUAGUGAGAAGACUCAUCUCGAGUAACUCGGUAAUCUCGAACUCUAUGAAAUCGGGUCUAGCCUCCGCCUAAUCAUAUGAAAUAAACACUCUACAUCAAUACAUUUCCCAAGGCUAGACCAUUUCCUCUCUUAUCACUCUCGGGAGGGUAAUAGACCAUUUUACCCUUCUCAUGGCUCAAAGACCCUAGAGUUGACCAAACCCUAAAAGUCACGUUAACCAAACUCGCUGAGUGCACUUAUGUGACUCGGCGAGUUCAUGCAUGUCCUCUUCAUCCCUGUUCCUCCCUCAACUUUCUGAGUCACCCCUCAACUCACCGGGUCAUCGCUGGAGUCAGACCUCAUGGCAACCCGGUCCAACUCGUCGAGUCCAUAUAUGAACUCCACGAGUUUCCUCCAUGGACUUGCUCAAACAACCUCCUGAGGUCAAAUCCGCUUAACCAAUUCAUAGAUCUAACCUUUAAAAAAUCGAAAGUCACGUAAAGGUGCAACCUUUACGUGCAUGCAACUCAUAUCAAGCCCCAAAUGGAGAAAUAAUGCUAGAAAUGGCAACCUAGCCUCCAAUUCCUUGUUUGCUUGCAAAAGCUGGAAGAUAAUGGCUCUAAGGACCUCUCAUGGUCCAGAUCUGAGGUUAUUCAUACCAAGGGGACCUUAUGCUCACUAGAUCUCAUAAAAUCAUGAGGAAAAACCCUAAAACUAUGAAUCCCACCAUAUGAACGUGAAAUGGAAAGAAUUUUACAUCCAAAGACAAUAUCUCACGGUGAUUAGCUUCAAUCCAAGCUCCCUUCACGAACUAGAUGGAUCGUCUCUUCUUUCUCUAGCAAAACCACACAAAAGAUGAAGAAAUAGGCUCCUCUUGCCCUCAAACACGCUAUCUCUGCUCUCUAGGGUUUCUCUGGAACAAGGUGGCCGCAAAUGAAGGCCAUAUGGGUCCUUAAAUAGGCUCCCAAGCCCGGGGAUUAGGGUUUCACUUUACAGCGCGGACUCGCCGAGUCCACGAAUCGACUCGUUGAGUCCGGUCAUUAAUCUAGCCAAGAACUCGCGGUCCUACUCGGCGAGUCUAAGCGUCAACUCGUCGAGUCCUUCCACAAAACUCAAAAAUAAAAUUUUAAAAUAAUAUACCUAGGAAUCCGGAUGUUACAAUUCUCCCCCACUAGAAUCCGACAUCGCCCUGGAAGUUUUGCUCUGCAAACAACUCUAGAUGCUGCUCAUGCAUCUCCAACUCCGGCUCCCAAGUCAGCUUAGACCCUCUCCGAUGUUGCCACUAAACCAGCACGAGGGACACCUCUUUGUUCCUCAGAACCUUGAUCUUCCGAUCCACAAUCGCAACUGGCCUCUCAACAUAAUUCAGGCUGACAUCCACCUGAAUAUCCUCUAAUGGCACCACCGUCGAUUCGUCGGCUAUACACUUCCUUAGUUGAGACACAUGGAAGGUAUCAUGAAUCUAGCUCAGCUCCGCAUGUAGCUCCAAUCGAUAUGCCACUCUGCCCACCCUCACGAUCACCCUGAAUGGUCCGAUGUAUCGGGGCCCCAAUUUGCCCCUCUUCCUGAAUCGGAUCACUCCUUUCCAAGGAGAUACCUUCAGGAGCACAAAAUCUCCAACCUGAAACUCGAGCUCUAAUCGACGCCUAUCCUGGUAACUCUCCUGGUGACUCUGGGCCGUCAACAAUCUCUGUCUAACCUAUUGUAUCUGCUUGGUUGUCUGAAGCACUAUCGCAGUGCUGCCCAUCACUCGCUGCCUUACCUCUCCCCAACAAAUAGGAGUCUGACACCUUCUCUCAUACAACAACUCAAAGGGAGGCAUACCGAUGUUCGAAUGGUGGCUGUUGUUAUAGGAAAACUCAGCCAAGGGCGAAUACGUGUCCCAACUUCCUCCGAAGUCCAACACACAUGCCCGAAGCAUGUCUUCGAGCGUCUGAAUCGUCCGUUCACUCUGUUCGUCCGUCUGUGGGUGGUAAGCGGUACUGAAAUGCAACCUAGUAACCAAAUCCUCAUGAAACUUCUUCCAAAACCUGGAAGUGAAAAGCACAUCCCGAUCCGACACAAUCGAGAUUGGUACACCAUGUCGCGAUACCACCUCCCACACAUACACCUCGGCCAACCUUUCCGCGGAAGAGCUCUUAUCGAUAGCAAAUAAAUGAGCGCUCUUCGUCAACCGAUCAACGAUCACCCAAAUUGCGUCAACACCUCUCACGGUCCUCGGCAAUUUGGUGAUGAAAUCCAUAGAAAUCUGCUCCCAUUUGCAUUGAGGAACCUCAAGUGGUUGCAACAUGCCAUGCGGACGCUGGUGCUCGACCUCAACCCUACAACAGGUCAAGCACCUCUCCACGAACCACGCCACAUCCCUCUUCAUACAGGGCCACCAGUACUCUCGCUUCAGGUCCAAAUACAUCUUGGUGGCCCCUGGAUGAAUCGAAAACCUCGAUCUAUGUGCCUCCUCCAUCAGAAUGGUACACACUCCACCUGCAAACGGUACCCAAAUCCGACCCUGAAAGGUCAAAAGCCCUCGACUAUCGGUGGUGAACUCAGACACCUGCCCGAUCACCCACUCUCUCUUGCGGUUCUCUGGUAAUACGGCCUCCACCUGGGCCUCCCGAAUGGUGUCCAACACCGGCGUCAUGACUGUCAGUCACAUGUAGAUAUCUCGAAUAGGGGUACUCUCUGCCCUACGACUCAGAGCAUCAGCUACAACAUUAGCUUUGCCCGGGUGGUACAGGAUUUCAUAAUCGUAAUCCUUUACCACGUCCAACCAUCUUCGCUGACGCAUGUUCAGGUUUGGCUGAUCCAUUAAAUACUUUAAUUUCUUGUGGUCCGUGUAUAUGGUACACCGAACCCCAUACAAAUAGUGACGCCAGAUCUUGAGGGCAAAUACCACAACCCCUAGUUCCCGAUCGUGAGUAGGAUACCUCGUCUCAUGAGGCUUCAACUGCCUUGACGCGUAUGCUAUCACAUGCCCUCUCUGCAUUAGCACCGCCCCCAGUCUCGAUAUCGAUGCGUCACAAUAUACCACAAAGUCCUCCAUUCCCUCCGGAAGGGCCAACACUGGGGCUUCUCACAAUAUCUGGCGAAGUUUCUCGAUUGAGGCUUGCUGCUCUGGACCCUAACUAAAAAUCACGCCCUUCCGGGUCAACCUGGUGAUAGUAACCGUAAUCUUGGAGAAAUCUUUGAUAUAUCUCCGAUAAUAGCCGGACAAUCCCAGAAAGCUCCUGAUCUCGGUCGGUGAUCUCGGCACCUCCCAUCUCAUAACCGCCUCAAUUUUGGCCAGAUCGACCAAUAUCCCCUCCUGGUUAAUGAGGUGUCCCAAGAACUGGACCUCUCAUAACCAAAAAUCACACUUGUCGAAUUUGGCGUAAAGCCUCUUCGAUCUCAAUGCUCCGAGAAUCUCCCUCAGAUGCUCCUCGUGCUGCUCUCUAGAUCUCAAAUACACCAAAAUAUCCUCAAUGAACACAAUCACCGAUCGAUCCAGCAUCGGCCUGCACACCCUGUUCAUGAGAUCCAUGAACGCUGUCGGUGCAUUGGUGAGCCCAAAAGGCAUCACCACGAACUCGUAAUGCCCAUAAUGAGUUAUGAACGCCAUCUUCUGGAUAUCUUCAUCCCGAACCCUCAUCUGAUGAUUUCCCGACCUCAAGUCCAUCUUGGAGAACCAAGAUGCUCCCUGCAACUGAUCAAAUAGAUCAUCAAUCCUCAGUAACAGAUAUCAGUUCUUGACCGUUAACUUGUUCAACUCCUGGUAAUCAAUGCACAUCCGGUGUGAACCAUCCUUUUUCUUGACAAAAAGGAUCGGUGCUCCCCAAUGUGAGCUACUCGGUCUAAUAAACCCCUUUCCCAGCAGCUCCUGAAGCUGCGAGGAUAACUCCUGCAUCUCUGGCGGUGCAAGGCGAUAGGGUGCCUUAGCAAUAGGCGCCGCUCCAGGAACUAAAUCGAUGCGAAACUCCACUUGCCUCUUGGGAGCCACACCUGGUAGCUCCUCGGGGAAAACGUCAGGGAACUCUCGCACUAUCGGUACCUCAUCAACCAAUUUCGGCCUCUCCACUGCCGCUCGUGUGUCCAUCACGUAGGCCACAAACCCACUACAACCCUGUUGUAGACUCUGCCUCGCCCUAGCAGCUGAACAAAAUGCUGACUCGAGACGGGUACCCUUUCCAUACAUCGUAAGCACUCCCCCACUAGGGUCUCGUAUCGUCACCAACUAUCACUCGCAGUCUAUAACAGCCCCAAAAUGGCUCAACCAAUCCAUGCCCACUAUAACACAAAUGUCCCCCAUCGUAAUCGGGACCAGAUCAAUCGGGAAAUCGACACCGAAGAUCUUGAGUACACAUCCCCGAAUCACCUCAGUAGCAUAAACCGCUCGCUCGUCAGCUAUGGAAACCCGAAGAGGUCGACUCAAUGCCUCUCGACAAAUACAGAUAUGGCAACAAAAAGCUAACGACACAAAAGAUCGACUCGCACCCGAGUCAAAUAGCACCAAGGCAGGUACAAAAUUCACAAGAAAAGUACCUACGCAUAUCAUAAUAUAAGCAUAAUAUCUCAGACUCAAAAUAAAUAGAGGGGAGAAUACAUACCAGCCACAACGUCGGGUGCUGCGCGGACCUCCUCCGCUGUCAACUGGAAGGCUCUCCCGCGAGCCUUCAGUGCCUCGGCCUUCGCUGGCUGAACCUCGGUAGCUCUCGCAGCAGGCGCAGAUCCCUACACUGAUCCCUGAUGUAGCUGCGGGCACUCGACCUUCCGAUGGCUGGUCUGGUUGCAAUGAAAGCAAACCGAGAAUCCCUUGGGGCAAUCCCUCGUGAUAUGCCCCUCCUUCCCAUACUUUUAACAUACUCCAAGUCUGCAUGUCCCCUAGUGACUCUUGUUGCACUUCCCACAAGUGCGGCCCUUCGUACCCCCAGAUCUCGAAUCAGCGGGCUUUGCCCGCUUGGCUGUCGGCUGAGACUGUGCCGGCCGCCGAUCCUUUCCCUGAGACUCCGCCUCCUCCCUGGCCUGAGUCUCAAACUCGAUCUCCCUCUUACAAGCAUUUGCCCAGAGCUCGGCAAAUGUCCGAUAAGUCGAGUUCGCCACAAACUCACGAAUUUCUCUCCUCAGAACACUCCGAUAUCGGCUCAUGCGUGCCUGCUUGGUAGACACCUGCUCAGGGCAAAACAUCGCCCUCUCAUGAAACUUCCGGGUAAUCACUAUAACUGAAUCAGUACCCUGCUUGAGGGUCAAAAACUCCUGAGCCAAUCAUUCCCUUUCCACAGGGGGAACGUACUCAUCACGAAACAUGGUGGUGAACCUUUCCCAGGUCACCGUAGUAAGCUCAGCUGGGGUGAAAUCUGCCGAUACAAAUUUCCAUUAUUCCUUCGCCCCCAGGCGAAGCUGGUUCAGCGCGAACCGCACCCUCAAAUGCUUUGGACACGAGCAAGUGUAGAAACAUCCCUCAACAUCCGCAAUCCAUCUCAUCGUAGCGAUCGGAUCCUGUGUCCCAUCAAACUCUGGUGGCUUCGUGUUGCUGAACUCCCAGUACAGCAACGAAUCGCUCCCCUGCGGCCUGGCAGCAGCGACGGCUGCGGUGGCCGUAGCAACAACAACAUCAGUAAGAGCGGCAUACCGCUCAUCAAAAGUCUCAAUCAACGUGGUCUUGAUAGACCCGAACAUCUUUGGUAUCUCAGCUCGUAUGGCCGCUGCCACUUCCUCAUGAAUCUACCGACGGAUCUCCUCGUCACUAACACUGCUGCACCCAGGUGUAUGUCGUGUCCCACCCAUGGUGUCUCUGAAAUACAACAUAAAAACAUCAGAGACUCGUUCGAGCAUACUCGCACUCGAUAACGCGACCAUACUCGUCCCCUAGUAUCCUAAGGAUUCUUACUUGGACUGCUCACUGAUCCGGUGUCUUUAGUAGUACGGGCCCUAUACUACCUACCACACCGCAUCAGUAUUCACCCCAAGUCCUUCUCCUUGGAUCCCAUAUCACAAGUACUCUACUCUCGCCAUACAUAGACUACCGUCCGGUAGACCUCUCAUAAGCUCCUUGCUGCUACCUACUCACUCUCAAGGCAUCUCAUAGCAGCAGUAAUCUCCUAGGCUAAGGCAUCACAAAUCAGGCCACUCUAGUCCAGUCAACACAUAAAUACCACUCUAUGUAACGUAUAGUGAGAAGACUCAUCUCGAGUAACUCGGUAAUCUCGAACUCUGUGAAAUCGGGUCUAGCCUCCGCCUAAUCAUAUAAAAUAAACACUCUACAUCAAUACAUUUCCCAAGGCUAGACCAUUUCCUCUCUUAUCACUCUCAGGAGGGUAAAAGACCAUUUUAUCCUUCUCAUGGCUCAAAGACCCUAGAGUUGACCAAACCCUAAAAGUCAACAAAAGUCAAUGGUCAAACGUUGACCAGACUCGCCGAGUCUACUUAUAUGACUAGGUGAGUUCAUGCAUAUCCUCUUCAUCCCUGGUCCUCCCUUAACUUUCUGAGUCACCCCUCAACUCACCGGGUCAUUACUGGAGUCAAACCUCAGGGCAACCCGGUCCAACUCGUCGAGUCCACAUAUGAACUCGACGAGUUUCAUCCAUGGACUUGCUCAAACAACCUCCUGAGGUCAGAUCUGCUUAACCAAUUCAUAGAUCUAACCUUUAAACACUCUAAAGUCACGUAAAGGUGCAACCUUUACGUGCAAGCAACUCAUAUCAAGCCCCAAAUGGAGAAAUAAUGCUAGAAAUCGCAACCUAGCCUCUAAUUCCUUAUUUUCUUGCAAAAAGCUGGAAGAUAAUGGCUCUAGGGACCUCUCAUGGUCCAGAUCUGAUGUUAUUCAUACCAAGGGGACCUUAUGCUCACUAGAUCUCAUAAAAUCAUGAGGAAAAACCCUAAAACUAUGAAUCCCACCAUAUGAACGUGAAAUGGGAAGAAUUUUACCUCCAAAGACAAUAUCUCACGGUGAUUAGCUUCAAUCCAAGCUCCCUUCAUGAUCUAGAUGGAUCGUCUUUUCUUUCUCUAGCAAAACCACACAAAAGAUGAAGAAAUAGGCUCCUCUUGCCCUCAAACACGCUAUCUCUGCUCUCUAGGGUUUCUCUGGAACAAGGUGGCCACAAAUGAAGGCCAUAAGAGUCCUUAAAAAGGCUUCCAAGCCCGGGGAUUAGGGUUUCACUUUAAAGUGCGGACUCGCCGAGUCCACGAAUCGACUCGUCGAGUCCGGUCAUUAAUCUAGCCAAGAACUCACGGUCCAACUCGGCGAGUCUAAGUGUCAACUCGCCGAGUCCUUCCACAAAACUCAAAAAUAAAUUUUUAAAAUAAUAUACCUGGGAAUCCGGAUGUUACAAUUCUCCCCCACUAGAAUCGGAUGCUGCUCAUGCAUCUCCAACUCGACGAGUCUAAGCGCCAACUCGCCCUCGAAGUCUUGCUCUGCAAACAAAUCUAGAUGCUGCUCAUGCAUCUCCAACUCUGGCUCCCAAGUCAGCUCAGACCCUCUCCGAUGUUACCACUGAACUAGCACCAGGGGCACCUCUUUGUUCGUCAGAACCUUGAUCUUCCGAUCCACAAUCGCAACUGGCCUCUCAACAUAAUUCAGGCUGGCAUCCACCUGAAUAUCCUCUAAUGGAACCACCGUCGAUUCGUCGGCUAUACACUUCCUUAGUUGAGACACAUGGAAGGUAUCAUGAAUCUGGCUCAGCUCCGCAGGUAGCUCCAAUCGAUAUGCCACUCUGCCCACCCUUGCGAUCACCCUGAACGGUCCGAUGUAUCGGGGCCCCAAUUUGCCCCUCUUCCUGAAUCGGAUCACUGCUUUCCAAGGAGACACCUUCAGGAGCACAAAAUCUCCAACCUAAAACUCGAGCUCUGAUCGAUGCCUAUCCGCGUAACUCUUCUGGUGACUCUGGGCCGUCAGCAAUCUCUGUCUAACCUGUUGUAUCAGCUCGAUUGUCUGAAGCACUAUCGCAUUGCUGCCCAUCACUCGCUGCCCUACCUCUCCCCAACAAAUAGGAGUCCGACACCUUCUCCCAUACAACAACUCAAAGGGAGACAUACUGAUGCUCGAAUGGUGGCUGUUGUUAUAGGAAAACUCAGCCAAGGGCAAAUAUGUGUCCCAACUUCCUCCGAAGUCCAACACACAUGCCCGAAGCAUGUCUUCGAGCGUCUGAAUCGUUCGUUCACUCUAUCCGUCCGUCUGUGGGUGGUAAGCGGUACUGAAAUGCAACCUAGUAACCAAAUCCUCAUGAAACUUCUUCCAAAACCUGGAAGUGAAAAGCACAUCCCAAUCCGACACAAUCGAGAUUGGUACACCAUGCCGCGAUACCACCUCCCUCACAUACACCUCGGCCAACAUUUCCGUGGAAGAGCUCUUACUGAUAGCAAGGAAAUGAGCGCUCUUUGUCAACCGAUCAACGAUCACCCAAAUUGCGUUAACACCUUUCACGGUCCUCGGCAAUUUGGUGAUGAAAUCCAUAGAAAUCUGCUCCCAUUUCCAUUAGGGAACCUCAAGUGGUUGCAAAUUCCCAUGUGGACGCUGGUGCUCGGCCUUAACCCUACGACAGGUCAUGCACCUCUCCACGAACCACGACAUAUCCCUCUUCAUACAGGGCCACCAGUACUCUCGCUUCAGGUCCAAAUACAUCUUGAUGGCCCCUGGAUGAAUCGAAAACCUCGAUCUAUGCGCUUCCUCCCUCAGAAUGGUAUGCGAUCCACCAGAAAACGGUACCCAAAUCCGACCCCUUAAAGGUCAAAAGCCCUCGACUAUUGGUGGUGAACUCAGACACCUGCCCGAUCACCCGCUCUCUCUUGCAGUUCUCUGGUAAUACGACCUCCACCUGGGCCUCCCGAAUGGUGUCCAACACCGGCGUCAUGACUGUUAGUCGCAUGCGGAUAUCUCGAAUCGGGGUACGCUCUGCCCUACGGCUCAAAGCAUUAGGUACAACAUUAGCUUUGCCCGGGUGGUACAGGAUUUCACAAUAGUAAUCCUUUACCACAUCCAACCAUCUUCGCUGACGCAUGUUCAGGUUUGGCUGAUCCAUCAGAUACUUUAAGUUCUCGUGGUCCGUGUANCCCGAUCACCCACUCUCUCUUGCGGUUCUCUGGUAAUACGGCCUCCACCUGGGCCUCCCGAAUGGUGUCCAACACCGGCGUCAUGACUGUCAGUCACAUGUAGAUAUCUCGAAUAGGGGUACUCUCUGCCCUACGACUCAGAGCAUCAGCUACAACAUUAGCUUUGCCCGGGUGGUACAGGAUUUCACAAUAGUAAUCCUUUACCACAUCCAACCAUCUUCGCUGACGCAUGUUCAGGUUUGGCUGAUCCAUCAGAUACUUUAAGUUCUCGUGGUCCGUGUAUAUGGUACACCGAACCCCAUACAAAUAGUGACGCUAGAUCUUGAGGGCGAAUACCACAGCCUUUAGUUCCAGAUCGUGAGUAGGAUACCUCGUCUCAUGAGGCUUCAACUGCCUCAACGCGUAUGCUAUCACAUGCCCUCUCUGCAUUAGCACUGCCCCCAGUCUCGAUAUCGAUGCAUCACAAUAUACCACAGAGUCCUCCAUUCCCUCUGGAAGGGCCAACACUGGGGCUUUGCACAAUCUCUGGCGAAGUGUCUCGAAUGAGGCCUGCUGCUCUGGACCCCAACUAAAAAUCACGCCUUUCCGGGUCAACCUGGUGAGAGGAAUCGCAAUCUUGGAGAAAUCUAUGAUAAAAAUGAAGGCCAUAAGGGUCCUUAAAUAGGCUCCCAAGCCUGGGGAUUAGGGUUUCACUUUACAGCGCGGACUCGCCAAGUCCACUAAUCGACUCGUCGAGUCCGGUCAUUAAUCUAGCCAAGAACUCGCGGUCCUACUUGGCGAGUCUAAGCGUCAACUCGCCGAGUCCUUCCACAAAACUCAAAAAUAAAUGUUUAAAAUAAUAUACCUGGGAAUCCGGAUAUUACAUUGGCUCCCAAGAAAUUCUUAUACAUACGCCCAUCUCUGUUGAUUUCCCUCUCCGAGUGAUUUCUUUCUGCCACCCGCUUGACUAAUAGUACGACUGUAAUUUCCUUCCUCUGACUGCCUGUCAUUUAGUUCAGGUUGUUCAACCGGCAUUGAAGGUUCACUCCUGUUGUUCAACAAUAUUUGUCUCAUUUCCUCCCUUUGUUUAACCAUCAUUGUCUAAAUCAUGGCUUGUACUCCAUCCAUUGUGAUCGGUUCUGGUGCAGCUUCUGUUAUAGGCACCUGUUCCAUCACUUGGGGUUGAGGUUGUUGAUUUCUAUUUGCAUUUUCAGGUCCACUUUGGGUUCUUUCCAUUUUGAUCUAUACACCAAAUUAGGCGAAUUUAGAUCUUUAUUCACGAUAGAUUUUAAAAUUCUCCUUAUCACUCCGAAACAUUACAUGCUAGUUCUAAUAUCAUAGCCGUACGCUUAGAAUCCUGAACACAUAAGGUUUCCAAAUCCGAUCGGCACCAAACCAUAGAUCCAAACAAAUAACAUCAUAUAUGGCAAACAUAUAGCAUUUAGCACAUAAAAGCAUUUUAGGCAUCUUUCCUAAAAUAUACUAGUGCUCGUGUCUAAAAUAUGGUAGACACUCAUCUCACGAUCAUCACUUAGCAUUGUAACUUUUAGUCUAGAAAUCCUACAAAUUCCUAGUUCACUUAAACUAAUGCUCUAAUACCAACUGUGACAUCCGUAAAUUUUUCGGCCAGAAAAGACCGAUUUAGUUUAUGCUUUUAAAGUAAAGUCAAAGUAAUCUUCCAAAAGCUGUUGUGGAAUUUGUCCCCAAAACAAAAUAUGAUAAAAAUUUAUCAAAUCAUUUCUUAAAUAAAUGUAUUUUCAUUAUAUAACAAAACCUCGGGAUGUCAUGUUCCGAUACAGACCAAAAGCAUAAACAGUACAUUAUAAGCCUUUCAACAGUUAUUUACAUCUACAGACCUAUUAUCCAAAAAUCACUCGUCAUCAUCCAAUUAUGCUCUGCGUCCACUACCUUUAAUACACAGAAAGCUGAGUGAGUCAGGUUUGGGAGCCUGGUGAGCAUAUAGGGUUUUCAACCCACAAUAAAUAAAUUUAUUAGUUUCAUCAAUCAACAAUAAAUUUAUUAAUUUCAUCAACCAACAAUAACCUUGAUUAUCCGUUCCCAUUAUCCUCACUUUACGUCCCUAAACACCUAUCAUAAGGGACCUAGCCUAAAGAUUUUCAUCGGGGUGACAACACUGCUUUAGGGAUUCCUCAGCAAUUUAUGUCAAAUAAGGCAACCAUGAGGGGGAUGGAGUAUACCGGUGAACACUAAGUUCAAAAACACCUACAAGUUGCGAGCCUACUAGCGUUCCACUAGACUGUCUAGAAAUGUAUGUGGUCGACAUCUAUACUCCGUUAGAUGACUAUAACAACAACAACAUCGAGAUCUCUCAUCAUUUUAUCACACAUCAACGAUUUCAUUUACCCAUAUUUUACCCAACAUAUUUGUAGAUAAAAAUACAUAUACAAUUUAAAACUUGUAUAAAACAUCUAUUCAACACCCAUCUCAAAUAAACAAACAAUAUAUAUACACAUAACACGUAUUUUAUAGAAAAUAUUUCAUAUCUAUGUGUAAGAUGAAAGUGACUACACACUCACUUGAUAAGACAGUGAUUGGACAUCACUUCGUCCCUUAAAACAAUCUUCUUUGAUAAAACCGGGAUGUUUUCUCAAAAACCGGGCUUCACGCGGCCAGAGUUUUGUCUCGAAAAAUUCUUUUCUCGGGAUCUUCGGGCUCUCCGUGGCUUGCUUACGAUGCUAGGAUAGUACCCUAGGCUUUGGGGGGUUUAGAAUAGGCUAAAAGGGAGUAGAAGGUGAAAGAGAAUGAAAUUUUGUAACAUUAACUCGCCUGACUUCAGAUCCUAUUUAUAGGGACCGAAGCUUCUCAUUACACUGGGCGUAAUUUCCUGGUACGCGGGGUGUACUGCCUCUCAAGGCUCUUCGAUGGGCGUACACCUUCGUACGCUGGGCAUAGGAGUGGAUUACUUGGGACGUGCCAAGGCUACUAACAUGUAGCAAAGCUAGUCCGAGUAUGUUGGGCGUACUCAUUUGUACGCUGCGUGUACAAGAUAUGUGUCCUCUAAUCGGGUUCCGACCUCCGGAGGUGUCAAAGCUACUAACUCGUAGCGAAACUAGUCCGAGUACGUUGGGCGUACUCGUUUUUACGCGGGGCGUACUCCUUCGCGAGUUUAUUUUUCAAACUUCAAAAAAUUCAUAAAUUUCGCAUACAAACUCCGUUUUUGACGUUCUUUAUAUCCACGCGUAGGUGAGACCGUGCUCUACAACUUUCGGGUAGACUCCUUUGGCUAAUUUUGACUUUAUUUUUAAAGUUAUAUUUUUAAUAGGCCGGGACAUGAAAUGUCCAUUAAAAAUUCAUAAUUUCUUCAUCCGACGUCCGUUUUCGUCUGUCUUUUUACCGUUUAACCACUAUCGACGAGAUCUUCGUUUCUCGUUUAGGUUUUGUCGGCUAAAAAGUGCUCGAUCUAAAAUUCGAGUUUCGGGAUGCAUACGGCUAUACCAAAUCUUAGAAAAUUCAUAACUUCCUCAUACGAAGUCAGACUUGGACAUUCUUUUUAUGUACGCUCUCGGUUUAACGUGUACUGCGACUUUCAUUUAGAUCGCUAAUGCUAAAAAGCACUUUAUCAUAAAUUCACUUUUUAUGUCACACAACGUCGUGUUGGUUCUGUUGCGAAACUCCGACAUGUCAUAACUUCUUCGUUAUAACUCGGAUUUCGGUAUUCUUUAUAUCUCCGAAAUCCUUGUUUCAACCACUAGAAUGUUCUUCAUCUAUAUCGGGUUUAUUUAUUUUCGAUGCUUUUUUUAUUCUUAACUUAUUAAAUCAUAAUAAUUACGUAUAAAACACACAAUACUCAAAUAAUACAUCUUAUUAUUUGCAAAACAAAUUACAAAGGUUGGCCUAGAAUAUUACAUCAUCUUUAAUGGCUAGCCUAGAAACACGGGCGUUCCUACGAGUAUCACACUGAAUAUCAGUAUCAGCAAGAGUAAUAUAAUCAAUAAAGGUAUUGGCUGAGGAAACAGAGAACAUAUCCGACACAUCGACAAGCCAAUCCAAUCUGUCAAAUCUAUCAAGGAGUCGAACAUUCUGAACCACUUCUAUAAACUCAUCCCAUUAACUCUGUUCAAUACCACCCCUAGGUAACCGACGUAGAUUACUCGGAUCCCAUCCUAUAAGAAAUCUCUCUUUCACAUAUUUGUCUCUAUACACAUCCAACACAAAGACUCUAUGGAAAAUCGCUGCAAGAGAAAUAUCAUAAAUCCACUUAUCAUGCCAAAAACUAGUAAAAGCACCAUCUCCAACUCUAGUCAGACAAAGGCUGAGGAGAUCUAUCCCCCUGUCCUGGAGAUUAGCAAUCAUACGAAUGAGACUAUUCCACGAUCCUGAAUAAGAACGACGAGAAGACAAAGUAGUAAGACCACCAUCCAAACCAUACAUCAUAAUAGUAGCUGGAAUAGGAUUAUGAAGCCAAGAACGUCAUUUUUUUGUAAAAAACUUGGCUUUUGUACACCUACUAUAAAUCCAAAAAAAAGACUUAUAAACAACAUCAUCAAAAAUCAUGUAUUUCCUAGGGAUAGCUGCUCCGAAAAGCGUUGGAUUUCUAAAAUUUCAAAUGCACCAAAAGGAGGUCAAGAUCACUGUAUCAAAAGCUUUACGCUGACCGAUUCUCAAAGAGGUAGAAGUUUCCCAAUUGAUAAGAGAGUCCAUUAUAAUCUGAGAGGGAAGAGUAACGCCCCACCAAACCGCCAUACAUGAACAUAAAGCAAUCAAUCCAAUACACUCUACAAAAAUAUGAUCAACAAUCUCCACUCUAGAGGAACAAAGGGGACAAAGAAUAGAAUCCACCAAAAUACCCCUAUAAGAUAAACGUUCGCUAGUAGGGAUACUAGAAAUUCUAACCCUCCAAAUAAGAAUAUUGAUCUUAAUUGGAAUCCAAUUGUUCGAACAAGUAGAAAUACCCCCAGUGAUAAGCGUAAAACCAUCCAAAUAUCUCCAAGCUGAAGAAAUAGAAAAGCUAUCUGACAAAUCAAUAACCUAACCCAGUCUAUCUGGAACCGGCUUGAGUUGGAAAUCCUACAAAGGUAAAGUAAAAUUAUCCCAUUGCUCCUGUUCCGCUCUACCUCUACGAAUACGUCUAAGGGUAUUAACCCUCAAUCCCAUAGACAUCUUGUCACUAAUAGAAUCAUGUCUAUGCAAAUACAGAGCAUAAACUCUAGGAAAAGUGGCAGACAAAAUCACAUCAUCCCUCCACACAUCAUGCCAAAAAGAAUUAAGAGUGUCGUCUCCAACUCUAAUGAGCAAAGAGAUUAGAGGUCUAUAUCUUUCUGGUGCAACUGGGAGAACAUACGAAUAACCCCAACCUAAGGCCCUUGGCCAGUAAUUGGAUAGCUCGAGUUCCUACACGCACCAUUCGACCCGUAAAUAAAUUUUUAUCACUCUAACCCACAAAAGGUCAGGGUACUGAUAAAAUCUCCAUCACCACUGAAAAAGCAUAGCCCUAUUGAAAUAAAAAUUACUACCAAUCCCCAAUCCUCCUUCAUCCCUGGAAGCUAUAACUUUAUCCCAUCUAACCCAAUGCUUACAACGUUCAUCCCCGUCUGCACCCUAAAAGAAUCUCACCCUCAUUCCCUCUAAAACCUUCAAUAUCGAAAGAGGAGUAAGAAAAAUGAACAUCAAUUAGCUCCUAACGAUCCCAACACAGACUUCACCAACGUAAUCCGACCUCCAAAUAAAAGACACAUAGCCUUCCAAUUUGAAAUCUUAAACUGAAACCUAUCAAUCACAUAAACCAAAGAAGAAGUUUGAUUCAUAGCCUAAACCACCAGAAUACCAAGAUGGGAAAACGGGAGAGUAGAAGUUGUAUAACCAAUCCUAUUUGCCACAACAAGAACUUAGGAUAGAAGGAUUCCCACACAAAUCAAUUUACUUUUAGAUAAAUUGAUUUUCAGCCGUGAAGCCAAAUAAAAGCACCUGAGAAUACGAAUAAGACAAUUCGCAUUUUUAGGAUCCCAAGAAGAGACCAACAUAACAUCAUCAACAUAAAGGAUAUGAGAAUUAUCAAUUCCUGAAAUAGAAAUCCCUCUAAAAGCAUUCCCCAUUCGGGACCUCAUCAAAGUAACAUGUAAACCCUCCAUAGCCAAAAUAAAAAGAAAAGGGGACAACGGAUCACCCUGUCUCAACCCACGAUGAAUUUGGAAUUCAUCUGUCUGGGAACCAUUAACCAACAUUGAAGCCCUAGCAGUGAUCAAAUAACUCCUUAAUCCACGACACCACAUAGAACCAAAUCCCAUAAUUGAUAUGAUUUCCAAUAAGUAAUCCCAUGAUAACAAAUCAUACGCUUUCUCGAAAUCCACCUUAAGUAGCAUCAUAGGAUUUCCAGAAGCCUUACUCCAAGCAACCAUUUCAUUUAGGAGAAAUAGACCAUCCAGAAUCUGUCUACCUUUGAUAAAGGCAGAUUGCUCAAGGAUGAUAACACUAUGAAUAACAUCCACAAGAUGAUUAGCUAAAAUAUUAUCAAUAAUUUUGUAUUGGAAACCAAAAAGACUAAUGGGUCUAUAAUCUUUUGGAGUCUUCGGGUCUUCUAUUUUUGGGAUGAUAGUGAAAAAAGAGGCAUUACACCCCUUUGGAAUAGAAGAAUGAUGGAAAAAAAUAUUAACAAAUGCCUUAACAUAUGCUGCAACAAGAUCCCAAUAUCUCUUCAAAAACCCAAAAGUAAAACCACCAGGUCCUGGAGCCUUAGUGUAAUGUCCCAAAAACAAUGACAUAAAAUUUUUUGUUUUUAGAUUAAUAAAUCGUUAAUACAUAUCUUUCCUGUAAAACCAAGGUAACCAAAAUUUAUCAAGGCGUCAUCAAAUCAGAGUAAUUCACAUAAUGCGGAAACAUGUGGUGUGUGCAUUGCAAUCACCCGGAGCUCUUCCAUUUGAAAACCAAAGUACCUGAAACAUAAAAUGAAAACCGUAAGCAAAAAGAUUACUGGGCCCCCGCCCUUCAUCGAGUCUCACCUGGUCUUGGGCCCAACCCGACAAUGAGCCCCGCCCGACAUCGAUCCCCGCUCAAAUUACAGAUCCGUCAUUCACCAGGCCCCACCUGACAUUGGACCUCGCCUGAUACACACAUAAUCAUAUAACCGUAUAAUCAUAUAAACGUAUAACCUACUAAGAAAUGCAAUAAUCCCAAAGACUAUAGAAUACCAUAAUCGAGCUUCGCCCAGCAUCGGGCCUCGCCCGUAAAGCAUAAAAACAGAUACUAGUAACUAGCAUACAAUAUGCUCAUCAGGUCCUGCCAGGCAUCGGGCCUUGCCCGGUAAGCAUAUCAUCAUAUAAAACAUGCAAGAAUCACGCAAACAUCUAGCAUCCUAACAUAUAAAUCAUGGGCUGGUAUUGGUGCCUUCGACCUACUAAACCUAGUGAGGAGACUCACCUCGCACUGCCGAAACACACAGACGAUCCCAUACUGUUGGCUGACAAAUUCCCCGAACUGUCAAUAUCAAAACAACACCCAAUUAUCAAUUAGGUUCCAAACCAUAACCAUAAAUUCAUACUUGGGGUAAAAACACCAUUUUACCCCUAACCUAUCUUGGUCCAAGACCAAAGCCCAACUCACAACUUGAAAGGCCCAGAAGCCAAAUAACCAACCAAAUCCCAAUUAUGGGCCAAUUUUCCAAAUUGGGCCGAAACCCCUUACAUGGGCUUUACCCUAAACCCCAACCAAAAUUUCUAGUCCAAGACACUUAUACUCAGAUGGCCCAUUAAGAACUCAACACCCAAGCCCAAAAAGGAAGCCCAAAAGCUAAAACCCUCCUGACUAAGUACGCGGGGCGUACUCAGCUGUACGGUAAGCAUACAUGUAAUUUGGAUUGUACGCUACAUAUACAGACUUGUACGCCCAACAUACUCAUCCAUUAAGCCAAAAUGCCAUUAAGCACUUAAUACUCAAGAGCAGGAGUCCAAACCAUAGAUUUACUUCUCAAAGAACGUUUAGAACCACAAAGUCAUUGACUUGAUGACUUUGCAUGCCCCAAAAGAACCCAAUAUCAAAAUAAAGCAUUAUACUUUCUCCAAAUGGACACCAUCUCAUGCAUGAGGGAUUCCAAACCCUAAAGGAGACAACUUUAAGCAUCUAGAACCUCAGAAACACCAAGAGUAGCAACUCAUAGCUCCUGGAGUGGUACCAAACCACUAGAUCUCAUUCUUGGGACCAAAAUGAACCAAAAACUCAUACAACUAGAUCUAAGCCAACAAUGAACACGAUCAAAGCUUUUUACCUCAAACAAGCUGGAAAUGAAGCACAUAGUCCAGAUCCAUAAGAUCAUCCUUUAUUCACAACCUUGCAUCAAACUCCAUCUUUUUGGCAACGACCCAAAAACACCAAAAUGCACAUCAUAAGCUCAAAAUUACCACGAUGGAGGCUUAGAGACGAUUUCUAGGGUUUUGGGAACUUGGAGGUUGAUAAAUGGACCAACCAAAAAGACUUAAUGAGAUUAUAUAGGGUACAACUCCAAGAAUUAGGGUUUUCAUUUAUCCUUCGUACGCCCCACGUAUUCCUCGUACGCCCAGCAUACGAGGUAUCACAAACCCAAUCUGACCCUCACAGUACGCUAAGUAUACUCAACAUUUGGCACAAUGUAAUUCUUUUCACAUGAGUACGCCCCGCAUACACCCUAGGUAUGUCCCACAUACUAGGGUUUCCCUACAAACCCUAACAUAUUCUGAAGACCAUAACUUCUUCGUUGUAAUUCCGAUUUCGACGAUCCUUAUAUUCAUAAAAAGGUAACGAGAAGCUAUAUACGUCCAUCAACUCAUAACUGCCUUACCAAAUCCCGAAUAAACAUCUAUUUUCCAUAGAAGCCCGAGCUGAUAAAUUACCGAAAUACCUUUUGGCUCCAAAACACAAACCGAAAACCCAAAUCAUCCAAAUUAAUUUAUCUAACCCCAAAUGAGUCCAAAUCUCAAUUCUUCUUGGGUCCUAAGCCCGCUAAUACCCAAUCCCUGAUCACUAUUCCAAAAUAAGAAACAAUUCGAAGCAUGGUGUUUCACUUAAUAGAACCACAAUCAAAAACUACCAUUUUUAUCUCCUCAUAAUUAAAAGGAGACUGCAAAAAAAUCAACCUGCAAUGGGGUUAAUGUACUAAAAGACAAAAACAAAAUUAUGGCUAUAAUGGUUCCGCAAAGGUGGCUCUGCGGAUCCAUUGUACACCUCUACGGAUCGCUAUAAUCCUCUGAUGAAUUGGCGAAAACGAGGUAAAAUCGGUCAACCACCAAUUCCUCAGAGAUAUUAUAGAUCCACAGAGGUGUACAAUGGAUCUGCAGAGCCACCUCUACGGAACCAUUAUAUCCACAAUAUUUUUUUGUCGUUUAGUGUUGCCACGUCAUUUCCUCAAUACUAUGCAUCGUUCCAUAGAAGAUUAAAUAGAUCCUCAGAGUCCCAUCUGCAGAUCUCAUGGUCAUUUUCCGAAACUUAAAAUUUCAUGGUUAUUUCCUUAAAACACCCCCUAACUUUUGGUUAUUUCAUGAAUUUUCUCUAUUGAAUAAUGGCAACUCGAAUAAUAUAUCUGUCUCCGACAUUUUCACAGGGCUCACUAUCGAAGUGGAUACAAAUUCCUAGAUGCUUAGUAUUGUUUUUAUCUACUCUACAUCCGCCUAGAAAAAUCGAAUAUUGUUGUGCUUGCGGCGUUGCAUAUCACCAUUCAUGUUUUGGAAACCUGCAUGUAGCAUGUCAUUGUCAUGCAACUACUUCCUAAGUUUCUUUUUAAAUUCUUUUGUUUUGAUAAUCUCUCUUUCAUAAGUUUCUAUUGUUUAUGUUUACAUCCCAACAAAUCUCACUCACUGACCACUUACAGUGAUAACAUACUCAAACAAAGAAAAUCAACCCUUAACUGAAAAUGUAGAUUUAAAUAGAUUAAAACAUUAAUUUUUCCAAAAUUUCAAACUUUUUCGAAAAAUUUGAACCAUCUUUUGCAGAACAAGUGCUUCGAAAAUAAUUAAUGAGUUUUGAAAUUACAAAAAAUAAGAUUUUCAAAAAUAUUUUAUGUCAGAAAAUGGUUUUUUGAAAAUCAUACCACACUCACCGUACUAUUACACUGUCAUGUUAUCGCCGCAUCAUUUUUCCUUUCAUCCUUCAAAACCUGUGGGUGACAUACCACAGUUUACUACACACACACACCAACGGUCAAAAAGAAAGAAAAAUAUUGUUGUUAGGUCAUCACACUAUUUUUGGUUGCGGUAAGAAGGGAUUCGAGUUGUGUUAGUCGCAUACUGCGGCGCCAAAUCAACAACUACAAUGUGUGGUAGAGAGUGCACCGACCGGUCUAAGUGAGUUCGAAACUUUUAUCACAUGUUUAAAAAAUUUGAUAAAGGUAUUUUCGAAAUAACUUUACCUCAUAAAUUUUGGAAACAUGCUAACAUUACAACGCACAAAUCUUACUUGGGAACUCUAUUAAAAAAUUACUCAUUAAUUGUGAAAAAAAAAUUCAAAUAACCUUUUUUAUCAUAAAGCAUUUUUUCGAAAAUGAACAUUUUCCAAAUAACCAUGGAAUAUUUAUUUUCAUAUUUGAUGGUUAUUAUUGCCAUAUAUUUUCCAUUUUGUUGUAACGACGUUUUGUCUUAAUAAUAUUAAUAAUAAUUUAUUAAUAGCUUCUUGUUAUAAUUAUAAAAUUAAUAAAAAAAAUAAAAAGUAGUAAACAGAAGUCAUGUUACAACAAUUUAAAAUAUAAUAUUGGUAUUUUAAAAAUAAAUUUUAAUCGUAUUUUUUCUAUUUUAUGUUAGUUUAUAACCCGUAAGAAUCACGGUUAUAAAAUUAAUUAAACUUUUAUAAUAAAAAUUUAUAAUUUUUAAUCAAUUAUUUUAAAUAAGUUAUUUUAAAUAAAUUAAUAAUUAAGAGAUAUAUCAAAUUUUUAAAGUUAUUAUAAUUUCAAAUUUAACUUAUAAUUAGAAAAUAUAAAUUUAAAUUUUGAAAUAAAUUGUCUGACAUACCAUAAUAUUAAUCAACACUUAUAUUAAAACGAGAUUUGUNAUUUUUUGCAGUUUUCUGGCAAUUUUGAUAGCUUUAAUGUUGUUUUUUUGGCAGAUUUUUUGACAGUUGUAACAAUAUAGCAGUUUUUUUUAACAAUUUAAUGUACUCGACAAAAAAUGAGCCUAAAAAGCCCAAACCGUGAAACUAAACCAGAACCAAACCGUUAGUAACAAUUUGAUUUUGUUUGGUUUUAAUUUUUAAACGGUUCCGCUGCGGUUUUUGAUCGAAAAAAAAAACUGUGAAGACCUCUAAGUAGAGGUUCGUUUUGUAUCAAUAUUAAUAAUAAUUUUUUAGUAGCUUCUUAUUAUCAUUAUAAAAUUAAUAGAAAAAUAAAAAGAAAUAAACACAAGUCAUGAUUACAAUAAUUUAAAAUAUAAUAUUGUUAUUUUAAAAAUAUAUUUUAAUUGCAUUUGUUUAUUUGAUAAUGAUAUCCAUCCCUUUAAUAAUGUAUACAACCGGGAUACCAGUAACUUAUGCACUUUCAAUAAAUUAACAUGCUUUCGGAAAAAAAAAUUGUAAAUUUGUAUUUGUAUGUAUAUAUACAUGCAUAUUUCCAACAAAGCAACACCGCUAACCAUGGCUUUUUCUUCUCUCUCCCUUAUCCUUUUCUGCUUCAUCUUCAUAUCAUUCGCCAUCUCCGACGCCGUUGUUCCCCCCGCCGACACUUUUCGGUAUGUCAACCAAGGCGAUUUUGGAGAACUCGAUUCCGAAUACGCCCCAACCUAUCGUCCUCUUCCUCCAUACACCUCCCCUUUCCAGCUCUGUUUCUACAAUACCACCCCCGGCGUCUACACUCUUAGUCUCCGCAUGGGAACCGGACGUGAUGAAGCGGUCAUGCCAUGGGUGUGGGAUGCCAACAGAGGCAACCCAGUUGGCGAAAACGCCACCUUCUCAUUAGCCUCCGACGGAAACCUUGUACUCGCCGACGGAGAUGGACGGAUCGCAUGGCAAACCAACACCGCCAACAAGGGUGUCGUCGGUUUUGCCAUACUCUCCACCGGUAACAUCGUGCUUCGUGACUCCAAGGGUGGUUUCGUCUGGCAAAGCUUUGAUUCACCUACUGAUACGCUUAUGUUUGGUCAAUCUCUCCGGAUCGGAGGUCCAACGAAGCUCGUCAGCAGAGCUUCAACGACGAACAACGUAAACGGAGCGUAUAGUUUCGUGAUAGAGCCAAAAAGAUUGGGUUUGUAUUAUAAGAACAUGCUUUAUUGGUCUUCCACGUUUCCAUUGUUUCCGGAAUUGAACCAACCAAAUGUGACUAUUGUUAAUGCGACAUUCGCCAUCGUGGAAACCGAAUACAAUAACGACUUUAACGCAAUUAGGUGUCAUCUUUCAAACUCUAAUGCUCAACCUUUUUUGGACAUGGACAUACUCCGAUUCAAUAACACGUUAUCCUAUAUCCGAUUAGGCAUCGAUGGGAACUUACGACUCUACUCUUAUCGUCCUCCGAAUAUCCGUUUUAGCCAAUGGCGUAUCGUGUUCAGAUUGUUCGAUAAUAUGGAGACCACGAGGCGGGGUUUAUAUGAAGACGAGUGCCAACUGCCUGAACGCUGCGGCAAGUUUGGGCUGUGUGAGGACAGCCAGUGUGUUGGGUGUCCGUCGCCGGAGGGUGUUUUUGCGUGGAGCAAAAACUGCAAUGCGAAGACGCCGUCUUGUAAAGCGGGUGGUUCUCGUUACUACCAGCUGAAAGGAGUCGACCAUUUCACUUCUAAAUACUCUCCGGGGAGUGGGCCGAUGAAACAGAAAGAUUGCGAGAGUAAAUGCACAAAGGACUGUAAGUGUAUGGGGUAUUUCUAUCGCACUGAUCUAUCGAGGUGUUGGAUCGCUAACGAGUUAAAAACUUUGACGAGGGUUGGGAACUCGACUCAUUUGGCGUACAUCAAAACACCCAUCCAGUAGUUGGAUAAGUCUACUAGGAAAGAGGGAAUAAGGAAGAUGAAAGAUUUGAAGAAAUAGCACUGUUUACUUGCUUUUCUAUAUUUUUACCUUCCAUUGUCUGUUUGUAUCGAAAUCAAAGAGACUAUGUGGUUGUAUAUUUUUUAAGAUGUAAAACGCUUCGGUAUGCAUAACACAUUUGCAGUAGAAUAAAUGUGUUUACAGUCUACAAGUGGACAAAAUAUUUACAGUUUAAAUAAAGUUUUUUUAAUAAUUAUAAAAAAUAAAAUUAAAAAUUGUUUCAAUAAUUACAAGAACGUAUAAACUGCAAAAUAUGAUUAUCUUGCGGAUUACCAUUUUUUUAUAAUUAUUGAAAAAAAUCUUUUAAUUUUAAUUUUGUUUACUUUAUCUUUUUUAUGUUGUAUGUAGAACUUAAAAAACAAUCAAUCUUUUCUUGUAAAUGCAAACAAUUAGUCCCCUUGUAGACUACCAACACCUUACCUAUUGAAGGCAUGUAUUUUUUCUAUAUGGUAUUUUAUUUUCUAUUAUGAAACAUGAAAUGCAAAUUUAAUUUGAAAAUCAGUAAAUCUAUAAAUAAUUUAAAAAAAAAAAAAAAAAAAACACUAAAAUUACGAUACACAAAAUUGUGUGUCGUCUUUAUUUAUGACAUGACCUUUCUUGACAGGGACUUCCUAGAUACGCAUUGCGUGUCAUAAACACGCGCUUCGUAAGGUUACGGCACGCAAAUGCGUGUCGUCUUCCUUUAUGACAGGGCCUUCCUUGAUACGCAUUGCGUAUCAUAACCGUGCGUCGUAAAUGCGCGUCGUCUAUAGAUGACGCGCAAAAGCGCGUCGUCUAUAGAUGACGCGCAAAAGCGCGUCGUCUCUCUUUAUGACAGGGCCUUCCUUAACGCGCAUUUGCGUGUCGUCUGAGCGUUUUACGAUGCGCAAUGAGCGUCGUAAAAGGCUGUUUUUUAGUGCGAUAAAGGGUCGGCCUUGGUGCCGUAGACCCUGUCGAUAUAGUGAGGAUAACCCACCUCGCGACUUUCGAAACUCUAAACUGAAGAAGCAGAUGCCCGAACCACCGUCUCACCAAAGAUCCUGAACUAUCCAAAGUAGCAAAAUACACAUUAGACCAAGCACAAUAUCCUUCCAAGGGUAAAUUGACCAAUUUACCCUUAACUCAAUUUGGUCCAUGACUAAGGUCCAUAAUGAAAAUAUGAAAGGCCCAACACUAGGUAAGCUCUCAAGCCUAUUAAUGGUCCAAAGACCAAAAGUCUGAAGCAAAGCCCAAUAUUGGCCCAAUUUACUAAAUUGGGCCCACCUCACCAAAUGGGCCUAGAUCCAAGGUCCAUAAUAAUUAGUGAGUCCAAAUUACUCCAUCCAUAAUGUCCAGUCACAGCCCAAGCCAUAUUAGCCCAAUAACAACCCAAUCUCUUAAGGCCCAAAAUGAAAACUCAACAGAGGGAGUACGUUGGGCGUUCCCUUCUUGGUAUGCUGGGUGUACAACAAUGCUCGCGGAUUGGAAUCAGGACACAGACCCACUACGUUGGGCGUACUCCCAUUUAGGCAGGGCGUAACCUCGCUGAACUACAACUCCACAUAAGAUCUUAAUGGCUUAAGCUCUUAAGCCCAAACUUCAGAUCCAUAGACAAAAUAUGCCUAGGAUUCAUAAAGUCUCAAACUUUAUUACUUGGGACGUCCAUAAACCUCUUAACCCAAGGUCUUAAUCCAUUAAGACCUACCUAUAUCACAUAUGAGACAACCAAAGCCCUUGGGACCUCAUUUUUCUUACUCAAGACCUCUCCUAAGGUCUGAAAGGACAACUAAUCUCGACCAACUCGAAUCAUGCAUCAAGUUGAGGUUUUUGGGACAAGAAUGGUGUUAAAACUUCACAACACAAAGAUCUAUACAAUAAGAUUGUCAAGCCAGAGACUUUUUACCUCAAAAGGGCUCCAGAAGAUGAUGCCUCUCCAGAUCUACGAGCUCCAGCCGCCCCACUCCUUCUUUGACAACUUAUGUUUUCUUCUUCUUGGUUUUCCUUUGCCAAAACAAGCUUUCCAAGGUCAACACACCCAACAAUGGAGGUGGAACGGCUAUCUAGGGUUUUCUGAGGGUAAGAGAGUGUUUAUGGAGGCUAGGGUUGGAACCAUAAUGUUCCUUAUAUAGUGGUUGACCCUAAAUUUAGGGUUUCUGGAUGAUAGACGUACGUUGGGCGUACAUCCAGUACGUUGGGCGUACGUCGAGAGACCUCCGCGUUCAUUUACUCCAUUACGUUGGGCGUACCUAGCCAAACACGUGCAUGAAUGCUUGGCAUGCAUGGGACCCCUUUGCUAAACUUCCCCCUUAGGGACCAUUGUUGUCAAUAUCUUCAAUUUACAACAUAUCCUCCAUCCUAAGUUCGUUCCCGACGAACUUUAUAUCCACAUAAAGGGGCGCGAGAAGACCUACGCUUCUAGUGACACACCCCGACCCGAAAACCCAUUUCGAAUAAACCCAAUACCCAUAAAAAGACCGAAACGCCCUUACUCUUGAUCUCGGGAACCCAUAAAUAGAUAUUUUAAGAACGGAGCGUUACAGAUAUUGAUUGGGAUGUUGUACAAGCAUUUAUGGUUUUUGCUAAGGUGUUUUAUGAAGUGUGAAAUCGGUUUUCGGGGUCUUUGUAUGUAACUUUUCGUGCUUACUUUCAUGAUAUGUGUUCAUUGCAUAGCCAUAUUCAUGAAUGCAUUAAAAGUGAUGGCGGGUGAGUUCAAUGGCUAUGAAUAUGAAAGCAAAGUAUGAUAAAUAUUGGGAAAAUGCAGAAAAGAUGAAUUCUAUAUUGUAUGUAGAUGUUGUUUUUGAUCCUCGAUACAAAUUAAAAUAUGUCAAUUGGAGUUUGGAAGAAAUAUAACCUAUCGGUGAUAUUGCAUGUGACUUGAAAAAAAGUUAAAAGCCACUUUGAAUCGACUUUAUGUCUUUUAUUUGGAAAAAGAUCCUAUGCAUGCCAAAAUUCUUCUUCAAACAAGAAUCAUAACAAAAGAAAAGUUAAUGAGAAUCUUAACAUACAAGAGAAACGUAUGCUAAAAUAUAAGGAACAUUUGGAAGAUGAAAAAAAUAGGAGAAUUGAGUGAGCUUGAAAGAUAUUUGUCAGACAAUCAAGAGCCAAGUUAUGAGUCAUUUGACUUGUUGGAUUGGUGGAAGACAAAUAAAGCAAAAUAUUGUAUUUUGGGAAAAAUUGCACGCGAUGUCGUGGUUGUUGCAGUUUCUAUAGUUGCUUCGGAAUCCACAUUUAGCACAUGGGGUAGAGUUUUGGAUUUAUUUAGGAGUAGUCUUUCUCCUAAAAGAGUGCAAGCGCUUGUAUGCACACAAAAUUGGAUUUGGGGUGUGUUUAACAAAACUGCAAAAGUUUGUUAUGAAGAUGUGUUGCAAGAAAUUGAAGACCUUGAAGAAAUUCAAAAUAGUAAGAUUUCAGAUGUUAAAAAGUUUUAUAUCUCUUUGUUAUUAUUUUUUACAAAAUAUAACCUGUAUUUCAGGUUUUGCAAGCGAACUUAGUAUUUGCGCCGACAAUAUCGAUUGAAAGAUACUUUUCUUCUCAUGGUCUUAUAUUGAACUUUUGGUGUGAUGUUUUAAUAUUGAGUUUUUUGAACAAUAAACACAUAUGAAUUGGAUGACAUUUUGGAAGUGGAUAACAUUUUGGAAGUGAGCUUGCGGAUAAUGGAAAAAUAUUUGUGGUUUGUGUGUAUCGGUCUGAUGUUUGAUGUAAUGGAACAAUAUUUGUUAUUUUUAUUUACUGUUUUGGAUGGUUUUUAGGUUGCAUGAAUAGAUACAAAUGCUUGACGUAAUAGAAAGAUUUUAAAAAGUUUUAACAACUUUAAUAUGUUGUUUUUUUAACAAUUUUUUGCAGUUUUCUGGCAAUUUUGAUAGCUUUAAUGUUGUUUUUUUGGCAGAUUUUUUGACAGUUGUAACAAUAUAGCAGUUUUUUUUAACAAUUUAAUGUACUCGACAAAAAAUGAGCCUAAAAAGCCCAAACCGUGAAACUAAACCAGAACCAAACCGUUAGUAACAAUUUGAUUUUGUUUGGUUUUAAUUUUUAAACGGUUCCGCUGCGGUUUUUGAUCGAAAAAAAAAACUGUGAAGACCUCUAAGUAGAGGUUCGUUUUGUAUCAAUAUUAAUAAUAAUUUUUUAGUAGCUUCUUAUUAUCAUUAUAAAAUUAAUAGAAAAAUAAAAAGAAAUAAACACAAGUCAUGAUUACAAUAAUUUAAAAUAUAAUAUUGUUAUUUUAAAAAUAUAUUUUAAUUGCAUUUGUUUAUUUGAUAAUGAUAUCCAUCCCUUUAAUAAUGUAUACAACCGGGAUACCAGUAACUUAUGCACUUUCAAUAAAUUAACAUGCUUUCGGAAAAAAAAAUUGUAAAUUUGUAUUUGUAUGUAUAUAUACAUGCAUAUUUCCAACAAAGCAACACCGCUAACCAUGGCUUUUUCUGCACUCUCCCUUAUCCUUUUCUGCUUCAUCUUCAUAUCAUUCGCCAUCUCCGACGCCGUUGUUCCCCCCGCCGACACUUUUCGGUAUAUCAACCAAGGCGAUUUUGGAGAACUCGAUUCCGAAUAUGCCCCAACCUAUCGUCCUCUUCCUCCAUACACCUUCCCUUUCCAGCUGUGUUUCUACAACACCACCCCCGGCGUCUACACUCUCAGUCUCCGCAUGGGAACCAGACGUGAUGAAGCGGUCAUGCCAUGGGUGUGGGAUGCCAACAGAGGCAACCCAGUUGGCGAAAACGCCACCUUCUCAUUAGCCUCCGACGGAAACCUUGUACUCGCCGACGGAGAUGGACGGAUCGCAUGGCAAACCAACACCGCCAACAAGGGUGUCGUCGGUUUUGCCAUACUCUCCACCGGUAACAUCGUGCUUCGUGACUCCAAGGGUGGUUUCGUCUGGCAAAGCUUUGAUUCACCAACUGAUACUCUCUUGUUUGGUCAAUCUCUCCGGAUCCGAGGUCCGACGAAACUCGUCAGCAGAGCUUCAACGACGAACAACGUUAACGGAGCGUAUAGUUUCGUGAUAGAGCCAAAAAGAUUGGGUUUGUAUUAUAAGAACAUGCUUUACUGGGCUUCCACGUUUCCGGCGUAUCCGGAAUUGAACCAACCAAAUGUGACUAUUGUUAAUGCAACAUUCGACAUCGUGGAAACCGAAUACAAUAACGACUUUAACGCAAUUAGGUGUCAUCUUUCAAACUCUAAUGCUCAACCUUAUCUGGACAUGGACAUACUCCGAUUCAAUAACACGUUAUCCUAUAUCCGAUUAGGCAUCGAUGGGAACUUACGACUCUACUCUUAUCGUCCUCCGAAUAUCCGUUUUAGCCAAUGGAGUCUGGUGUUUAGAUUGUUCGAUAACAGGGAGACCACGAGGCAGGGUUUAUAUGAAGACGAGUGCCAACUGCCUGAACGCUGCGGCAAGUUUGGGCUGUGUGAGGACAGCCAGUGUGUUGGGUGUCCAUCGCCGGAGGGUGUUUUUGCGUGGAGCAAAAACUGCAACGUGAAGACGCCGUCUUGUAAAGCUGGUGGUUCUCGUUACUACCAGCUCAAAGGGGUCGACCAUUUCACCUCUAAAUACUCUGCGGGGACUGGGCCGAUGAAGCAGAAAGAUUGCGAGAGUAAAUGCACAAAGGACUGUAAGUGUAUGGGGUAUUUCUAUCGCACUGAUCUAUCGAGGUGUUGGAUCGCUAACGAGUUAAAAACUUUGACGAGGGUUGGGAACUCGACUCAUUUGGCGUACAUCAAAACACCCAUCCAGUAGUUGGAUAAGUCUACUAGGAAGAGGGAAUAAGGAAGAUGAAAGAUUUGAAGAAAUAGCACUGUUUACCUGCUUUUCUUAUUUUUACCUUCCAUUGUGUGUUUGUAUCGAAAUCAAAGAGUCUAUGUGGUAUACUUUUUAAGAUGUAAAACGCUUUGGUAUGCGUAACACAUUUGCAGAAGAGUAAUGUGUUUCCAGUCUACAAGAAAAAAGAUCGAUUAUUUAUUAAAUUCUACAACGACAUAAAAAAGGGUAGCUGCUAUUUGUAUACACCUCUAGGGAAUGAAAGACGAGAUCACAUCAAUCAUCGUGGUCUUUCUAUAAAUUUUAUAAGGUAGGCUAAAUUUUUUUUCUUAUUUUACCAUUUAGACGCCCUUAAUUAAUUUUAAAUUUUUUUUUUAUUGUCGCCAGAACAAAUGCUAUCAGAAAAGUUAAAAACCCUGUCGCAUGGUAUAGAUACAUGUGGGAUAUUAUUGGAAAAUAGAGAACAUAAUUUUUGGAGUUUCGGUUUUUUGGGCUAAAUUUAGGGUAGAGUGUUAUAGAUGAUUCCUGAUUGGUUAAUAAGGCUGGGGGAAUUGGAGUCACCGAAAAUGCAUUCCUUCUCCCAUCACAUAAGCGUCAUGUCAUUUUUUACCACUCAAAUGUGGUUUCUUGCCACAUCAAGUGUGUAGUGCCACACUUUUCAUUUCUUUUAUUUUUUUGUUUUUUUUAAGUAUUUUAAUUUAAUAAAACUUCCUUUUUUUAACUAUUUUAAUUUAAUAUAACUUAUAUUUUAAUAACAAAAACAUAAUUUUUCAUUACUUAAAAAUUAAAAAAAAAAAACACUAUAUUACGUUACUAAAAAAAACCCAUACAUAUGACAUUUAAAUAAUCUUAGAAACUUAAAAAACAUAAAUAAAAUAACUAAAGCAAACUACAUAAAGUCAUUCUCCGAGAACUCGUCUUCGGGGUCAUCCGGUGAAUCCAAAUUAAGGUUAAUGUUUUGAACCCUAUAAAUGUUUUCCAAGUCAUUGCGAAGAUUGUAAAAUGUUUCAGUGCAAUGUAUCUUUGCUCUCCUGUUUAUAUACUCUUCGCCACCAAUUUCUAUUGGCUAUGUCUCUGGUAUGGUUUCUUCUUCGUCAAACUCACAUAUCGCUUUUCCUUCGUCUUCAUUAAUCAUGUUAUGCAAUAUAAUACAUGUAUAUAUGAUUUCUUGAAGUUUUUCCUUGCCCAAAUAAGUUGUUGGUUUUUUCAAUAUGAACCACCGUUUCUUCAGAGCUCCAAAGGCACGCUCAACAUCUUUCUUAGCUCUUUCUUGAGCUCUCUUAAAUUUCUUUUGUCAAGAACCAUGUGGAGCUGAAAACGGUUUAACAAACACAGCGUACUUAGGAUAGAUUCCAUCGACCAGAUAAUAACCAUACUUAUAUGGCGUUCCACGCACUUGAAAAGAAGAAUCUGGUGCGAAUCUAUCGUAUAUGUUGUUAAAUAUUAAUGAACGGUUAAGAACGUUGAUGUCGUUAAUCGAACCAAGAGAACCAAAAAAAGCAUGCCAAAUCCACAUAUCUUGUGAUACAACUGCUUCAAGUAUGACCGUUGGGUGACCAUGAUCACCUCGGGUAAAUUGCCCAUAAUAUGUUGUAGGGCAAUUUUCCCAUGCCCAAUGGAGACAAUCUAAGCUUCCUAGCAUUUCAAGAAACCCAUGCACACUAGCAUGAUGAGCUUGCAAUUGCAGGAUGUCAUUACGUGUAGGCUUACGUAAAUAUUUUGGACCAGAAAACUGAAUCAUAGUUUUGCAGAAAAAAUGGAGACUGUCUCGUGCUAUCCUAGCAGACAUCCUAAAACUUUCGUCUAGCGCAUCAGGCGGAAUUCCAUAUGCUAACUGACGAAGUGUGCCCGUGCAUUUUUGUAAGAGAGUGAAACCGAGUGUACCUCUAGUAUCGUAGCGUUGUUGGAAAAAACUACACUCCCUCGUUACAUCGUCAACUAUACGUUCGAAUAAACCUUUGAGCAUUCUGAAGCGCCUACGAAAUACCUUGGUAAGUGGCAUUCUCUGCAAAAUAUUCUUGCACCAGACGUUGGUUGACUUCUUCACGAUUUCUGUAAAUAUAUCUUCGUGUUCUCUGUUGAGAACUUACAGCUGCGUUGUUACAUACAACGUUGUAUGUUUGUUCCGCCAUUUAAACACACGCAAUAGCGAUAUCAAAAAUAGUCUGAAAUUCUUCAGAAGAUGAAGAAGAUGACAUUUUUGAGAGAGUGGUGAUUUAAAUUUUUUUUUUUUUUUUUGAGAGAGAAAGGAGAUUGUGUUGUAAAAAAAAAGAUUAAGUUGAUAUGUAUAUAUAUAGAAAAGAAAAAGCAAAAGAAAAAAAAUUAAAUGCUCAACGUCAAUCCUUCCCAACUUCCCUCAACCAAUCAGAACACACGGUCUUAGAGAACCGCACUAUGGCCAAGAUUGUACUAGACCGCGGUCUGAAAACGGUGUUUCAAUACUACGUGGCAUAAAGUGCGGUCUGGAACGGUACCCGCACCGUGAAGCCUAAGUAAAGCAAACGGAUUUUGACGGACACACGAACCCGCGAUACUAGUAACUAUUACCUUUUCAUUAAAUUAACAUUCUUUCAUAAAGAGAAUAUAAAAGUCUAUAUAUAUGCAUAUAUAUCCGACAAGGCAACACAGUAACCAUGGUUUCUUCUCUCUCCCUUAUCCUUUGCUGCUUCAUCUUCAUAUCGUUAUCCAUCUCCAACGCCGUUGUUCCUCCCGCCGAUACUUUUCGGUAUGUCAAUCAAGGCGAUUUUGGAGAAUUCGAUUCCGAAUACGCCCCAAACUAUCGUCCUCUUCCUCCAUUCACCUACCCUUUCCAGCUCUGUUUCUACAACACCACCCCCGGUGUCUACACUCUCAGUCUCCGCAUGGGAACCAGACGUGAUCAAGCAGUCAUGCCAUGGGUGUGGGAUGCCAACAGAGGCAACCCAGUUGGCGAAAACGCCACCUUCUCAUUAGCCUCCGACGGAAACCUUGUACUCGCCGACGGAGAUGGACGGAUCGCAUGGCAAACCAACACCGCCAACAAGGGUGUCGUCGGUUUUGCCAUACUCUCCGAUGGUAACAUCGUGCUUCGUGACUCCAAGGGUGGUUUCGUCUGGCAAAGCUUUGAUUCACCGACUGAUACACUCUUGUUUGGUCAAUCUCUCCGGGUCGGAGGUCCGACGAAGCUCGUCAGCAGAGCUUCAGCGACGAACAACGUUAACGGAGCGUAUAGUUUCGUGAUAGAGCCAAAAAGAUUGGGUUUGUAUUAUAAGAACAUGCUUUACUGGGCUUCCACGUUUCCCGAAGUGAACGACCGAAAUGUGAAUAUUGUCAAUGCAACAUUGGAAAUCCAGAGAACCGAAUACGAAGAAAACUACUUUAAUGCGCUAAAGUGUCGUCUUUCAAACUCUGAAGCUCAACCUAAUUUGGACUUCGACAUACUCCGAUACAAUAGCACGUUAUCAUAUCUCCGAUUAGGCAUCGAUGGGAACUUAAGACUCUACUCUUAUCGUCAGAAUGUCCGUUUCAGCUCAUGGAGUCUGAUGUUCACUUUGUUCACUAGAAGGGUGAGCGAGAGGGGAGAGAUAGUUGAAGACGAGUGCCAACAGCCUGAUCGCUGCGGCAAGUUUGGGCUGUGUGAGGACAGCCAGUGCGUUGGGUGUCCGUCGCCGGAGGGUGUUUUUGCGUGGAGCAAAACUUGCAACGUGAAGACGCCAUCUUGUAAAGCGGGUGGUUCUCGUUACUACCAGCUCAAAGGGGUCGACCAUUUCACUUCUAAAUACUCUCCGGGGAGUGGGCCGAUGAAACAGAAAGAUUGCGAGAGUAAAUGCACAAAGGACUGUAAGUGUAUGGGGUAUUUCUAUCGCACUGAUCUAUCGAGGUGUUGGAUCGCUUACGAAUUGAAAACUUUGACGAGGGUUGGGAACUCGACUCAUUUGGCUUAUAUCAAAACACCUAUUCAGUAGCUCUGUGGUGCACGAGAAACCGGGAACAAGGAAGGUGCACUGUAUAGUUGCUUUUAGUAAAUUCUGACCUUCCAUUGUGUCUUUGUAUCGAAAUCAAAUAAUAUUCUUGUUUUGAUUUAUAAAAAAUUAGGUUAUAUGAGAUAACCGUUAUAUAUAAAUAAUAUUUAAAAUGAUUAAAAAAAUAUUUUUAUUAAAUUCAUCAUUUACAACCAACUUAUAAAAUAUAGCAGAUGUGCAAGAAAAAGAAAAAAACUUUUUUGAAAUAGUAUGUAAGAUGGUGCCGUAAAUAAUGCGAAUUAAUUUAAUAGAAGGAUUUGACUUAUAAUGGUAAGUUUAUCAUAAGAUUUAUGCUUAAAAUUUGAUUUUUUUUUUUUUAAAUCUAGAUGCAACCUUGGGAGGUUGUAAUUAAUUUACGACGGAAUAACAAAUCUAUUUAUAUAAACAAAAUGUAUUUUUAUAAACAAAACAUAAGUUUAUUAUUAUUAAUUUUAUCUUUUUUUAUCCACAUUGUGUCAAUAAAAAUAGUGUAUAAAAAACGUAUAAUUGGGUUUAAAAAAUUUCUUCUGUUUAUUGUAUUCGCCGAAUAAAAUAAACAACAUUAUGGAACCAAAAGUCAAUAUUGAAUUGCUCGUUAAUUUGUAGGUGGAGUCGGUUCAAGGAAAUAACAUCCUACUUUCAAUAUUACAACUAAAAAACAAAUAUCGAUUUGAGUAUUUACAUUUAUAUUCUUGAAAGACACCCUUUAUGUCAUGUUUAUAUAUUCUAUUUUCUUUUAAAAUUGUUAAACUAACAAUAUACGUUUUUUUUUAUUAUCACAAAUAUGUUGAACACCAAAAAUUUGUCAUUUUAACCAACCAAUAAGAGGGAUGUACACUAACUUGGAAUAUUUCAUUUGAAAUGACUUAUUGAUAGAUAUAGCAGAGAAUGUUUUAAAUGUUAACCGAACUAUAAGGCCGGACGGAGUGGGAUGAGGGGAAGGAGCGGGAACCGAUCCCGCACUUGUGCACACCGCACCGUGGGUGCGGGAAAGGAACCGUGGGAAGACAGUGGGGGGAGAGAGUCCCGCUCUCUCUCUCUCUUCUAACCAUUGGCCGACGAUUUUUUUUUCUUUUUUACUCAAACGGCUAUAUAGCCGUUACAUAUGUAUAUAUUUAUUUAUUUUUUUUCUUUUUUCCUUCUUUUUUCUUAAUCUAUAAAUACUCAAACAUUUUAUCAUUUUUUUAAACCAUAAUCUAUAUUUCUCUAUAUUUCUCUCUAAAAAAUAUUACUCAAAAUGUCAUCAUCUUCAUCAUCCGAUUUGACGGCAGUAGAGAAAGCUAAGUUUAUCGGUUCCUUCAUGGUGAAAACGGUUGCAUACUAUCAAAACCAACUUGGUGAAACAUCACGUGCACGACCUAACAUAAGAAAGCCGCCAUUACGUAGAAAUCACGAAGCCGGACACGAUCGUUUUAUAGAAGAUUAUUUUGUAGAUGACGCCGUCUACGCUGUAAAGUUUCGACGUCGGUUCCAGGUGAGGAAUGAACUAUUUUUACGUAUUGUUGGCGAUGUGGAAGGCCGCUUUCCAUAUUUCCAAUGGAAAAUGGAUACAAGGGGAAAAAAAGGUUUCUAUCCCAUUCAAAAAUGCAUGGCUUAAAUUCGUCAGCUAGCAUACCACAUGGGCGCAGACAAAUGGGACGAUUAUUUUAAGAUGUCAGAGCGUACCGUGAGGGACUCUGUGUACAAGUUCUGCAAAGUGAUAUGUUUGGUUUACGGGCAACGAUAUUUGCGCAAACCAACUAUCAACGAUAUCCACCAAUUGUAUACGGUGCAUGAAGGCAAACAUGGAUUCCCUGGAAUGCUAGGUAGUAUCGAUUACAUGCAUUGGAGUUGGUCAUUAUGCCCCAACGCAUGGCGUGAUCAGUACAUGAGAGGCGAACAUAAAGAGUCGGCGAUCAUUCUAGAGGCUAUCGCAUGACAUGAUCUUUGGAUAUGGCAUGCAUUCUUUGGUCCAACUGGUGCAAACAUUCUUUUUGAGAUAAAGGAAUGAGUGUUUUGGAUGAUUAUGACCUUUCCAGCCAUGCAAAGGCUGAAAGUUGUGAACUUUAUGGAGUAAGAGCCUUUGGGGAGUCCAUAUCUGAGAUAUGAGCUAAGGUCGUAACAGGUUAAGACCAAGUGAGUGAAUUAAGCAAAGCUGGGCAUACGCCCAACAUAAUUCCAAUACGCCCCCGUGUAUUGGGUUGGUGUACCCGAUCAUAUCUGGUGCAUGCUCGUGUACGCUGAGCGUACAAAGGGAGGUACGCCCCGCGUAACUUGCCUGCGGGCUUUUGGGUUAAAUUUCAUAUGGGCCAUAAAGGGUUGGUCCUGAAUCCUUGGAUUGGUGCAGAAGAGACUUUGAGCAUAGAAAUAUUUUUAUGCCUUAGGCCCUUGAGUAGGGCUUGUCCCUUGGACUUGAGAGUUGGGCCUCGGGAGAACCCAUUUAUUAUUGGGCCUUGGUGGGCCCAAUGGGUUUAGAUCAUUGUUGGGUUGGUUAGUGGACUACUUUUAGACCUAAUGAGUGAGAGUUUGGACUUAGUUCCUAAUUGGGAUAAUUUUGGGUUUUGGCACAGAGUUAGUGGCCGGUGCGUAGCAGCAACGUUUAGGGGUUGUUCAUCAUCCGAGGUGAGUCUUCUCACUAUACUUUACCUAGAGUGGUACUUAUGUGUGAGCAGAGGGUCUUAUGUGCUUAAAUUGAGAAUUAUGUUAUCCUGCCUUAUGUGUUAGAUGUGCAUUAUGUCUUUGUGAUUUAUGCUAUGUGGAGCUUUACAGACCGGACCAGAGGGUCCAACGAGUUGUGAGACCAGGAGGUCCUCAUUUAGACCGGACCGGAGGAUCCAACGAGCUGUGGGAAUGGAGGGUCCCACUGAUACACAUUGACCGGAGGGUCUAUAGAGAUAUAGCCUUGAGUGGCUAAUUAUUUGUGCGUGGUAUUUUGGGAAACUUGCUAAGCUUUGUGCUUACCGUGUUAUGUGAUAUGUGUUUCAGGUUUCCUCAGGAUCGCGGGAAGGCACCGGCUGGAUUGUACACACCAAAGAAGGAGUUAUGUUUUGAGGAUCCUGGAUUAUUAAUCAAAUAAUGACAUAUUUGUAUUUUAUAAAUUAAAUAAAAGAGAUUUUUAUGAUUUGUGUUAUGAGAAUUACGAGAUAUUAAAUGAAAAUUUGAUUUGAAAAUAUACGGUGUUAAAAGUUGCUAUCAGAGUCUUGGUUUGAGGGAUUUGGAUGCACCUUCAGGUAUAUCUGGACUCAAACUGAGGAUUUGAGAAAAAAUUUCAAAAGAAAUGAUUUUGUCUAAAACGAGCAAGAGUUUCUAAGAGAAAAACGAGAAAGAGCAGUGUAUACAAUCAGCCAGAGCCCGAACGGUGAUUUCCCUAAAUACCCUUACUUAUUUGUGUUAUGAGUUAUUAUUGAGGUAUUAUUUAUGCAUGUUAGAAGAUAGGCUAGGUAUUUCAUAUUUUAGGGCUAGAGUUGCCUGAAUUGUGAUGCCUUAGCCUAGGAAUUUUGCUAUCUGUGAUGUGUUUUGGGUAUGUGCGGAGUAAGAGUAUCCAGCAGGAAUAUUUCAGAGAUAGAGCUUCGAGUAGAGGAGUAAUCUAGGAGAGAUUUCUGGAUGAGCAUUGGAGGAGCCUAACGAGAGAGUAGUUAGAUGCCUGCAUGGGGUAGAGUUUCUUGAGUUCGGUGAAACCUGUUGAGUGUGAGUAGAGCCAAUGGAAUUGUAACCUAGAGUGGUUGUAUGUGUUGGUAGAGAAUAUUUGAUGCUCAAAUGCUGCUUUCUUCUUGCUUUGUGGAACUCAGGAUGAUGGGAGUCAGCUACUAAGUGAAUAUGACGAUAUUCAGGAGGCAGAUAGCUGACAUUAUUAGGGGUUCUUCAGCAGUUGAUGGUAGAGAAGUGAGAGUGCCCAAGAAGAGCCUAGUGAGUGACCUUAGUCAUAUGAGUAUGCUGAUAGAGGAGAUUAUUUGUUGGGGAGCAACCAAGUAUAUCAGAUUGGUGAUCGGGAAGGUUGAGCAGCUAGUUAGGAAAUCAGGGAUGGUCCGUGUGGAAAGUAUGGGUAGAUGUGGUAGGUAGUAUGGGCCGUACUACUAAAAGUAUAGGACCCAUACUCGAUACAGGGAGAAUUCCAGAGGUUCUAAGCAGCAGAUUGAGAGGAGAUCACAGGGUUCGAGUACCAUGAUUCAUAGCAGAUUGGGUGGGGGGUGAUCACAUGGUUCGAGUACCAUAAUUCGUGGCGGUUAGUGCUUCUGGUUUUACCAGUUGGCCAUGGUGGUUGAGUAGUUUAAGAUCAGGUGAUAGAGUGUGGGGACAGAGGGCCAGGUUGAGCAAGUCUUAAUGGAGAAUACCUUGAGAGAGAAAUUGAGUUCCUUUCCGAGAGAUUUUAUUGGUGAGAUGCCAGUUGGAACCGUAAUUCUCAGGGAUGAGUAGAGAUGAUGUUUUUGGAGGAACAUGGUUUGAAUCGAGCCAUCGGCUAAUGGAUGAGACGUCACUUUCUAUGGCAAGAGUUGCAUUGUUUCCGUUUCCUAGGAGAAGUGAAGGAGAUAUCAAGUUUUCGUUUUCAGAGUUUGGAGGUAGACCCCGUGGGGUACCAUUGGUGGCGACCAUUUCAUCAGAAUAUUUGAGCAGUUUGUCUGCUGCGAGGUAUUUCUUGUACCAUGGAAUCAGUAGUGGAUGACGAGAUGGAAGAGACUCAGGAAGGUGAUAUCUGAGUAUGGCAUGCAUUUAGAAGCAGUUUCAGGUAGUUAAGAGAAAUAUAUCGGGGGCGGUGACCCUCGUUGUUAUAUUGAGUAUCGGUUGUGAGGGUGAGGUCUCGGGCAUUAAUGUUGAUUUCCGUGUUAGGAGACUGGUCGAGAAGUCAAAGACAAGGGGUGUGAUAGAGCAUUAUUUCCGUACCGAGGGUCAGAGAUAUUUCGGAACACUUGGGUAUCCGGCGGUGUGUUAGUCAGAGGUUCGAGAUGACUAGAGGCAGUCACGAUUGGGAGAUUUUGAGAUCCUUGUUUGAGUUACGGGAUUUGAAGUUGCUGGGUUUCCAUCAGAAAGAUCAUUAAGCAUUUGCAUGGUACGUUCCAAGAGUCGAGAGUGAUGUGCCUGGUGAUUGUUCAAACCCUGAGUGGGGGAGAACUAGGUAUUCAAUAAAGCAGAUCAACAACUCAUUAUGGUACUAUUGGUUAUGGAAAUAUAUGGUGCGGACACAUGCAACCUAGGAUGAUGUAUGAGUAUGUACUUAAGGAAGGAUGAUUGAAUCCACGGCAGGGGUCAUUGGUCAGAGAACUUAUUAUGGCUAGAGGUUUUUCGGGUUGCAAAUGAUGAGUUCGAGGCGGAUGAGUCGUUGAGUUCAGGAAAAAAAGCUGAGAUUUGCGGGUAUGGGUAUAGAUUGUGGUCUAUACUCUGGAAGAAGGCAAGAGUGAUUGUUAACCAAUUUGAGAGUCGGUUGGAGUAGUUUCAUAUGAGUAGUGAUCAGUAGAGGGACGAGCUUGGAUUUCGUCAACGUGUUCUGAGCCAUUGUCGACAUCUCUGUGUUUCAAAUUCAGAAAUGGAAUAUUCUGAGGUGAUAAGAAGUUCGAGAAGAAGAUCGAUUGCAAGAUUUUGAAAGAGAAACGCGAUAUUUGAGUAUGAUGCCGAGAUUAUGGGGUCGGUGGUUAAGGCAAAACAUUAUGAGGUUCUUUGAUGGUGUACCGAGGCAACCGAGUAUGAUGUACUAACUUUCAAGUCAUAUUAGGACUCGAGUCGUGAGAAGGCGGGUGGAGUACCUUGUGAUUUUAUUCCAAUACGGAAACCAUCAGUUAAUUGUCGUUGGAGUGAGACUGUAUAAGGGUGUAUCUGUGUUGAGCCUAGUACCUUGCCUGUGAGAACUUGUAUCGAAAGUGGUGAUACAUAAGUUGGGUGAGUGUAAGCACUUAUCUAUAUGGAAUUGCAGAGCAUGAUUGGUGAACUAAGUGUGGUGAUAACUUGCAAACGAGAUCAUGAGGGAUAAGAGAGCAAGUGAUCUGAGUGGGGAGUAUUCACUUGGGAUUAUCAGGAGAAACCGUGGACUGAGCCCUUGGUGAGUCAGUGAGCGAGAUAACGUUAUAGCACUACGGGGAGCCGUAGUAUCCAUGAGUCAGUGAAAGAGAGUGUCGUGUUACUACGAGGACCCGUAGUAUUCACGGGAUAGUGGGAGAGGGCUGUAAUACUACGGGGAGUUGUGGUAUUCAUUAGUCAGCGAGAGAGUGUCGUGAUACUAUGGGGAGCCAUAGUAUUUAUUGUUUAGAGAAAGAGUGUUGUGAUGCCACGGGGAGUCGUAGCAUUCGCGAGUCAGUGAGAGAGUGUUGCAAGCCUACGAGGGAGACUGUAGCGCUCAGUGGUCGAUGAGGGUGAAUACUUAUCAAUGGAGAGUUGUAGUAUUCACUACCCAGAGUAUGGCGCAGGGGAGUUCUUAGGCUUGGGUAGCCUUGCUACCUGAGUCUUCGGGAGCUUGGUUGCCAAACCAGGAGCGAGACAGGGGUCUCCAUUUCAGUUGGAAAUCAUUGUAUCCCUGGGUCGAGGAGGAUUAGCAUAGUUGGAAGGAAUCAGAGAGAUGGUGUGGGGGUAAUCUGCGAAUUAUGGGUCAUGAGUGAGUACUGGAUUUGAAAUGAGAGGUUCCAAUUUUGCUUUUGAAUCAGACUCUCGAGCUUGAGUCUGUAUCCAUUUGUGUUUUGAAUAAGUGAGGUGAGGUUUCGAAUCAGUUUCGUUGGUAUGAGAAGUACCGCGAGAUGCAAGGAACCAGUGAGUGGUAGACGACAACGGUUGGAGGUGAAGCGAACCCAGAUGAGUUGUAGCAUUCGCUUGGGGUGAAGCAAACCUCAUGAUUUGUGCAUCGCUAUGAGCCGGAUUGGUUAUUGAGAGUUGAAAAACCGGUAGGUCAUUUUUGGGGCAUGUAGUGAAUAACCUUGGAGGUUCCACUUGUUGGGUCAGAGACGACCUUAUUGCUCAGUGUUAGAUUGGACAAUCGGGAGAAACUGGGGCUUAUGUUUAAGAGUUGUGAGGAUCAGUCCUUAGUGGGUUAUAACCUUCCCAUUCUUUUGAGUUUGCCCGGGAUAGGUUAGAGAAUAAGAGUUAGUAGAGUGUUCUUCGAGCCUGUUAAUCGAUGAGUGAUUAGCAUGAUAUUUUUGGGAAGAUGGUAUGGCUGGGAGACAUACCACUAGAGUUUUCAGGUUCUAGAGAGUCAGGUCAAGAGUCAUAGCGACAGAUGGGUCCGUCCUUCUUCGAUUCGGGAAUGCUUGUUGGGAUCAGGUGACUUUGGAAUAAAUUGUUAUACGAAAUGAGGUCCUUUUUGGUGAUGUUUCUCAGGUUAUUAGUUUUGAUCUAUGUAUUGAUAAGUUGCGAUUUCGAGGGCCAAAUCUAAUUCAAGUGGGGGAGAAUUGUAACAUCCUGUUUCGGAUCAUCUGAGAUUAGGGUUUGUGGGCUGCAACACGGGAUUGAGGAAGUCUCGGGGUUGCGACGAGUUGUUAGAAGUGUGGGGUGUCUGAAAACCUUUCAGUGAGUAUGAGAUUCUUUGGAAUCGAAGUAAUAUCGAAGAAGAUAUGGAAGUUUGAAGAAUUGACAAGAUAAGUCCCUAAGUUGAGAAAUGUGGCAGCGGGGUAUGUUGGGCGUACGAAUGUGUACGCUUAGCGUACUCAUGCGCGUGACUUUUAAGAGGAGCCACCUAGUACACUGGGCGUACUAAGUACAGAAGGAAAAACACUAAUUGAGGAAUGUCCCUAUAUAAGGAAUGAGAUGGCCUCAUUCCUGGCCACCCUUCUCAGAUAAUAAACCCUCUAAAACCCUAAUCCAUCGUUUAUGGACCGUGUGAGAGCAUUUUCGAGCCUUGAGUGAUCUUGGUGUGUUCUUGGAGUAAAGAAGGAGCUUUGGAGAAGAAGGAGUGAGAAGUCCAGGCCUUGGAUCUGAGCAUAUCUGAGUUGGAAGCUUCAUAUAGAGGUAUAAAGCUUCAAUAUUUCUCACUCUUUUGUUUUGAGCAUCAUAUUAGUGUAUUUUAGGGUUUUGUCGCUAAAGGUGGAGACUUUAUGAGAUAGUGAACUCCAGAGGCUAUGAUAAACCCUUUUGAGUGUGAUUAAUAGUGUAUGGUCAUAAAAAUCCAAUCUUGGUCGUUGGAAUCAAGCCAUGCAUGAGUUAUGAGCUUUUUGAGAUAAACGAGUGAGUGCUUUGGAUGAUUGUGACCUUUCCAGCCAUGCAAAGGCUGAAAGUCGUGAACUUUAUGGAGUAAGAGACUUUAGGGAGUCCAUAUAUGAGAUAUGAGCUAAGGUCGUGAUGGGUUAAGACUAGGUGAGUGAAUUAAGCAAAGCUGGGCAUACGCCCAACAUAAUUCCAGUACGCAGGGGCGUACUGGGUUGGUGUGCCCGAUCAUAUCUGGUGCAUGCUCGUGUACGCUGAGCGUACAAAGGGAGGUACGCCCCGCGUAACUUGCCUGCGGGCUUUUGGGUUAAAUUUCAUUUGGGCCUUAAAAGGUUGGGCCUGAAUCCUUGGAUUGGUGCAUAAGAGACUUUGAGCAUAGAAAUAUUUUUAUGCCUUGGGCCCUUGAGUAGGGCUUGUCCCUUGGACUUAAGAGUUGGGCCUCGGGAGAACCCAUUUAUUAUUGGGCCUUGGUGGGCCCAAUGGGUUUAGAUCAUUGUUGGGUUGGUUAGUGGACUACUUUUAGACAUAAUGAGUGAGAGUUUGGACUUAGUUCCUAAUUGGGAUAAUUUUGGGUGUUUGCAUAGAGUUAGUGGCCGGUGCGUAGCAGCAACAUUUAGGGGUUGUUCAUCAUCUGAGGUGAGUCUUCUCACUAUACUUUACCUAGAGUGGUACUUAUGUGUGAUCGGAGGGUCUUAUGUGCUUACAUUGAGAAUUAUGUUAUCCUGCAUUAUGUGUUAUGAUGUGCAUUAUGUCUUUGUAAUUUAUGGUAUGUAGAGUUUUACAUAUCAGAAAAGAGGGUCAAACGAGUUGUGAGAACGGGAGGUCCUCACUUAGACUGGAUCGAAGGGUCCAACGAGCUGUGGGAAUGGAGGGUCCCACUAAGACACAUUGACCGGAGGGUCUAUAGAGCUAUAGCCUCGAGUGGCUAAUUAUUUGUGCGUGAUAUUUUGGGGAACUCGCUAAGCUUUGUGCUUACCGUGCUAUGUGAUAUGUGUUUCAGGUUUCCUCAGGAUCGUGGGAAGGUACCGACUGGAUUGCACACACAAGAGAGGGAGUUAUGUUUUGAGGAUCCUGGAUUAGUAAUCAAAUAAUGACAGAGAUGUGUUUUAUAAAUUAAAUAAAAGAGAUUUUUGUGAUAUGUGUUAUGAGAAUUACGACAUAUUAAAUGAAAAUUUUAUUUGAAAAUCUAUGGUGUUACAUCAGCCUCUGUACUCGGCUUCUGAGUUUUACUCAGUUUGGCAUUGCUCUGGAUCGGCAAGUCACCUUUCUUGGAAUUGUGCAUGUUGAACCUCUUCAACACCUUGUCCUAGUAGGUACUUUUACUAAGUUCAAUUAGUCUCUUUCUCCUGUCUCUUAAUAUGCUAAUCCCAAGAAUAUAGGUAGCCUCUCCGAGGUCCUUCAUAGCGAAACACUUCCUGAGCCAGGACUUCACCUCCUGCAGGGUCGGGAUGUCAUUUCCUAUGAGAAGUAUGUCAUCCACAUACAACACCAGAAAGCUAACUAGACUCCCACUAGCUUUGACAUAUACACAGGACUCAUCCUCGCUUCUCGAAAAUCCAAACUCUUUGACUGUCUCAUCAAAACAAAGAUUCCAUCUGCGAGAUGCUUGUUUCAAUCCAUAAAUGGAUUUCUCAAGCUUACACACUCUAUUAUGGUACUCAUCAUCGACAAAACCCUCUGGCUAACUCAUGUAAAAAUCCUCAGCCAACUUCCCAUUAAGGAAAGCGGUUUUGACAUCCAUUUUCCAUAUUUCAUAGUCAUGAAAUGCAACAAUGGCUAGCAGAACCCUAAUAGACUUAAUCAUUGCUACUGGAGAGAAGGUCUCAUCAUAGUCAACUCCCAGAGUUUGAGUAAAGCCCUUCGCAACCAAUCUCGCAUUGUAUGUGUGUACUUUCCCAUCCAUGUCGGUCUUCUUCUUGAAUAUCCAUUUGCACCCGACUGUCUUACGACCCGAUACAUUGUCAACCAAGUUCCAAACUUGAUUGUUAUACAUGGACUGAAUCUUCCUGUCCAUUGCCUCUUUGCAAUUAGCAAACUCGGGGCCUGCCAUGGCUUCCUUGUAGUUCUUGGGUUCAUCAAAAUUUACCAGUGUGCUAUCACUGAUAAAUGUAUCACCUUCUGUAGUAAUAUGGAAACCAUAAAACUCAAGUGGAACUCUAACUCUACUAGAAUGCCUCAGAGGUACAAACUCGUCAAUCGGCUCAACAGUAGCUUCCUCCUUAGUUUGAUCGCUAGUGUUUGAGGUUCCUUCACCGCUUGACUCUUGAAUUUAUUCAAGGUCAAUUUGCCUCCCACUGUCUCCUUGGCUUAUGAGCCCUCUCUCACGAAAGACUCCUCUCCUCACAACGAAGACGACAUUGUUGCUCGGUUUGUUGAAGAGAUAACCAAAGGAUUUAUGUGGGUAGCCGAUGGAAAUACACCGCUCACUAUGAGGUUCGAGCUUUUCAUGAGUCUCGUGUCUCACAAAAUCCUCGAAAACCCAAACCUUGAUGUGUGCUAACGAGGGGGCUUUCCUUGUCCACAUCUCGUGAGGUGUUUUGGCAACCUUUUUAGUUGGGACUCGAUUAAGGAUAUGGGCGAUAGUCUCUAAGGCAUACCCCCAGAAUGAGAUUGGUAACGAAGAUCGGCUCAUCAUGGAAUGAACCAUAACCAACAAGGUUCGGUUGCGCCUCUCAGCCAUACCAUUAAGUUGUGUUGUUCUAGGUGGCAUCAACUGUGAAACAAUUCCACACUCCUUAAGAUAGUCUAGGAACUCAAUACCAAGAUACUCACCACCCCGAUCGGAUUAGAGCAUCUUUAUGUUCCUGCCCUGCUGAUUCUCCAGUUCUUGCUUAAACUCUUUGAAUUUCUCAAAGGUUUCUGACUUAUUCUCGAUCAAGUAGAUAUAGCCAUAUUUGUUGUAAUCAUCAGUAAAAGUGACAUAGAAGCGGUUAGCAUCCCUUGUGGUGGUUCUGAAGGGCCAACAUACAUCAGUGUGUAUGAGAUCCAACAAAACCUCACCCCUCUCACAAGUAUCAGUGAAGGGUGAUUUAUUCAUCUUUCCAAGCAAACAAGAUUUCCAAGUCUCAUCCGACCUUAAGUCGAAUGACUCCAAAAAUCCAGCCUUCUAGAGUAGGCCUAUGUGCUUCUUGUUGACAUGUCCAAGACGACAAUGCCACAAGGAUGCCUUAUCCAAAUCAUUAGAAGAAUUGAUAUGCAACACAUUAUUUUCUAAGUUGUCUAUAACCAUCACAGUUUCAUAUAGAACAUUACAAGGUAAUGCUCUAAAAUAAAAAUAAAAUACCAUUAUAAUAAGCAUUUAUUGCACCAAUUUCAUUAUCAAACGAAAUGUGAAACCUUGUUUGUACAAACCAUGAAAGAAAAUAAUAUUUCUCACCAUAUCAGACGAGUAGCAACAAUUAUUCAAAUCUAUUUCUAACCCAUUACUAAGCAAUAAAGAGUAAACUCUAAUCUUGGUGACAGGUGAAACCUUCAUAUACCCCAUGAUCAAGUUUAUCUUCCCGUGAUCCAGAUCCUUACUUCUUUUUAGGCCCUGCACAUCAGAACAAAUGUGAAAUACACAACCUGUGUCAAGCACCCAAGAGUUAGUAUGUGAUGAGUUUUUAGAUAGAAUAGUAUAAAUACCUUCAUGGGUGGGUUUGACUUUCUUGUCCUUAACAUCCUGCAAGCUUCACUUCCAGUGCCUAUUUUCAUGGCAGUAGAAACACUCUGCUUCUUUGGGAAUGGAAGAGGGAGUAGCAGGACUAGCCUUGGUCCCACUUGAAAAGGAUCCAUCAAUGGACUUUCCCUUGCGGCUCUUGGAGGGAGCCUUCCUCUUCUUCCCCUUUCAUUGCCUAAUUGAGAGCACAGGGGUAGUGGUAGUAGGAAUAGUAACAAACGAAUUACCUUUGAGACCUAUUUCGUAGUCCUCAAAAGUCCUUGAAGUUUGUUAAGUGUGACCUCCUCCUUGUUCAUAUGAUAGGUCAUGCAUAACUGAUCAUAACAUGGAGGUAAGGACUGUAGUAUGAUAUUAAUAGCCAUUUCCUUAGGGAAGUUCACAUUCAACUUUAGCAAUCGGUCCACAAACCUUUGCAUUUUCUGCAAGUGGCCCGUGAUGGCUUCACCAUCCUUCAUUCUGGUUAUGGUCAAGGAAGAGAUGAUUUCAUAUCGCUCUUGACGAGCACUCUGAUGGUAUAUUUCCAUCAUAUCUUGGUGCAUCUCAAAAGGGUAGAAGUCAUCUUAGGACUUUUGGAGUUCAGGAGACACGGUGGCAAGCAUGAUACAGGCUACCUUAGUGGCAUCUUUUUCAUGUGCCCUAAAAUCAGCAAUCUCCUGAGGAGUAGCAACAGACUCGAUGGUUUCCUUCAGCUCCUAUUCAAGGACAUAUUCCUUGUCCUCAUAAAGAGUGACCAUCCUUAUGCUCCUAAUCCAGUCAUUGAAAUUAGUUACAUCAAAUAUAACUCUCCCAUAGAGGUUUGUGAGAGAGGAUUCGGUAGGGUUUGAGCCAGAAGCAGCAUUGUUGGAAGACAUCUGAAGAGAAAGAAACACAAAGUUUAGAUUAGAUAAGGAAUCCUUAAUAUAACACCCAAAAUGAAAUAUUAAGGCUAGGACCCAGCACAAUAUUUUACAAUUUGGAAGAGGCACUACAAGAAAAAGAGCCUUUUACGACGCGCAAACCACGACACUCAGUGAUUUAUGUUACGCAAAAGAGAGUGACAUUAAAGACGUGUCAUCUCUUCAAAAAAUUUAAGGAUUUAUGUCACGCAUUAUUGCGUGCCCUUAGGUUAGUGUCUCAUGUAAAGAAAAUAAAAACACGGAGUGCACUUGUGCGUCCACUAACAGUGUCGCUUUAUAAUUAUUUAAUGAAACACGCCUUUUAGGCGGGACUUAUCAAACACGGAGGAAAAAAAAAUCCCCAAAAUUUUGGAAGACCCGCUCAUUCUUUCCUCUCCACUGCCGAUGACCUUCAAUUUCUCCCCUCCUUCUCUCUGUAAAACCUAGCAGCCGCCACCAUCAGAAACAUUGGCUUCGUUCUGUGUUGUAAGAACGCGAGUCUGAUCCUUCAUUAAUAUCUAAAGGGGGAAAAUCCCCAAAAUUUUGAAGAACCCCGCUCACUCUCUCCUUAGAUCUCCACCCGACGGAUCGACCUUCAUUCUUCCCCCUCUCUGUAACACCCUCGCUUCCUUCAAGAAAUCGAGGACCAUUCUCUUUCGAUCGUAUCUUUAUGGUGACGAUUAGACACAAUAAUCUCAACAUAAAAUUGGUAACUGAACCCCUCUUCACCUCUACCCUACUCCAUCUACAACGAAUCCUCACAUUUACAAACCCUAGUCCAGUUGCGCUUCUAGCCUUGGUGUUAUUUCUUCAUCUGUUCAGCAAAUAAGGGGAACACAAAUUCUCAUUAAUCCCUCAACUUCAUCUUCUCAAUCAAGCAAAAAGGAUUCUGAUUUUUUUUCGUGCAUCUGCAUCAUCUCUGCUGCAAUUUCACAUGGUAUUAUCGCUUUCUCCUUUAUGCCUCCCAUUUUUCUUGCAUCUACUUCUCAAACUUUUGAUAUUUUCCUGCAUUCGCAAGUCAAACUUCUUAUUUUUUGCUUGCAUCUUCUUCUCAAUUAAGCACAAAAGUAUCACAUUGUUUUGCAAUUGAUGUGAGUUUAUAGUUGCAUCAUUUUUUCUUUUUGUGCAGCGAGCUUUACUUGCUGAGCCAGCUGCUCGAUUAGAAAUGACACCAAUGGUCUGCUCAUUAUUUAUAUCUCUCUCAACUCUCAACUCUCAAGCGUCUUUGAUUUAUUUUGCGAUAAUAUUUACCAUUUUGUCCUUGGCUCAGGCUGCUAAUGCUGCUUGGAACAUGGGGGAGUGGGAUCAGAUGUCUGAGUAUGUAUCUAAACUGGAUGAUGGUGAUGAAAGUAAACUCAGGGUGUUUGGGAACAGUUCUGAAUGCAAUAAAAAUUGCAUCCAGAUCAUCUGCAACCCCAAAAAAGGCCUGAAGAGCAAGGAAGUGUUUGGCAACUGAGCUUGCUGCUCUGGUUAGUUUCCAAAUUCCAACAUCAAACCAUAAACCCUAAACCCAUGUGUGUACUGACUAUGUUAAAAUGUCUCUGAAUUAGAAGAGGUAUUCUUAUUUCCUUUAAUCAUUUUGCUACUAAUUUAAUGAAAUUUCUGUUCUAAAGGAUCAUCAUAAUUCAUAUUCAUGUUAUUCUUGUUUUUGACAGGUCAUCGAUUACUAUACUCUUCUAGUUGGAAACUCUAUUUCCUUAAACGCCAUGUCAUCAUUAACUAUUCUUAGUUGCUAUUCCAGCACAUUCGCAAGUAUCUACGCGAGCUACUUUCUUUAAUAUCAGAAUUAUGGUCAUCAUUCAGUCUCCCAGCAGCUAAUCGUCAUGUUCAUGGACCCCCGGAAAGUGUGCUUCUAUUAUCUAUCUUUUGUACAAUACACAGGUGUCAAAGGGCAAUAAUGUAAUUUGACUUUCUGAUCAGAUCCUGCACCUAGUUGAACAACUUUGUCUGGCCCUAAAUGAUGAGUUCAGGAGAUAUCUUCCUAUAAUUCUUCUAUCUGGAGAUGGAAAGACUCCACAUUAUAUGAAAGUUGAUCGGGACAAAUGAGCUGAUGAAGAUGAUGAUGCAGGUAUGGUGAUUGUUACUAAUUUUGUCACCCACCAUUUCUAUAUUUAAUCAUGUUAUAUGUAUAUUGUAUUCAGAAGUUUAGUUAAAUAUGUUUUUUAGGUCCUACUGCUGACCUUGACAUGGGAAUAAUGGAUUUCUCAGUAAGAAAAUAGUUUCUUAAAAUAUUAUUACUGAAGUUUCUUUCUUUUUAUAUCACUAAUGACUUAUCCUCAUACAGAAAUUUGGUGACGUGGGAGGCAUGGGCAUGCCUGACAUGGGUGAUUUCUCUAUGGGUGAUGACCUUGAAGACAUAUCUCAUGUUUAUUGUGUAGAGUGGCCCUGCCAUUGACAUGACAACAGAGGAUACAUGGGGCGUCAACUACCGAGCCCUACAAGAUCUGUUUGAAUUAACAGAGGCAAGGAUAGAUGUAAUAAAGUAUGAGGUUGGAGUUCAAAUGCUUGAAAUAUACAAUGAACAAGUCAAAGAUUUGUUGGUAAUUGAUGGCUCCAAUAGAAGAUAUCCUUUCAAUUCUCUACCCUUCCUUCUCAUGUUUAUUAUUUUUUUUAAUUUUUUUAAAUCUUGACAACCUACACAUUGGAUAUAUGAAACAAGUCCCAACUUAAUGAUCUUAAUGUUCUGGAUGUGUCUUUGGUUUCUGUUAAAUGUACACAAGAUGUUCUUCAUCUCAUGAGAAUUGGUCUUAAUGUUCCGGAUGCGUCUUUGGUUUCUGUUUAUUGAUUCUAAUUUAAACAAUUUUGUACUUCAAUUUUGCUCCAACAACAUCAGCCAUUUCGUUUCUCUUUUCUCCCAUUCCCAUACCACCUCUAAAAAAAUUAUGUGCUUCAUUUUUUUGGUAAUCAGGUGAAGUAGAACCUGGGAUUGUUAAAAUUCUCUGUGAUGAAAAGUUAAUUUGUUUCUAAACUCCUGAAUUGAAUCAUAAUUUUCCCCCUCUUCCUUUAUCAUGUCGUAUAUCCUUCUCUUUGCAUUCUUAGAUAGUUACACAUAUCUGUUAUAAGGGCACAUAAUUCUAAUUUUCUAUCCAUAGGAAGGUUAUUACAUUUACAUGUCAUCUGUUAAAACGUGUUUGAGUGAGUGGUCCUGUGUUGUCCUAUUUCUAUCUGUACAUUUCUUAUCUUGUAUAACAGGCUCUUGAGUUAUUAUUUACAGCUUGUCUCUAAGACUAAGAUAUUGUUCAUCCUUUAGUGUUUUUUUUCAUUUAUUAAUAAAUUUCUCAGUUUAUUCAUUCCAAAUAAAAGUCAGAUUCGAUUUCCAAUUUGGUGUUUCUCCCAAGAUUUUGGACCCUGUAUACCCAGUACACGAGUUUCCUCUUCCUCUACAUUUAGCAGAAUCAGGUCUCGGAUAAGAUGGAAUUCAUCAGGGAGCACUUCCCUAUGGAGUUAAGCUUAUAUCAUUUCCAUUAUUCUUUCUAAUUAAAGCAAGACUGGACAUUUGAGGUCAUUUGUCUGCUACCCUUCUCUUCUAAGUAGUCAUCCUUUUCGUUGUUGUGUGUUUGUGCAUGAUGUGUGUUGGCCUUCUGCUGGGGCUGGGAGAGUAAACAAGGGAUCAAAUUUAUAUAUUCAUGAUGCUAAUAUUGCUGACAAGAUAGAGAACCAGGAUGGAAAGAAGCUGAAAGAGAAGGAUAUGCUUAUAAAUAUUGCUGGAGGAAUUUCCUUUAUGCUCAAACACUUCAAGCUAUACAUUCUUUAAGGAAUCGUUUAUCCAUAUUUUAAAAGAUGCUCAAUUACUUGAGACUAAAUCGGGGAUUAGCAACAGAUUAAGUCAUAAUCAAUCAUCGGUUAGCGCCAUUAUAUGCUCAGGCCUUUUUCCUGGCAUUGCAUCUGUAGUGGUAUGUAUGCUUAAUGCUUAUUUAUUUAAUUUACAAUUUACAAUACAAUUGAUAGAUAUAUGAAUCCAUAUGUUACUUAAUUUUGUUCUUUUUUAUUUUUAAUAUGUGCAGCAUAGGGAGACAUCAAUGUCCUUCAAAACUAUAGAUGAUGUCCAAGUCUUACUCUAUGCAGUAUGUAUUAAAGAAAUAGCAAUGCACUUUCAUUCAUUUGUUUCAUAUUUUUUUCACAUUUCUCUAAUGAUAUUUUUCCUUGAGUCAUAGAAUGAUUGGCUCAUAUCUUGUUUUUUGAUAUUUAUACGCAGUUUUUUUCUUACGUCGGUGGUGGCGAAGUUCAAGAUUAAGGGAGACUUGUAAUCAUGUUUGGCUUUCCUUUCCAGUAAGAAACAGAGUUGUAUGAUUAUUUGUUAGUUUUAUAGGAAUGUAUAACACAUGUUAGCAAUGUAUUAUUUUUGUUUAACAUUUGAAUGAUUUUUUGUAUGACAUUAUAAUUUGUGCAAUUUAUUUUAUAUUAUGCAAUGGAUUGUAUUUUUUGUAUAUGGUAUUUUAUUUCUGUUAUAAGAAAUUAAAUGAAAAUUUAAUUUAAAAAUUAAUAAAUAUAUAAAUUUAUUUUUUUUAAACAUUUAAAUUUACGAUACGCAAAAAUGUAUGUCAUCUUCAUAUAUGACAUGGCCUUUCUUGACAGGGGCUUUCUUGAUACGCAUUGCGUGUCAUUAACACGCGCGUCGUAAGGUUACGACACGCGAAUGCGUGUCGUCUUCCUUUAUGACAGGGCCUUCCUUGAUACGCAUUGCGUGUCGUAACCGCGCGUCGUAAAUGCGCGUCGUCUCUCUUUAUGACAGGGCCUUCCUUGACACGCAUUUGCGCGUCGUCUGAGCGUUUUACGACGCGCAAUGAGCGUCGUAAAAGGCCUUUUUUCUUGUAGUGAGGGAUAUCGUAAUCCAUCUUGCAAAAUAUUUGAAGGCAGGUAAAUGAUGAUUUACCAAUUUCCACCAUGAAAAACGAAAUUGUUAUUAUGUUUUAAUUGGAUUUGAAACUCCUAGAUCAUUUGAGAUUCAUUGAACAAUUCAAUGGCAUGUUUAAAUCUCGAUUAUGCCCUCCAGGUUUGUGACUAGAAUAUCGAGGAUCAAAAACAAGGUGUGAAUAACCAUGCAAAUGUACUUGGUACUCUUAAUGUCAAUUACCACAUUAAUCAAUGUGUUGGUAAACUACACAUGCUCCAUUGACCUUAUGAUAAACAUUAAGCUACGCUUUGCCACCCUUACUAGUCAAAGUUAAUGUGUCGGUUAACCAUACACGCUCCAUCAACGACUUGGUAAGGUGCAAAAUGUAAUUUCAUGGAUUAGCAUCAAUUUCACAUAUUCCUAAAGUAACUAAGAAUAGGAAUUUAUAAAAGGUUUAGUUACUUUAUAAUUAUCAAUAUACUUUUAAUGAGAAUUAGAGUCUUUGUCUUACCCGUUUGGCUAACGACCCUCCACCAGUCGAGGAAAUGGUGGGUAAGAGUGGACACCCAUUAAGCUUCCAUUUUAUGGGCAACAACCUUAUACCCCUCUUAUAGACCAGGUUCGUGAAUGAGGCCUACUAACGGUAAGACUGACUUAUCUUAUACAUACAUACAAAAAUUCUAUGGUUUGGCCCUAAAGUAUUCCAAAGCGACUUUACAAAUUCCAAAACUUGAGGGCAUGCUUUGAAACUAGUCGAAACUUUUCAAGUUCAUAACCUAUGAGUGUUAAUGAAUUUUAAGGAAAAGACUUUUGGAAUUCCAUAACUUGAGGACAAGUUAUGGAGUCCAUUAAAAGGCAUUUAGAUCAACAAUUAAACUAACAUACAAGUGUCAAAUAAUAUGAUCUACCAAAAACUCAUAAGCAAGGAUAAUCCAAAUCACGAAUUUUCAAGAAUCAUAUAAACUAAUAUUGUAGUGGUGUUGAUUAUGAUGGCAUGUGCGGAAUUAGAAAGAUCUAGUGAAUCAUCAUGUAAAAUCAAGAACACAAGGAGUAAAUAAAUCUUUGUAAGCUCUUAUUAGAUCUAGAAAGAAUAUACAAAUGGGUUUGUACAAAGUUUCUCUCUCUAGUCUAACACUCCAAAUGGAUUCACUUACAUAAUGGGAGUUACUCACUUCCUAUUUAUAGGAAAGACUCAACCCAUUUACACAUACAAAGAGGAAAGCCUAAAACACUACAUCCAAGAGUGACUUUGCACCCUAACAUUCUCCCCCUCAAAGUUAGGAUUGGAUGUCCGGCUUCAAUCUCCAACGAGCUAGCGCGAUCAAGACCAAACUCCCCCUCGAAGUAACACCGGUCUUCAAAUCCGCAAAUGAAUAUUCGACAAACCUGAGAAGCUUCGAAUACCCAUCAUUCUCCCCCUUUUUAUAAUCAAAAAAUGAUUAUAAAACCCACUAAGGAUGAGAAGCGCCUGAGGAAUAGUCUUCACGAUACUCCCCUUGAUGUGUACCAAAAAUGAAUCACCAAAAAUUUUGCACGGAAAAACAAUCACGAAAAAGCCACAAAAAAUUUCCAAUUUAUGAAAUUUUUUGACUUUUUGGGUGAAAGUUGCAAGAUUUUUCAAAAUUCGGGUAGAAGUUGUCACUUUCUACAACUUGCAGGGACCCGUUGCGCCAAAAACAGCCAAAUAUGCGAAAUUCUCCCCCAUUUGAGAAACUGGGUAGAAAAUGUUAAUUCGCAUAAACUGCAGGGACCAAAAAUGAACAUGCUUCAAUUUCUCAGAAAAUUAGUCCUUUUUCAAAUUUGGGUAUGAACUGCCCAACACUCGAAAGUUGCAGGAGCUAAAUUCGAAAAUUGUUCUUUUUCAUUCCAAACGUACGAAACUUUGCGUCCAAACAUACGAAGAGUUUAAAAAAAACUGUCAAACAGUCGAAAUUAUAAGGGUCAUAUUCGAAAAUUUGCUUUUCUUCUUUCCAAUUCAUACGAAAUCAUACAUUUCGUAUGAAACUUACUACCCUUCGAAUCUUAUGCAUCAAUCUGAACACAAUUAACUACCCUUCGUACGAAAUCCUCUCUACCCUUCGUAUGAAAUUUCAUCUUCCCCAAUCAAACGAAACUUUUUCCUUCUCUCUCCCCUUCGUACGAAACUACAUCACCCCUUUCGUAUAAAAUCAUCAACAAUUUUUUUUUCAAUUCACGAACCCAGUAAAGCUUCGUUCUUUGACCAUCGUCUUUGGAACCCAAAUCAAAACUUUUAGUUCCAAAAUCAUCGAACACAAUCCUUCGUUUUCUCACUCAUCGGCUACCCUUCGCUUUUUGCAAUCCAUCCAUAGACCCUAAUAAACCCAUUCUGGUUAAACCAUUCCAUAUACUCAACAUUGAUUCUCAAAUCAUCGAUUUCAAUAGCAUCACAAAAUCAAACCUUCGAUUCUCAAUGCCAAACACUUACAAGGAAACCUUCCCGGUCAAAAACUUCGAAAUCAUAUUCAAUAAUCAUCUAUUACUGACUCAUACUCAACACACAUCCUUCGUUUUUCCCAGUUGAUUUUGACCCUAACAUUAAAAUCGUUUUCGAUUCCACAACUGUCGAUUUCAAGGCCAUCGUCUUUUUCAAGAAAUUCGACCAGUCACUUUGCAUUCUUCGCUUUUUAUUCAACAUCGACAUUAGUUAACAAACAUUCAAAAUCGAAAAUCAAUCCAUCGAUUCUACACACUUUGAUUCGAUCUCCAAAAUCACAAUACCAACAUCGAAUUUCUCACUCUGAAUUUCUAUCGAAAACAAUGUGAUUCAAAUGAACAUAGCCUCAAGUCAAAAGCAGAUUCCGACUCCAAUCAUUCCAACCAAUUGAUCCAAUUUCGUUUCUUUGAUUUUGUUAACCAUUUCUAUUUCCUAAUAACCUCUUGAAUCAAUAACAAUAUUAUCAUAGAAAUCGAAAUAUGAUUUCAAUUUUGACUUUUCCUCGUGUUUGACUUUUUCAGAUGUCGACAAACACCGAAUUUAUCUUCACAAAAACUAUUCUGAUUCCUUCUUUGAAGCAGUAAAUCAAGCAUUCAACUUCUUGAUUUGUUCGUUCAAUAAGCCAAUCGAACAAAUAAGACUUGAACAUCAAUCGAUAUAAUACUAAGUGAAUUAAUCAAUCAGACUUAGGCUCAAGUAUUAUAUUAAUGAACAGUAUUCGAAAACAUUAUGGGCUCAGUGAACAAAUUUCAAGUUUGGGCUUCUAACUUGAAUCGAAUCAACGAAUGGAGAAUUUGAUUGGACUAAAGUUGGAUAAGAUGAACAGUAAAAAAGUGAUUUUGAUUUUGGUAAUUGAUCUUACAAAAAUUAUUGGAUCAACAAUGGGGUUGAAACGAAUUUGAUCCAAUGAGGCAAAUCGAUCAAAAAUUAAAAACGUAAAAUACAAAUCGAAAUCAUGGAUGUUUUGGAAUCCAUUUGAGAAUUUGAGAUACCUUUUUGACGAAUCGAGAUCCGUUUUCAACGAACAAAUCAAAUUUGGAAGAUCUUGGUUCUUUUGUUGGAAUGAGAAAAUCUCCACAUCGAACAUUGUACCACCCACCAUGCGAGAUGUACAACUCGUUCUUCGUGUUCUUCAUCAAACCUAGAACAUCUUCAAAAGAACCACCAACACUUUUGGGUUUUGACUUCAAAUUCAAUGCAACCUUUGGAGAUUGUUGCUUUGGAACCCAAAUUUGCUUCACGGAUUUUGGCUUCACAACAUUUGACGAUUUUUGUGAGUAAACCCGCUUGUUCUUUCGAUUCAUCUUCUUCUUCUUUUUCUUUCUCAUCUUUUUGCAUCUUGAAAACUUGAUUUCAUGAACAAACCCACUUUCAACAACAUGAACAUUUUGAGUUUGAAUCAAAUCUUUUGGAGUUUGAUACUUGUGAUUUUCUUGGAUCACCGGCUUCCGAUAAGGAAUCAUUCCUUCAAACGAAUCACAAGAACACAAAAUAUCAUCGGUUUGAACUCCAAUCGAGCAAAAAACUUUUUCAUCAUGAGAAUCAACUUGAACUCCUUUUUCUUGAACAUCAAGAACAUCACAUUGAACUCCAUUGUCAAGAACUUCAAGUAAUUUAAGAGCACGAAGAUCAUUUGGGUCUUCAAUAAGAGAAACAUAUUUCUUAUUGAACAAAUCUCUUUCUUCUCCUUCCUUUUGAUUUCUACUACGAACUAAUAUGGACAAGGCAAUUUUAUUCAACCAUGCAAUCUUACAAAGUGGUUGAAAUACCAAGCUUCCAUGAUCAUCCUUCAAACCUCCAUAAGAAACCAUAUUACCCCAUGAAAUCAAUUUGCUUAACACCAACCCAUAAAAUUGAUCUUCAUUGACUUUGUAUUUCACAUCUUUAACGAUCACAAUCCAAGAAUCAUAUGGCAAACCCACCAUGAUCACAAAAACUUGAAGAUUUCUAGAGAGAGAAAGUGAUUUUGAAUGGGUUUUCUAGAGAGAGAAAGUAAAAAUCACUUGAAUUCUAGUGAAGAAAAUCGAAUUAUGAAUAGAAUCAAAGAUGAAUUCGAUUUCUAGAAUCCAAAAACUCUCUAAACCACGAAGAUCCAAGAUCAUAAAAUGAAUCACCAAAUCAAGAAAGCCACCAUGGAUCAAUUCUUGAUGAAAUCAAGAACACCCGCUCUGAUACCAAUUGUAGUGACAAAGAGCAUGGUUUGACAUGCGGAAUUAGAGUUUGCACAAUUGAACAUGGUGAUUUGGGUGUUUAAGAGAUAUAUUGAAUGUAUAUGGUGUUACAAAAAGGACAUAGAUCUACAUCUACAUAAUUAACACACACUUACACACUCACUUCUACAUCUCUCAAGCACACCUCUACAAGUGGACAAACCCACCUUAUAUAGAGGUGUUUACAUGUCUCUCUCUCACUCUUACUAACUCAUAGGUCAAAAGGCUAAUGCAACACAUGCAAUUGGGUUUUACAAAAGUCAAACAAUUAUGAAUAACUUUGCACCCCAACAGAUUGGUACUAAAUUUCUUAAUGUCCAUGUGAUUAUCAAAUAGAUGACAAGAGUGUUGAAUACUACGAUGCAACAGGUUAUUUAACUACGAAAUUUGACUCUUGUGAUGCUUUAGUAAAAAGUGUUCCAGAAUUUUAGUAUUCUGAAGGAUAUGAGAUAUUUAUUUGUGGUUCAAGAUAAGACAAAAAUGUUCCUUUGCAAUGUGACGGAGGAGAUUUGUAUUGAGAUAUAUGAAGUAUUUCAAGCAAAUGGGAAAAACUACUGGAUCUCGUUUAAUCAAUUAUCCAAAACACAACACAAGAUAUAAGAUAUCUAUUCGUGGUUCAAGAGACGACAUGAGAUCCUUCAAUAUUUGAGUUUGUGAAAUCAUCAUAAAGACGUAAUAUAUUGGCUGGUGAAAACAACUUAAUCGAUUUAAAUGUAUAUACAUUAGAUACAUUUGAUUUGACCGGUUUUUUUAGCCUGUUAUAUAUAUAUAUANNNNNNNNNNNNNNNNNNNNNNNNNNNNNNNNNNNNNNNNNNNNNNNNNNNNNNNNNNNNNNNNNNNNNNNNNNNNNNNNNNNNNNNNNNNNNNNNNNNNNNNNNNNNNNNNNNNNNNNNNNNNNNNNNNNNNNNNNNNNNNNNNNNNNNNNNNNNNNNNNNNNNNNNNNNNNNNNNNNNNNNGGUUGUUAUUUAUAAUUUGAUCAUUUUUGGUUAAAAAAAUCCUCAUAUAACUAUGUUUUUUACUUUGAACGUUUAUUAUUAAGUGAAAUAUAUAUGGUUAUUUUAAACUUUUUUAAGUUUAUGUGUCACAAAAAAAUCUAGGGUAAAAAGUAGUAUUUUUUAGUGAUAGAAAAUCAAAUUUAAAGUGUGGUAAAAUAGAUAAAAUUGAAAAAUUGAAAUUUUACAAAAAAAAAAAAAAAAGAUUUUAUAUAUGAUAGAAAUAAAUAUAUUUAUUUAGUCAAUGAAGUUUGUCUAUUCAUACAAAAUUAUUGUGGAUGGCAAAAAAAAAAAUUUAUACGAAUCAACUUGCUUAUAAUAAGUAUCCUAGAAAAAUAAUUCUAUGCGUGGUUAUUAAUGUUUACUUGUAUAACAAACAAAAUAAAUUUGAAGUUGACAUUAAAGAAAAGGAUAAAUUAUCAUUGAGAUAAGAUCUACAUCUAGAUUCUAGAGUAAAAAAGUGGACAAACAGACAAAAAGCUGACUUUUCUAUCCUAAAAUGGUUGUUAUGAACUUUUUAGCACAACUAAAAUGUACUAAACGUGAUCUAGUGAGUAGUGACUAGUGGUUCGUUUAUGCGCAUCUUUCUUCCGCGUACUUCACUUAUAAAUUAUCCUCAAAAUAUGUAUUUGCUCACAAUCUUUGAAUGUCAAUGUCAAGUGGUUGCGUGUCAUAAAUCCAGUUUUAGGUUUUCAAGUUUCAACAUAAUAAUAAUAAUAAUAAUAAUAAUAAUAAUAAUAAUAAUAUUCAAACAUACAUCCAUUUAUUCUUCUUUGGCGUCUAACGUGCUAAAAUACAAAUAUUUAGUUAUUUUAAAUAUCAUGAGCAUAAUGACAAUAUUAUUAAAUCAAUGUGAUGGCUUUGUUGGUUAAUCAUAUUUAAUAUAAUAUUAUAAUUUAUGACAAAUCAUUAUAUUUUACAUAUGAUUACUAAAAAAUUUAACAUUUUAAAUCAGAUCAGAGUUAUCUAAUAUUUACAUCUCUUAUUCUUCAAUUUUAAUCACAUAUAGAAUUUCAAAUAAAUUAAUAUUUUGAGCUUGCUACGUAAACAUUAUAUAAAAAUAUAUUAUUUUUUAUUUUAUUUUAUUUUAUUUUAAUUAUUUAUAACAUCUUCCAAGUAUUAAAAAAAAACAUUUAUACAUAAACAAUAUCAAAUUAAAAAGUUAAAAAUUAGAUGGAUCAAAGCUCCAACUAAUAAAUUAGAGCGGAGAUUACAAAAUUAAAAUUCAAAUACUAGAUACAGACUAAUAAAUUAGAGUGGAGUUGCAAAAAACACAGGUAAAGAUUUUUUUUGUUACCGUUAAAAGCUCCAACUAAUGCCAAUCAACCUGAUGAACAGCGAAAACAAUGAAACUUUUUAAACAACCCUGUAUCGACAAUUCCAAAAACCCUAAUCAAAGCAAAGUUAAACAAACAGAAUCAACUAAUUAGAACAGAAACUUACCAAGGGAGAUGCUAGUAGAGGGCGACGGUGGAGGUGGGUAUCGUUGGCAGAAGGACAAAACGGUAGGACGAUGGUGUUAGAGGUGGGUGUCCCAGUAGAAAGAUGCGGUGAAUCAUAUGAAACAAUGAAGAAAUCGCCGUUCUAAUCGACCCUAUUGAACGUUUCUAUGAUGUCGGAACAAUUUCAGCCCUAAUUCGAAGGCUGCAGAUCGAUGGAUGAUGACGGCGCAGAAGGAGAAGGAAGCAAUCGGCAGUGCAAUUGGAUGACGGGCGAUUGGAAGUACCUUCUAGAGACAAAACGAUUAGUCGGUGAAGCGGUAGAAUGUGUAAACAUGAAAAGCUCGAAAUUUAGGCCAGAAGCCGAUGAACAGUAACCGGCUGGAGCCGAUUACCGUACAUAAGCUGUAUUUGGAAUUAAUUAUAGAGAUUUUCUAAUAUGUGCCCUAAGGGCAGAUAUAAGAAAUAUUAAUUAAUGACAAAUAUUACCAUAAUUAAAUGUAAAAUACAUUAAUUAUAAGGAAUAUUACCAUAAUUAUAUGUAAAAUGCAUUAAUAAUUUCCAUAAUAAAUGUAUUUUGAAUUUAGUUAUAGUAAUAUUUUUCAUAAUUAAUACUUCUUAUAUGUGCCUUAGGCACGUAUUAGAAAAUCCCUUAAUUAUAUGAUACAUACGUAUAAAGAUGAAGUAUCUGGUUGUUUACAAUUAUAAUGAUUCCUUCGAGCAAGAAGCAGCAAAAGUAAGUAAAAUGAGUAUACCUAGUUCUGCUAAUAAACAAAAUUAAAAAGAAGAAGAAAGAAAACGGUUUUUUAUUUACUAUAAUAAUGUUAUUUUGAACAUUGCAAACUAAAAAUCGUUGGAAAUUUUAAAAUAACAUGAAAGGAAUCAAGAACAUUAAUUACAAAUGAUGAUUGCUUCACGACAGAAAAGGGGUUCGAAAAUAAUAGAUAAGUGAUACUUUCUUUAGUGUACCGCCAAAUUCCAGCAACUUUAAUUGACCAUCGACAACCCAUCUUUCAAUUUCCUUUCAAAUUGUUUAUGUAGCCACCUUCACAAAUUCCUUUAGAUUUUAGUAAGACUGAUAAAUGAAAGGCACCUAAAUAAUAAUCAAUUUAAUAGUUGGGUCUUGAUAUGUGCUAAGGGCGUUCUGAUUCACCGGCCUCUCUCUCUCUCUCUCUCUCUCUCUCUCCUAUUCCACUGAAAUUGUUUCGGUCGACGACAAAAACCUUCACACCGUUGUCCGACGAUUGUGUUCAAGGGAAAUAUGUUGCUCACACAUCCUUCUGAUUAUCUACUCCUUUUACCUCUAACAUUCCAAAAUUUUCAAUAAAAUUUUCAUUUUAAAAUUAAAAGAAACCAUUAUUUUCAACCUAAACCUUAUUCAAUCAAGUAUCAAUACAAAUAUCCCCAAAAUCAAUAUAUCAUAAAAUCUCCCAAAACAUAUCAUCGAAGGAUGUGUACGAUCAUGCAUUCGUCUUGUUAUGGUCAUCCGAAGUACCUGAAUCAUAAAAUUGAAUCUGUAAGCCAAAGUUUAGUGAGUUCCACCAAAGUACCACAUAUCACAACUAAACAGAUAUACAAAAAUGCAUGUUGGGUCCACAACCUCCCGGUUGGCUUACCCUGGCCCACAAUCUUCCUGUUGGAUUGCCCUACAAAUAACAUAUUGGGUCCACAGCAUCCCGGUUAGAUUAUCCUAGCCCAUAACCUCACGUUUGGAUUUCCCUGGCCUACAACCUCCCGGUAGGAUUGCCCUGGCCCACAACCUCUCGGUUGGAUUGCCCUGGCCCACAACCUCCUAGUUGGAUUGCCACAAGUUUGUUGACUAACCGCACGAAGCAGUACAGUCACAACAGUGACAACUGUCAAUUUUGGUCAAACAAAGUCAACAAAAGUCAACCGAAUCAACUCAACUCGUAUUAGAAUUUUAGGAGAAAUGUGAUAUUCCCUAAUGUUACUAAUGUACUAUUGACAAGUUAUAAUGCAAAGCACCCCUCUUGUUGCCAAUUAUUGAAUAUAAACCCUAAUUAGGGUUAGUAACUUAAAAAUUCGAUAAUUCAAUUAUAUAUUAUUUAGGUAUAAAUAGUAUUCACAACACAAGGUAGUUGAGUUCGUUAACUUUUUGCUACAUGACAAAUUCAUAACAAAUGUUACAUAUACAAAUUUUUGGUGAAAUCGUCACUAAAUGCGACAGAUUAUAUACCCGACUUAAACACUCAAACAUUAACGAAAAGAAUUAGGAAUCAUCCUAACUUUCGUGUAAUGUGUUAUUAUUUUUGAUGAUAAUGAUUUUUAUAGUAAUUUGAAUUUAAAUGAUUCAAAUUAAGUAAAUAUACAUCAUUUUCACCAUAUUUAUGUUUAAAAAUCACUAACUUUUAUAAAAAUUGAUCAUUCUUUUAGAAAAAUAAAAGAAACAUUUUUUGUCUUAUAUGGUGAUGACACCUUUUAUAAUAAAAUAAUAUUUUAAUCAAGAAAGUCAAUNNNNNNNNNNNNNNNNNNNNNNNNNNNNNNNNNNNNNNNNNNNNNNNNNNNNNNNNNNNNNNNUACACUCCAUCUUCUUCAUUUCCUCUCAAGAACAAGCUUUUCCUCUCAAGAUUGACCUCCAUAAGUUGGUUAUUGUAACGCCCGGUUCCCUGGUACACGUUUAAUUAAGUAUUUAUCUAUUUUGAAAGAAGAACUCGAGGAGUUGGUAGCCCUGACUUGUCGAGAAGCAGGCAGUUUGUACGCGGGGGUUUUAGUGAGCUACUCGACGAGUCGUAGCCCUGACUCGAGGAGUAGGACAAGCUGGAUGAAACCCUAAUCUUUAGGGUUUGCACCCUAUUUAAGCAUCAUAUUUGGCCUCCAUUCCAGCCUCCCUCACCUCCGAAGCACUAACUCUGAAACCCUAAUCCUCCAUAAGUGAUCUUGAGCUAUUCUUGCCAUUUUGAGUGUUAUUUUGUGUCUUUUGAAGCUUGUGGAAGAAGCAGAAGAUAGAAGACUCAAGAGGGAAGGAGUAGAUCCAGGAACUACACUCCAUUUGCAACCUUUUCUGGUAAUCAAGUUUUCAACUUGAUCAUUCUUCUCUUAGAUCUAUCUGUUUCCAUCUUAUGAAAGUUUUGGUUCAAAAACCUUGGUCCUUGGAGUUUGGGACGUCCCAAGUGGCUAAUAUCUCAGAUCUAGGCUCUAGGGAGGGUUCCAUGGCAUAAAGGUGCAAACUUUAUGACCAUGGAAGCCUCAUACAAACAUAUGAGCAAGUUUAUGGUCUUUUAGCCCUAAGAGAAUAUGCAUGGAAGGAAAGCUCAGAAUUUUAUGGGUCCAACAGAUGUUAAAACCCUAGAUCUAGGUUUGUAUGAAUGGAUUUGAGACUCUAUGGAAUUUUUGGGGUUUUAUCUAAACCCUUUCAUAAUAGGGCCUGUUUAUAUGAUAUAAUAGUAGCUGAGUGUGGGUCGGGCCCGAAUCUCGUAGCAGUCUAGUGUGGGCGUGGCCCGAUUCUCUUAGUAUUAUCUGAGCAUAGAUAUGUGAUUGUUUGGUAGAUAUACUUGUUGUCUGUGUGAUACUUGUAUGCAUGUUAGUAGCGGAGUGUGGGUGGGCCCCGAAUCUCCUGGCCAAUGGAGUGUGGGCGGGUCCUAAAUCUCCUAGAUAGCAGAGUGUGGUCGGGUAAGUUUUUCCGUACUAAUCUAGUGAUUCUAUACACAUAUAUACUAGUUUUGGUACAAUUACGCACAUUAAUAUGUGUUAAUAUCCAUAGGAUAUUUUGAUAUUCAAGUGUUCUUAGCUUGAAAUCCUUCAUCUUCACCUCUUUAUCCACCAAGAAAGACACUCAUGGUGAGUUCAUACCCUUCAUUUUCGUUUUUAUCAAAGUUUUAGGGGGGAAUACAAGUAAACUUGUAUAAUAAUACAAGUUGUUAUGCAUGCUUUAUCUUCAAGUUAUGUAAAAGUAUUAUUUACAUGAAAUAAGGUUAUUAUCUAGUAUUAUGAGCAUUUGUGUGUGGUAUCUUGCUUAAAAUGUAAAUCUAUGAAAAAUGAGUAUAAACAUGCUAUAUGUGAUGGGUUUUGAGCAUAACAACAUCCUAUGUGAUCAUGCAACCCUGAUUGCUUUGGAUCCAAGUUUGUCUCUAGUUAUACAUGCAAAUAAAAAUUCCAAAGCAAUAACCCUAAUACUAGCAUACAAUUUCCAAAAUCAAUAUGAAACUAGGGUUAGAAUAUUACGUUGCUUGCUAUCUAGUAAUAACACCACGGAUGAUCUUGACUCUUGAAAGCUUAUUGCCCCAAGUGUUGCACCUCUAAUGGAGUCACAAACACCAAAAGCAAAGGAUGAGUGAGAGGGGGGGUAGAAAAUUGGCUAGGGUUUCUCCUUGGGAAGCACUGGCCAAAUUUAGGAGGUCUAGGGGUCUUUAUAUAGUUGUGGCUGCUAGGAUUUUCAGGUGGAAACCCUAAUCCUUGCUUAGGCUCCAAGCAACCCAUGGACAUCCCUUCUCGAAGGCCUUGGACGAUUUCUAUAGGGCCUCCCUAUAGAAAUUCUUCCACCCCAUUCCAAGGGAGUCCAGCAGCCCAGUUUGCAACUAUUAAUGAUUUGCAAAACCAGCCCCCAUACUUUUAACUAGUUGCUUUAAUCCCAAAAUUAAUAUCAAAUUAAUUUCUGGUUAAAUACUAAUUAAAUAAUAUUAUUUCUAAUUAAUAUUUUAUUCUUAUAAUAUAUUAAUAAAUCAUUAAAUAACCUCUCUCUCUCUCCAAAAGUCAUCCUGUCAAGUUGCUAUGGUGAAGGCAACCCAAAAGGACCAUGCUACUAUCAAAUCAAGUACAUAUCAAUUAUAGUUAUGGGCUUAGACACCUAAUCAACCAGUCUCCCACUUGGAUAAGUCUAAUAACUAUAACUGCAUGUAUGACUUUAAAAUCUGAUUAGCAAUUGUAGCUUUCAAAAGCCGUUGUCGAACUCUGACCUAGUCAAUGACGCAUCCUUUAGAUAAGGGAUCAUAUAAUCCUCUGUUCUGCAAGAUAUCGUGUGGAAAAAGACAUGGAACAUAAUCAUUCUCAUUGCCCAACAGAUUGUUUCCCGAUUUCUGAUUUUUAUGACAUAGAACUUUAUUGAACACAUCAAUUUAGUCCUGACUGGGCCCGACACAUAAGUCAACACAAAUUCAUCGAGGGGCCCAAGAUAUCGCUUUUACUCCUUGGGAUAAAAGGAACAGAUAAACUUUGACUUAUAUGCUUGUACAAUUUACUCAUCGAAUCAUACACAACAAUAUGUUUUAUAACAUCAAGUUACUAAUGCGCUUAUGCAUUAUCAAUGUACAACCAACUCGUAAACAACGACUCAUAUAUCUUGGUUUAAAGAUUAUACAAUAUUAUCGUCUCACAAUCACUCGUGAUAAAUUACAUGAAGUGAUUCAAAUGAAGGUGGGUUUAAUCCAAUACUCAAAUCAUAUUUCAAAAGUACUCAUGAACGUUGCAACAAACCUUUGCUAUGUCUAAGCACUUAGACAAUCUACAACCCAAUUCAUGAGAGUCUUCAUUCAUUACAUACUCCCAAACUAUGAUCGACUGUGGAUGUUUUGAACAAUCCAAUUAUUCAGGAAGUAUAACAUGCAAAAGUGAAACACAAAAUAAACAAUUGACAAAAGAUAGUAAACUUUACUCAAAAAUAAAUCUUCCAUUACUUAAUCAUCAAAUGUCAAUUACAUUUAUAUUGUACAAGUUUCUAAUGUAACACUCCAAAUCAGUUAUCACCUUGGAAGCCCUUUAAAAUUUUAAAUGUUGCAUAAUUAGUCCCUUAAGUACAUUGGGUGUACUCAUGGGUACGCUUAGCGUACUUUACUAGAAUGAUCGUGGAGGGACAACACCUACGUUGGGCGUACCAAAAGUACGUUGGGUGUACGUGACGGAUGUCCAAACCCUAAUUUACGGACUUGAGACCUAUAUAAGCAUCCUUAUCUCAUUUGAGCCUCACCCUAAUUAGCCUCUUUCACCUUCAAACGUCUCUAAAAACUGUAAUACCAUUAAAGAGUGUGAUUUGAGCUUAAGUAGUGCAUUUGUGGCCAUUUUAGUGUCCAUUCAAGAAGAAGACGUUGUCAAGCAAGCUUAGAGUGGCAUUAGGCUUCAAGAAUAUGUAUCUAGUUCACCUUGAGGAGCUUCUGGAGGUAUAGAGCUUUGAUCUUGCCUUCUUACUUUUAGAUCUAGUUAGGUUUUUCUUUAUGGUCCCUUUUGUUGGUUUUGGACCUUCUCUUGAGAGUUGAGCAACUCCAUAGGUUGAAAUGGUUAGAUCUAAGCCUUGUGAGCAUGUUAGAUGCAUAAAGGUGCUAGCUUGGGGAGUAUCUAGACUCCAUGCAAGAGUUUGGAGCCUUAUAUGAAGUCCUAAUGUGAAGAAUGAAGUUUUUAAGUCCCAUAUAACAUGCAAGGGAAUAAAGUUGCCAACUUUAUGCCCUAGGACAUCUUAAUGAGCUCAGAUCUGGUUUUGGAUGUUAAAACAUCAAGUAUUAAGCACUUAGUGGAAGGAAGUGCUUAAUCUGUUAGUACGAUGGGCCUAAGUUAGCGUAUACCACGCGUGCUACUCAAGGACUCAAUACGCUGCGCGUACCAGUGUGGUACGUCGGUCGUACGCAUAGCAGUUGGAAUUGGAUUUGUUUUGGGCCUCAAUUCAUCAUUGGGCAUGGUCAUGUUUUGGGGUUAGUGGGCCAAUUUAUCUGUUUUGGUCCAUGGAUGUUAUGAUUGGGCUUUAUUGGGCCAUGAGACCCAUUAAUGAUUUUGGAUAUGGACUUUGGGCCCAUUAACUAAGGAAGACCUUUUGGGCCAUUGUGAAAGGACUUGGAGUUUGGGGUUUUCAAUUGGAUUGUGUUUAGCCCUAACCUUGGGUAAUGUUAUCAUUGUUUAGCAAAGGCGGUUAUGAACUGUUAGGAGAGAAACUCUCAGAUUUAGCCGACAGAGGUGAGUCUUCUCACCAUACCAAUGGGUCUAAGGCACCAAGGCCGGCCCAUUUUAUGUUAUGUGGUACACUAGCUAUUGUAGAGAUAUGUGGUAAGAUAGUUAGCUUUAUUCUAAGUGGUAUGCUAGUGAUUAUAUGAUAUUUUCAUGGAAGACCCCAGGAGGAGCCCGUGGCAAUUGUAUAUAAGACCAUGUGGGGGAGCUCAUGGCAUUCCUAGGUAAAGACCAUGUGGGGGAGCCCAUGGCAUGAUGGUAUAAGACCCUGGGGGAGCCCACAACAUCCUUAUAUGUUUAUGUAUGUGUUAUGUAGUAUGAUAGCUACUUCUAUGAUAUAUGAUAUGCUAGUUGAUUAUGUAUGUUAUUACAUGGAAGACCCCGGGGUGAGCCCGUCGUAGUUGGAUAUAAGACCAUGUGGGGGAUCCCAUGUCAUUCCUAGGUAAAGACUAUGGGGGGGAGCCCAUGGCAUGAUAGGUAUAAGACCUUGGGGGAGCCCACGACAUCCUUAUAUGUUAGUAUGCAUGGCUUAUGUGGUAUAUGUAGCCUUUAUAGCUAAUAUGAUAUUUGUUAUGUAGAUUGUAUGUGGUGUAUGCUCUGGGGGACUCACUAAGCAUUAGCUUAUAAUUUGUGGAUUUGUUUUAGGUACAUCGGAGCCCAAUGGCAAGGGCAAGGCUUGAUGGCGCGACGUGCACUCUCUCACGUGUUUUUACGAAACACUUUGAUGUUUUGAAAUAGAAGUUUUAAUUGACUUGAGUUUUGAAAACAAUUAUAUUUGGAUUUCGUGGCUUAUGGAGAUGUGUUUGGUUAAUCAAAAAUGAAAAUUUUCUUUUGAAAAUUUGGGUCGUUACAAGUUGGUAUCAGAGCCUUGGUUUGUGAGAUUCGGGCACACUCUCGGGUGUGUCAGGACUCAAAGUAAGGAAAUGGGAAAAACUGUUUUCAAAAAUAAAAUAAAAAGCUUUUAAAGAAAGGAAAAGAUGAGAGUGCAAUGCGUGUGAUCAACCGAGCCAAGUAAGUAGUUCCCUAAUGUGUUAGCCAUGUUAUACUGAUUUUUGAGCUUUGAUGAUCGUAUGGAACUUGCUAUGUGUAUGCUUUUUAAAUUUUAUAUGGUUAGGAGCUUAUAGCCUUAGAAUGACUGAUUUGGCCUUAUUUCUUGUUCCUUGUCUGGUUGUAGUCCUAGGGUAGAAUCUUUUAUUUUGAAAGUCUAUUUGAUCCUUUUCUGUGUAUAAUUUGCAUGCAUAAAGGCAACCGGAUAUAAUUGGUAUGGGUAUAGAAAAUCUUAGGACAACCUAGUAUUUGAGAUAUGUAGUAGUUUGUGGGAUGUGAUUUAUUUUGGGACAAAGUGAAGUUAUCAGGUAGAGCAUUGGAAAAGGUACAGGUAGGUAUGGAAGGUAGUAUUGGGCCUGUACUACUGAAAGCACAUGGCCUAUACCCGAACCAAUGUUAAAUUUGACAACUCCAAGGAGGACCGAUGUGGGAAGAUCCUCUAUAUGGAUAUCCUAAUCAUUAUGAUUUAUGACAUUUCAAUUCAGCAUGGUGGUGACACAAUUUGGAGCAAGAGGAUCAGGACUGGGAUCUGGAUCCGGGGCUGGAUCAGGCGACACUACCGAGGUCAUCGACGAGAGGCUGCGUGAGCUUAUUGUAGUCGAGGUUAGGAGGGGCAUCCUUUACGCUACCCCAGUUAUCUUUGGGACAGUCAAGGAAGGUAUGAUGGAUAUUAUGGAGGAGUCAGAGCCGAGAUUGUUAUGGGCCAGGUUGGGGCUCGAACUCCCUCAUUCCGGGAGUUCAAGGCGUGCGGAGCGCCAUACUUUUUUGGGGUCAGGGACCCCAUUGUUAGUCGACGAAUGGGUGGCGGAUAUCGAGAAGGCCUAAUGCACGAGUUCUUGCCCGGAUGCGGCAAAGGUGGUUUUUGAUUCUUGUAUGCUGAGAGACAGAGCCUGAGAUUGGUGGGGUGAGGUUACUAGCCGGGUGGGAGCAGCCGUGUGGCUGAGAUGACAUGGGCCAAGUUUGUUUGGAAAUUUGACUUGGAGUUUGCACCAGCCAUUAAGGUGUAGAGGAUGGUGAGAGAGUUCCAGAAACUCCAGCAGACCACCGAGACUGUGGCAGAGAUCACCGCCAAGUUUCGGGAGCGAGCAUUGUUGAUCCCACAAUAUGCUACCGAUGAGGACAUGCGGAGGACGAGAUAUCAUUCCAUGCUAAGGGAUGAUAUCCGGGAGUUUGUGAGCUUUACAGGGUGCAAAACCCUGAAUGAGAUAGUGGAGAAGGCCCGUGAACGGGAGAUGGAGUUGGACUUCCGCACCAAGUGGAAGCCGGAGCAGGCACAUGCAGCGGUGGGUUAGGCUAAGAAGCCUAAGACCUCAGACACUCCCAGCAGGGGCCAGCAGGGUCGGGGCCGGUGUGCCAGGUGUGGUAAAUCACACAGUGGGGCUUGUCGGACAACAGGCUCUUGAUGUUACUCUUGUGGCCAGCAGGGUCGUCUGAGCAGGGAUUGCCCCAAGAAGGGCUCGAUAUAUUUCCACUGCAACUAAACUGGCCAUAAAAAGGCCGACUGUCCGAGGUUGCAGGGAGGGGGAGGAGCAAUGGCGGCUCCUGCAUCCGCCAUGAUGAGGAUUACUGAUGGCAGCCCUGCUAAGGCGGAUGCUCUAGCGGUGAAGACCCGUGCAUUUCAGUUGACUACCGAGGAGGCUCGGGCAACGCCUGACGUUGUGGUUGGUACAUGUGUAUUCUACUAUGCUCUAUGUUUAUUUGUAGUGCUUAUGUAUACAUUGUAAUUGUAUUGGGACCUUUUUGGUCAAUGGUAUGUCGGCGCAUGUUUUGUGUGGUUUGGGUGCUACUCGAUCGUUUGUGUCUCUUGCGCUCAGCAAGAAGUUCUGGGACGCACCGGGAACUUUGGAUUCCCCGAUCGAGGUAGAGAUUGCAGAUGACCGCAUUGUGAGUGUUGCAAGGGUGUAUCGGGAGUGUGUCCUAAAUGUGAUUGGUGAGAGGUUUCGCGUUGAUCUAGUCUUAAUACCGUUGUGAGGGUUGAAGGUGAUUGUCGGGAAGAUUAGUUGGGGGCCAAUGGGGCCGUGAUUGAUUGCGAGUGCCAGUUGGUGAGGGUUUGAUCCCCAAGUGGGGGAGAAAUAAUUAUACAUGGUGAGAGGGCCUCGCAAGGGCCAACUCUCUGUUCGGCUGCGAGGGCUAGGAGAUUUCUGCAGCAGGGAUGUACGGGAUUUCUGGUUUAUAUCUCAGAUACGAGGGUUGAGGCCACGACGGAUGUGGGCAGUGUGCCGGUUGCACAGGAAUUUUGGGAUGUAUUUCUUGAAGAGUUAUUAGGAGUGCCUCCAGAGAGGCAGAUGGAGUUUCGCAUUGAUUUGGUGUCGGGUUCCGCUCUGAUAGCGAAGGCACCAUACCGGUUGGCACCGCCUGAGAUACUGGAGUUAUCUACGCAGCUUCAGGAGCUGGAAGACUGAGGGUUCAUCCAUCCAAUCAGUUCCCCGUGGGGUGUACCGAUCCUAUUCGUGAAAAAAGGAUGUAUCACAAAGGAUGUGCAUUGAUUACCAAGAGCUGAACAAACUAACGGUGAAGAACCAUUAUCGGUUGUCGAGGAUCGAUGAUUUGUUCGAUCAGCUGCAGGGUGCGUCUUGGUUUUCCAAGAUUGAUCUUCGGUCGGGGUACCAUCAUAUGAGGAUUAGGGAUAAGGAUAUAUUGAAGACAUAUUUCAGGACUCGGUAUGGGCAUUACGAGUUUGUGGUGAUGUCGUUUGGGCUCACCAAUGCCCCAGCAGCGUUCAUGGAUAUCAUCAACAUGGUAUGUAGAUCGAUGCUGGAUCGGUCGGUGAUCAUUUUUAUUGAUGAUAUAUUGGUCUAUUCUAAGACCAGGGAGCAGCAUUAGCAGCAUCUGAAAGAGGUAUUGGAGACCAUGAGGGCGGAGAGGCUGCAUGGCAAGUUCUCCAAGUGUUAUUUUUGUCUACGAGAGGUACAAUUUUUGUGGCACAUCAUCAACCAGGAGGGCAUUUUGGUUGAUCCAGCCAAGGUUAAGGCAGUGAUGCAGUGGGAAAUACCGAAGAAUAUGUCUUAGAUCUGUAGGUUCUUGGGUUUAGUGGGCUAUUAUCGGAGAUUUAUCCAGGAUUUCUCCAAGAUUGAUGUGCCAUUGACCCGCUUGACCAAGAAGAAUGUGAAAUUUCGGUGGGGCACAGAUCAACAGUUGUCUUUUGAGACCCUGAGACAGAGGUUAUGCGUGGCUCCGAUCCUAGUACUGCCUGAGGGGUUAAACGAUUUGGUGGUGUACUGUUACACAUCGAUUUCAGGGUUAGGCGCGGUACUGAUGCAGAGGGCGCACGUGAUAGGUUACACCUCGACUUAGUUGAAGCCUCAUGAGGCGAAUAACCCCACUCACAACUUGGAAUUGGGGGCAGUGGUGUUCACCCUCAAGAUAUAGAAGAACUACUUGUAUAGAGUAUGGUGCACUAUCUAUACUGAUCACAAGAGUUUGAAGUAUUUGAUGGAUCAACAAAACCUCAACAUGCGACAGAGGACGUGGUUGUACGUGCUGAAGGAUUAUGAUUGUGAGAUCCAAUACCAUCCAGGGAAGGCCAAUGUAGUGGCUGAUGCUUUGAGCCUCAAGACGGCAGGGUCCCUGAUUGGUAACAUUUGUAUGAGGAGGUCGGUGAUCUCUCUAUUGCUGGAUAUGAUCAAGGAGGCCCAGGUCGAGGGAGUGAAGAAAGUGAAUUGGAAGAUUGAGAGGAUUUGGGGAUAGUAUCCUUUGUUUGUUAAGGAUAGUCGUGGCCUUUUGACACCGUAUGGCUGGGUGUGGGUACCGGUGACUGGAGGAGUGAGAUAGAGGAUAUUAAAGGAGGCACACAAGUCCAAGUUCUCUAUACAUCCAGGGGCUACGAAAAUGCAUAGAGACUUGAGACUGAGUUAUUGGUGGCCUUGCAUGAAGCGGGAGAUCGCCUGGUUUGUGGAGCGGUGCUUGACCUGCAUGAAGAUCAAAGCUGAGCAUCAGUGACCUUAUGGAAAGGUUUAGUCGCUACCCACUCCCAUGUGGAAAUGGGAAGAGAUCACUAUGGAAUUCAUCACGAAAUUACCGAGGACGGCAAGGGGUAUGGACGCCAUAUGGGUGAUCGUGGACAGAUUGACGAAGAAUGCCAACUUCAUUUCGAUUUCUGAGAGUAUAUCCACUGAGAGGUUGGCGGAUUUUAUGUACGGGAGGUGGUGGCGAGGCACGGGGUGCCCGUGUCGGUUGUCUUUGACAGGGAUGUUUUGUUUACAUCUAGGUUCUGGAAGAAGUUCCAUGAGGAACUCGACACCCAACUGCAUUUUAGUACGGCGUACCACCCCCAGACAGACGGUGAAAGUGAGAGGACGAUCCAGACACUUGAGGAUAUGUUGCGAGCAUGUGUGUUGGAUUUUGGAGGGAGUUGUGAUACGUACCUCCCAUUUGGUAGAGUUUUCAUACAAUAACAGUUAUCAUGCCAGUAUCGACCGAGCUCCAUUUACGAUGUUAAAUGGUCGGAGGUGCAGGACCCCGGUUUGUUAGGACGAGGUUAGACACCGGGUCAUGGGGAGCACUGAGGUAGUGCUCAAGACUACCGGGAUGAUUCAGCAUGUGCGCGACUGGCUGCGGGUCGCGUAAAGCCUCCAGAAAAGUUAUGCUGACCGACAGCGAUUGGAUCUUGAGUUCCAGGUGGGGGACUUUGUGUUACUGAAAGUGUCGCCCUGGAAAGGGGUUAUCAGGUUUCAAAAGAGGGGCAAACUAGGAUCUCGAUAUAUAGGCCCGUUCAGUUUAUGGCCCGGGUGGGCAAGGUGGCAUAUUGCUUGGAAUUACCGAAUGAGUUUAGCCAGAUUCACAACACCUUCCAUGUGUCGUAGAUUCGUAAGUGUGUCACUGACGAGUCCGCAGUCGUAUCUCUGGACGACAUUCAUGUAGAUGAGAGCCUAAACUACAUUGAGAGGCGUGUUACGAUUUUGGAUAGGAAGACCAAGGGUCUUCGAAACAAGGAAGUGAAACAUGUAAAGUUGCAAUGGAAGCACCGAAGGGGCUCGGAAUGGACAUCCGAGCCGGAGGAGGAGAUCUGGGAGCAUUACCCCGAUCUAUUCACAUCUACGGACUUUGAGGACAAAGUUUAGUUCAAGUGGGGGAGAGCUGUAACACUCCAAAUCAGUUAUCAUCUUGGAAGCCCUUGAAAAUUGUAAAUGUUGCAUAAUCAGUCCCUUAAGUACACUGGGCGUACUCAUGGGUACGCUUAACGACUUUGCAAGAAUGAUCGCAGAGGGACAACACGUACGCUGGGCGUACGUUACAAUUGUCCAAACCCUAAUUUCUAGACAUAAGACCUAUAUAAUCAUCCUUAUCUCCUUUGAGGCUCACCUUAAUUAGCCUCUUUCACAUUUAAACGUCUCUAAAAAUCCUAAUAGCAUUAGAGAGUGUUCUUUGAGCUUAAGGAGUGCAUUUGUGGCCAUUUUAGUGUCCAUUCACGAAGAAGAAGUUGUCAAGCAAUCUCUGGAGUGGCAUUGGGCUUCAAAAAUCUGUAUCUAGUUCACCUUGAUGAGCUUUUGGAGGUAUAAAGCUUUGAUCUUGCUUUCUUAUUCUUUAGAUCCAGUUAGGGUUUUCUUUAUGGUCCCUUUUGUUGCUUAUGGACAUUCUCCUAAGAGUUUAGCAACUCCAGAGGUUGAAAUGGUAAAACCUGAGCCUUGCGAUCAUGCUAGAUGCAUAAAUGUGCUAGCUUCGGGAGUAUCUAGACUCCAUGCAAGAGUUUGGGGCCUUAUAUGAAAUCCUAAUGUGAAGAAUGAUGUUUUUAAGUCCUAUAGAGCUUGCAAGGGCAUAAAGUUGCCAACUUUAUGCCCUAGGACGUCUUAAUGAGCUCAUAUCUGGUUUUGGAUAUUAGAACAUCGAGUAUUAAGCACUUAAUGGAAGGAAGUGCUUAAUCUAUUUGUACAUUGGGCAUAAGUUAGUGUACGACGCACGUACUGCUCAAGGACGUAGUAUGCUGCGCGUAUCAGUGUGGUACGCCAAGCGUACGCACAACAGUUAGACUUGGAUUUUUUUGGCCUUUGAGCUUCUGGGCCUCAAUUAGUCAUUGGGCCUAGUCAUGUUUUGGGGUUAGUGGGCCAGUUUAUCUGUGUUAGGCCAUGGAUGUUAUGAUUGGGCUUUAUUGGGCUAUAAGGUCCAUUAAUGAUUUUGGGUAUGGGCUUUGUGCCCAUUAACUAAGGAAGACCUUUGGGCCAUUGUGAAAGGACUUGGAGUAUGGGUUUUUUAGUUGGAUUGUGUUUAGCCCUAACCUUGGGUAAUGUUAUCAUUGUUCAGCACAGGAGGUUACGGACUGUUAGGAGAGCAGCUGUAAUAUCCGGAUUUCUAGUUAUGGUCAUUUGAUUAUUGAUUUUGAGAUAUGAGGAGUGACUCAAUGAGUUGAUGCCCUAACUCGUCGAGUAGGAUCGCAACUGAUGACUCGAAUUAAUGAGAGGACUUGACGAGUCGAUGAGUGGACUCGACUAGUCCGUGCUAUUGGCAGAAACCCUAAAUCCUUGGGCAUGUGCCAAAUUUAAGGGUCCUUAUGGCCUUCAUUUGCGACCACCCUUCCAGAGGAAAAAACCCUAGCAAACUUGAGCAUGUGAAGUGAGUGAGAGAGCCAUCUUGAUCUAUUUGUUGCUAGUGAAUGCUACAGCUACACCCGUAGACUUACAACACUCUGACACUAUCUCAUUCGUUGAUUACUAAUCCGAACACAUCCGACGUCGAGCAUACAUGCGAUCUAACAUCCAAAAUUGAACCCAUGUCCUGAUUGGAAUCCCCAAACUGAUUCCCUAAGGCUUGCUAGCAACAUUCCGAGAAUGCGAUCUCAUGAUUGGCAAGUUUUUCUGCACUUCCAUCUCACACUAUCCUCAAAUCAUACAACCGCUUGGGCUUUCUUCCUUCCUGAACAGGAUGUGAAACUUAUCCCAGUUUCAAAACUGAUUUUGCUUUUGAAUCCUAAAUCGAUUCUCCCCCACUUUGCUUCAACUAACGUCUUUCGAAACACAAUACUGGAAGGAUUCUCAAUCCUUCUUACCAUUCUAUGCCCAAUCUACUGGAAACCACGUUUACCAUUGCUAGUGUUUCAAUACUAGUCAGUCCAAAAGGUCACACCACCUCUAAGAACCCGAAUAAAUCUCUGGUAAUAACCCGCUAGACCCAAGAAGCUCUGAAUCUCAAUUGGAGACCUCGGAAUCUCCCACUGCAUCAGGACCUCUAUCUUUGCCGGCUCGACUAGAAUAUCCUUCUGAUUGAAAAGGUGCCCAAGAAAUUGCACCCCGCGCAACCAAAACUCACAAUUGAAGAACCUUGCGAAAAUUAUCUCCCUCCUCAAAGUCUCCAACACCUCCCUCAGGUGCUUCUUGUGCUGCUCCUAAGUCUUGGAAUAAACCAAGAUGACGUUGUACUUUCCCAAUCCUGUAAUUUGGGGAAUACUCUAUCACUAUUCGCUAAUGCUUCUCGGCAUGCAAUUGGCAUAUGACAUCUCUUGAAAAUAUAUUUCAAACACGGAUAGAGGAUAACCCAGAGUCACACUUACUCAAACCCCUGGAACGAAAGACUCUAUCGUAUAGUUUCCCGCAUGAGCUAUACUGAAUCUAACCCUGCUGGAUCCUCAGAAGCUGAUCUAAAAUCUGCGGUCUCCUCCCGAGACCCCUCACUAUAAGCAACUGAUCUGGUUUCCCCUUCCCAACGUGCUCCAAGUCAAUAUCUCGUCCUCGAGCUCUAAAAGUCUUAUCAUUCAGGGUCUCACACCCCGAGAUACUCACGAUCUCCCUGCUAUCAUUCUGCAGUAUGCCCUGAUACUUUAUCUUCUUCCAUUCCUCAUCUGCUGCAUACUGCGGUACCAACUAAGCUCUCUCCCGAGACUUGGCAGUGGUCUCUGCCACAAUAUCAGUAGUCUGGCGGAGAUCUAACAACUCUUGCACCAACUGCUGCGCCCCAAUCUCUUGGGAACACUUUGCCCAGAGUCUGGUCUAAGAGUCAUCCCAUGACAUAACAUUAACCGCAUCAUCACUCAACCUUCUACCAACCUCUUUCUAUCGAUCUCGUGCUCUGUCCCUCAGGAGACAGGAAAUAAGUCGGAUCUUGUCUCCUUUCGUCUGGUACGAAAAGUGUUGGCGACAUCUUCCAACCAUCUGCUGCUAACAAUGGGGUCCCUAACCCACAUGACAAUCUGAAGCUUCGCAAACUCUGAAUUCCUAAAACAUCAACGUACGGGUCCCUAUCAUGCAUGCUAUCUCAGUGCAGAAUGCACCCGACCUCUCAUAAAAAAUCUCUUUAAUGCACUCCUUGAUCACACUGAGGAUCACAGGAGUCAUGUCAAUGAUACCGCACGUAAUCUCAGAUGGAAUGAACUUCCUCAUCUGAUCAUCAACCUGCCUGGUUCUAGAGUCCGAGCAUGAUCCCUAAUCGUCACCAGAACUACAAUCUGGUCUACCACGUAGCGUCACUAUACUCGAUAAUAUACCAUCACUAACAUCACAAUACUCAUCAAAACUCGAUGGAUCUUCAUACACUACGUUCCAUGGUCUUAUCUCAGACUUCCUACUGGAAGGAAAUUCACCUCACACUACUGAAGUCCCAUAGACAUAACCCCACAUUGCUGAAGUCCUGCAGACUCAACCCCAGCUGUUGGAUGAUAGAUUCCCGAACUGUCAACACCAAAAUAACACCCAAUUAAUAAUUAGGUUCCACUACAUAACUAUAAAUACAUACUUUGGAUAAUUACUACAUUACCCCAAGCUUGGCUUACCCAAGCCCAAGGCCCAAUCAAUAGGCCCAAAAUCAACUAGGGAUCAAAGCCCAACAUAUGGCCCAAUUUUCCAAAUUGGGCCCAAACCUCUACAUGGGCUUCCCUUAAGGCCCAAUUGUCCAAUCCAUUCCAUAAUGUCCCAUUCUAAUGGCCCAAUAUAAUACAACCCUCUAGGCCCAAACUAUGGCCCAAUUUUCCAAAUUGGGCCCAAUCCUUCAUAUGGGCCUUACCCUAGGCCCAACUAAUUACUCUAGUCCAUUUGAUUAUUCUUGGAUGGCCCAUUGAUAAACCAAUUACCAAAACCCAAUCGAAAGGCCCAACUCAAGGCCCAAGUGAAACUAGGGUUUCACAUAAAAUGGCGAUUAGGGUUAAGUUUCAUACUUAACCGAUUAAGGGCUUAACUCACUAAGGACUUAAUCCAUUAACUCCAUUAUUGCUUAGAUUAAAUUCUGCCGAUGAUUAUUAUUUAAUAUUUCACUUAUUAAAUAAUUCUCGUGUGUGUCUUGAUAAAUUCUCAAAUAUUAGGAUUUUCUCAAUUAGCCCAUUAAGGACUUGAUCCAUUAAUUCCUUUACUCUACUAGAUAAAUGGCAUGGAAUAAUUUGGGCUUAAUUCACAAUCCAAUCCCAAUGGCUCACAAGUGGGCCCAAUAAGUUUAAGGCCCAAUACUCAUAUUUAGGAUUUUUCACCCAAACAUGGCCCAAUAGGCCCAAAACCAAUCUCUAAGCUCAUUAGGGUUUGCUAGCGGGGCACCACCCACUACCACCUCGGGUAGUGGUGGUCGAUGGCGGCUCACGGUGGCGGCCACCACCUUACAGUGGUGGUUAUUACCACCUUACGGUGGUGGUUAUUAAUUAUCCUUUUCAUUACUCAAUGCUAAUUACAUAUACAAUGCUCAAAACCAAAAAAAGACACACACACUAACUAACAUAAUACACACACAGCCACCCUAGUGGCGGCCGGCGGUGGCUUGUGGUGGCGAUGACUUUUUCCAGCCAAAUAAACACACACAACACCUAUACACGUUUCUCAUUUGCACUAUGGACCCAACCACCGACCUGGUGGCUCACGGUGGUCCCGCAACAGCAGCAACACAUCGUCCAUCAGCAACAACAGUGGCAUGGAGGUGACCAUGGCUUUUGACAAUUACCUAUGUCUUUCAUGACUCCUCACAUGCAAAUGACCACGCUAUCAAGUCUUUACUCUGAAAACGAACCCAAACCCACCGGAGAAGAUAGAGGUAUGCCGGCCCCGACAUCAGCCUCGUCUCCAGAAAUCGCUGGCAGCAAACAACAGCAAUGGACUCUGGCGUCUCCGAAAGUCAGUGUCGUGAUAACGACGUUCACCUGACACAACAGUAGCGACCACAGCCUUGGUGAUUCACACGGCGGCGAACGACUCACACGAUGACGAUGCAGUGGCUCUUCCCGGUCUUCGGUGAAACUAUCGAUGACUCACGUCGUUGCCGGCAGUGAGUCUUGAUGGUGGCGGUUCCAUGGCAUGGUGGUGGGCGGCGACCUCAAUGAUCGGAGAUGUGAGAGUAAGAGGGGUGGCGGCUUCAUCAUUUAGGGUUAGGUUUCGCAUGGGUGGAGUAGGGUGACAGGUUUAAUACCCGAUUACAUAACUUUGUGAUCUAUAAACAUCUUUGGUCCCUCUAAUCCGAUUUCUUUUCAGUCUUGCUCCUUUAUUUACACUUUAGACCCCAACUCCUAAAUUCUUUUCAAUAUAACCCCAAAAUUUACUAAAAAGCCCCUCCUCCAUAAUUUAUUCUCAAUUUGAAUCCAACACUUACACUUUUAGUCCAUGACUCCAUAAAAUCUUUUCAAUUUAAAUCCAUUAAUUACCAAACGUACCCUUGCUUCUAAAAUUCUUCUCAAAACAACUUUGUAACUUACUAAACAACCCUCCACUAUUAGAAUUCUUCACAAAUUUAUCCGAUAAUUAUAUUUAUUAAUUUAUUUAAAUAAACGGGGCGUUACAUAUAUACAAGAAACUGAGUGGGUCAGGCUUGGGAGCCUGGUGAGCACAUAGGGUUUUCAACUCACAAUAAUUAAGUUUACUAAUUUCAUCAAAUCAUUCAACCUGAGUACCCAUUCCCGUUAUCCUCACCGUACCUCCCUAAAACAUCUAUUAUACGGGACCUAGCCUAAGGAUUUUCAUCGAGGUGACAAUACUACUUAGGGGAUUCCUCAAGACUACAUGUCAAAUAAGGCAACCAUGAGGGGGAUGGAGUACAUCUGUUUAACACAUAGUUCAAAUAAACACCUACAUGUUGCGUGCCUGGAAGCGUUCCACUAGACUGUCUAGAAUAGUCUGUGGGUGUCAUCUAUACUCCGCUAGAUGACUGGAUCAUCAUAAACAUCGAGGUCUCUCGUCAUUUUAUCACACAUCAACUAUUUCAUCUACCCAUGUUCUACCCAACAUUUUCGUAUUUAUAAAAUACAUAUACAGUUUAAAUCAUUUUAAACAUGUAUAAAUCGUUUAUCCAUCAUAAAUAUCAAGAACACAUAUAAUAUGCAUACAUAGCAUGUAAUUUAUAUUAAAUACUUCAUAUCUAUGUGUAAGAUGAAAGUAACUAUGCACCCACUUGUUAAAGUGGAGAGUCCAACUUUGACAGCACUUCGUUUCUUAAUAAUAUAAUUUCCUUCGACGAAACCUAGUAUUAUUACCACUAGAUUUUAAUCUAAUAUUUAUCGUGACUAUUUACGAGCGAUAUUGUUUUAUAAGUGUUAAACAAUACUUUUCAACCACUAUGGGCCAGACAUGAAACACCGGAGGGCGGGACCAUUUUGGCAUUAUAGCACUUCUGAAAUCCAACAACCCUAUGCGGCCCUUCAAACCAGAUUCCCCGUACCGGUAGUAGUUAAAAGAUAUUAUAAUAACACUUUAUNAUAUAUAUAUAUAUAUAUAUAUAUAUAUAUUGUUUAUAAGUUCAUAAUAACGAUAAUAAAUUUAAAAAUAAGCUAUACUUAAAGUAGGGUAAGCAUAACUCACUUACCGGGAUGUUUGGCUAGAAAACAAGCUCUGCGGGGGCAGAACUUCCGAGCCGAAAAGCACUUUUUCUCGGAGCCUUCUGGCGCUCCUCUAGCACUUAAAAGUUACUAUAGGUUAGGGUAGGUUUAGAGAGAGGUUAGAGAGAGAGAGAGAAGGGUGAUGGUGUGAAGAAUGAAGCAACCCUCACACCCUUUAUAUAGGGGUCUGGUCUUAGGUUAUGCAGGGCGUACCUUGGAUGUACACUGCACAUAUGAGAUUACGCUGCACAUAUGAAGGGGGCGUGUUUCAACCUUCGGAUGGGGCGACAUGAUUGAUCCAGAACCUAGUAUGCGAGAAUGCAGGGCGUAGGGCUUCUCUGUGCAGGGCGUUCAUGUGUAAUCUCGCAUCAGCCGUUCCGACUUCUAAAUUCCGUAACUUUCGCAUACGAACUAUGUUUUCGAUGUUCUUUAUAUCUAUGCAUAGGUGGAGACAUACUCUACCAUUUUUAUUUAGACCAUGUUGGUUAAUUUUGACUUUAUUUUUAAAGUUAUAUUUUAACAGGUCUGGACAGAUAAAGUCCGCUAAAAAUUCAUAACUUUGUCACCCGACAUCCGUUUUUGUCUGUCUUUUUAGCGUUGAGCUCUCAUUAACGAGAUCUUCGAUUCUCAUUUAGGUUGUGUCGGCUAAAAUUCGGUCAAUCUAAUAUUCGAAUUUCGGGCUACAUACUGCUAUGCGAAAUCAUAGACAUCAUAACUUUCUCAUACGAAGUCAGAUUUAGACGUUCUUUUUAUGAAUGCUCUCGGUUAAACGUAUACUAUGGAAUUCGCUUAGAACGCUAAGGAUAAAAAGUAAUUUAUCGUAAACUCACUUUUCACGUCACACCAUGUCGAGCCGGUUUUUUCGCGAAACUUCGACAUGUUAUAAAUUCUUCUUUAUAACUUGGAUUUUGGUGUUCUUUAUAUCUACGGAAUCCUUGUCACAACCACUACGAUUUUCUUCAUAGAUAUUAGGUUUAUCUAUUAUUUUAUUUUUGAUGCUUAUUUUCAUUCUUAAUUUAUUAUAUCUUAUAAAUAAGUAUAAUGCACAUAAAAUCACAUAAUUCACAUAAUAUUCAAGUAAUCCCUCUUUAUUACUUGAAAAUAGGUUACAAUUGUUGACCCUAACUAUUACAUCAUUACACUAAUGCUUAGCCUAGAGACACGAACGUUACAACAGAUCACGUUCAUGUAGAUACCAUUGAACUACAAUGAGGCUUUGUUGGCGGUCCUCCAUAUCGAGUAAAGUUGAUCACAAUUGCGGUACUGCUUUUUCAUUCGAUGACAAAGACUAUCCAAACUCUAUCUUUAACUGUUGUCGAAUCUUGGUUAUCGCCUGUCACCGGAUCCGUCGACACAUAUAGUCAUGUUUGCGCUAGUGCCCUCUCUUCAUCAUCCAUCCACCCUUUGCAUGGAGCCUUCAUUUUUCCUUCAUGUUUUCAUGUUAGUUCGACUUCGGGUGCAUGAAAUGUCUCUUGAACAGGAUCUUCAACAGGUCCUUCAUCGGAAGAAUCGGUUGAGUCAUCGAAUAGGCGGCGUUGUUGGCAUUGAAAAUUACUUUGGCGUUGUGGUUGUGAAAAGGAUUGGUUUUGAUAAAUUUGCAUGGGUUGAGAGGAGUACGGAUUGAAUGGAAACAUUUGUGGAGCCUUAGUGGGAAAGUAGUAGUUAGCAGGUGAAUUAAUGGGUUGAUCAAAUGAAGGUCGCUAAUAUGGUGGUGAUGGAAGGUUUGGUAAUUAAGGGUUUUGAGAUGGAAAGUUUAGUGAUGGAAGGUUUGAAGAUUUUUGUUAUUGUUUCUUAGGGUUUUCUUUUGACUAUACGAAUAUAUUUUUGUUUGGUGAAUUGAGAGUGUUUGUGAGAGAGAUAAUUUAUAAUAGUGGAAUUGUAAUUGAAAAUUACGAAUUUUUAUAAUAAGAAACGUUUUUUUUUAAUUAUAACUAGAUGAGUGACCCCACAUUUGCGGGGCCAGAUUUGUAUUUUUUUUUGGUCUAGUGGUUAUAAAGCCUUUGUAUUCUACAUUUUUGGAGAGAUCAUGUUGGUUGUAACAUAAAAGUAUUUAUGAUGAUAUAUAGAAAACAUAAUAACAAAAAAUUUGUAAUUGUAGUUUACGCAAACAAAUGACAAAUAGAAGUAUGAUGGUAUAAGUUAAUACACAAAAAAUUGAAAAUACAUUCUUCUUAUUUUUACCAAAGUAAACAUGACAAUGGAAUAGAAUGGUUCAUUCCAUUCCACUGUUCAUUGUAGCUUUUAAAUCGUAGACUGGAACUACCUUCGCCUACCUACACUAACUUCCUUGCCUUACGAAAAGCAGAAUAAAUGCCUUAAACCUUGUUCCAAAAACCAUAGGAUUUGGAAUAUGAUUGACACUUCAAGCUGCAAGAAGAGUUCAAUAAAAAAAUGUUAUUUUGCAAAAAAAAAAAAAAAAAAAAAAAAAAAAAAAAAAAAAAAAAANAAUAGAUGAUCGUAAGAAUCAAGUACGUUGCUAUUAUCAAUAAAGUUCGAAUUAUCCAAAACUUCCUGUCACACCAGUAUAAUAUCAACAAUAAAAAACUUAAUGCAAUUUUAUAUAUGUUAAUUAAAAUCAUAAUCAUACCUUGCACUCCCCUUCUCUACAGUAGAUGAUGCCCUUAAAUGGAUGCCAAUUUAGAUCCCUUAGAUGGGUAAAGAGGUAAUUGCCACAUAUUUAUUUCUAAAUUGGCAUUUAGUUAUUCAUAAUGACUGCUUCCCUCAUCGAUGCUCUGCAAAUGUAUGAAUCUUCAAAAUUUAACAAUAAAAUGCUAUAAAUGAAAUACAAGCUGUGAAAGUAUAUGAGCAUAUGCACAACAAUAAAAAGAGAAUAAAAUUUAAAAAAAAUCAAACUAAAAAUUAAAAUGAUUAAAAAUUUAUCAAUGUGAGAGACCGGAUAUUAUCAUGUAUCACCAUUCCCAGAGAGGGUGAAAAGGGAUUUUUCAAUUCCUGUGUUUUUUAUGAAAAAACAAAAUAUAGUAAAUAUAUAAAACUACUGAUGUUUAUUAUCAAGUUCAAUUGUAUGUGACAUUCAAUUAUAUAUCCUGCAAAAACAGAGAUUCGGAUGGAAUGUUGAUAUAUGAGAGCUUUUCAUAAGACGUUUAAGGUAAUCUAAUCUGAUUUAACAUAAAAGAUAAACUGUAAAAGGUAUUCCUCUAAACUAAAAGUACACAAUACCAUCUCCUUCAGUGACCAGUGUGAUCCUUGUCAAGCAAUUAACCGCAGUGGUUUUCCCAGCUCCAUUAGAUCCUAGAAGACAAAAAAGCUGAUCCUUUGGGAAGUUCAUACAUAAUACCUAUAAAUAAGUUUAAAGAAAAAUCAGCUUAUAUGAUACACUUUUACAAAAGCAUAAAAAAAUAGUUAUGUACUUUCACUUCAUUGUAUGGUGCACUUCUCUUGCAAUUGUGUCAACCAAUAUUACUUCUUCCAGGAUACAGAUCAAUAACACCCUCGGAAAAAAAUGUAUUGAAAUUGUCAAAUGUGAACUUAAAUUAGAAGAGAAAAUUUUAUAGAAAAUGCAAAAAUCAAUUAUACUUGAGAACCGAUAAUGUAAUUUAAUCUAAUUGAAACCUACAAACAUAGAAUUUUUAGUAAUCAACUACUAACAUAAUGUUCUAAGCAUUUUGUGAUAGGCGAAGAACAUCACCAUUUUUACCUUCAAAGAAGUGCUUGGUAGCCUCAAUCACUUCAUGCCUUGAUGGGUUUCUUCAUUUGCAUUAUGCUUUAGAUUAUUCAAAUACUGUAUCAAGUUAUACCUUAGUAUGAUAUGUUAAAUCAAAAAUGUGUUUUUGCUUCUUCAAACUCCAAAUCUGAAAAACAAAAUAUUAUUAUUAUUAUUAGAAUUCAAGUCGAAUUUCAAGAAACUACCCGUUUUACUAUUCAAAAAUUCAAUUUUUAAUCCAUUACAUUUACCAAAAUAAAUACCAACUAUCUUUAUUUCUCGCCACUGUCAAUCCUUUGAUUACAUGAUAUUUUUCUUGAGUUUCUAAAUCUAAAAAUCAAACAACUAAGACCAGAAAAACAUUACAUAAGUAAAAAAUGAAGUAGCAACUACAUUCUAUUAACCUUGCCAACAUCUUGUGCAAUACCAUGCCAAAAAACCACAAAAUAGACAAAUACAAACCUAACAAUUGAAGGCAAUCAAAGCAUAAAAUCUUCAACGUGCCAUUUUGUCGAACAUCUUGUGUACAGUAAGAAAAUGCUAAUAUUGUCAUAAAAAAUAUCCAUGUAUGGUUGUAAAUCACUCAAAAUCCAGGAAAAAAAGAAUAAAAAUCAGAUAAUGAGAAAUUGAAAAAAAUAGGACAUUAUUAUUUAACUAAUUGUGUGAUUUCAUCAUAACAGAUCUAAAGGACCCAAUUGGUUAUUUGAUAUCUAAUGUUUACAUAUCUACUGAUUUAACUUGGGUCUUAUUUUAUGAAGUCAAGUAUGUACUGGUAUUAGUGGGCCACCACCUCAUCGAAAGCCAAUAGAUAACAAUGAAACAUAUAACAAACAUGGAAAGACAAAGAUCAAUACAUAAAUAAUGAAACUGAAGAAACACAAAAGAAAAAAAAUAAAGGGGAAAACACAUUAGUUGAUUUCCUCAACUUGCUGAUAUAGAUUCAUGGAAUUAGAAGGAAAAAUAUAGGAAACAACAAAAUAAAUAAAUAAAUAACAAUACAAAAGAACAAAAGAAUAAAAUAAAAACAGCAGUUAAAUGACCUAGAAAUAAAAAAAAGAACGAUGUAAAUAGACAAUUAAGGGAAAGAACUUACGAAGAACCGAAGGGAACACAAUAUGACAUCAGACAGCUAUGCAAACUUCCUUCACUGUUUAUUAAUCAUGUAUCAGAAUAAGAAAACUAAGCACACAAUAUUAACCUUACAUAUAGGUUAGAUGGGGAAAAGUAGGGAAAAGAUACCUAAAGAGGAGAGAUGAGUGGUAAUAGAGACUAAGGGUGCGUUUGGUUGUGGAAAACUAUUUUCAUUUUCUAUGAAAAUGUUUUCAGAAAAUAGAGUUGAGUUUUCAUUUUCAGUUUUCAAUGAAAACGCGUUUGGUUGGAACGGGUGAAGUUUUUAUUUUCCAUCUUAGAAAUUUGGAAAACUGUAAAAAUCACUUUUCUAAUUUAGAUACAAUUUUGAAAACUGAAAAUUUUCAUUUUCUUAGAAAACUUUGGAAAACUAAACGAACCAAACGUGUUUUCAAAAUUUCCAUUUUUCUUAAAAAUGUUUUCUAGAAAAUUGGAAAAUUUUCCACAACCAAACACACCCUAAACCUUUUCCAUCUCCUCGCCUCUAUAGAUGUUGGUUUGAAAAAAACUGUGUUGUGGUGAGUAGAUACCAAUUGAGCACCAGCCAACCACUUUAACAUUUAGUCCCUGUUGCUUCACCAUUUGUUGUUCUUUUAACAUCUUAAACUACAAAGAAUGCUCAAAGCUACAAAAGAAUUGUAAUUAGCUGGGUAUAAAUGAGAAGCAAAAUAAAUAUGGGUUAAACCAUGUUCCUAACUAAAACCUCUACCAAUGAUUUUUUUUGGUAGAUUCAUCGCCAUCUGAGAGCCCUUCUAUAUUCAAUUUCCUGGUUCGAACACAGAAGUCGUCAUGUCACUUUUUCUCCAGUUUCUAGUUGUUCCGAUACAGCCAAUACACAUAGGUGCAAUAAACAGUCCUUGAGGGAGUCUACCCUAUAGUCUUGAAUCUUAUGGGAGUGGAUUAGUUCCAUUUUAAAUCAAGUAAAUGUGAACUUGGAAAGUUUUGGAAGAAUUUGUAUAUAAAAAAACAUGGAGUAGUCGGUUGAAUCGGGUCGAUGAGAUAACCUGAAGAAGGAAUGUUAUACUCAUCUUCGUUUCUCAUUCGAUUUCGAUUGUUAGAAUAUAGAAGGAAAAGGGAAGACAAUCAUAAGGACGUGUAGAGGUGGUGGAAACGAUCCACUUGAAAAUGUGGCUUGUUGGAAAUCAAAGCCCUAAUCAAAUCGAGAAGGAUAAAAGAAAAAUCGAGGAAGUCAUCGUAGCUACAUCUGGUUUUUGGCAGUGAAAAAAUUUUAAGAGAAUAAGAAUUUAGGAAGACAAUAAAGUCGAUGACGGUGGAUAGAGUCAGUGAAGAAGAAGCUGAUCAGAGAAAGAAUGGUGGUGGAAGGACACCAAUCAGUGGAGCCGAUGACGAUACCAUAAAAGGCACAUCUUAAUAAAGUUGGAUUUGAAGUGGUGCAAGGUAAUUGGAUGAGGAGGCGGUGAAGAGAUGUAGAUUCAUAGAAGAGGAACACGUAUCUUGCCCAUUGAAUCAGAAAGCUGAUGCGACAACACGUGGUCCUAAUAAUAUAGAUAUUGAUAGAAAAUGACCCAAAACAUAGAAUAGACAGAAGUAAACACACUAACAUUAAUGGAGGACCAGUUUUGCCAAAACCUUAGGAACUUUAUUGUUCCUAAGGAUGGUCCUCCUUUAAUAUAUAUAUAUAUAUANGGAUCUCAUUUUUGUUUUGACCAAGUUUAUAUAUAUAUAGGCUUAGGUUAUUUUGUUUUUACUAAGUAUUGUGUGCUAGAAUGCACAGAUCUGGACCAACGGAUGAAAUUAAUCAAUGGACAUGAUUUGAGAGUGUAUGAUAUUACAAUGGUGUAACAUGUACCAUAUAAUCACAAAAUUUUUAGCAAAAGGGUAUUUUGGACAAUUAACUACAUUUAUAAAAUGAAAUUAUCGAAUUUUUAGGGAUGACUAAUUCUCCUAAUUUAAAAAAAAUAUGAAUUUUUUAAUUAAUUCAAUUUCAAUUUUUACCGAUUUUAUUCUGUCAGAAUAUUUUUUGUUAGAAUGAUGCUCUUUCAGAAUUUUGUUCUAAUAGAAUAUUAUUUAAGAAAAACAAAAUUCUUGAAUUAGAUGUUGAAAAAUAACAAACAUUCUAAUAUAUUCUUAUACAUCCGAACUUAAAUACAAAUUCAUACAGACUAAAAUCCUUAUACAUUUUAUAUAUAGUUAUACAUAUUCUGAUAGAAUAUCCACUUGAUCUUCUCAUAUAUACUUGUUGUUGAACUCGAUUCCAAAUAUUUCUCUUGUAUGAUCAAUAUUGAAUUCUUCCCCAUGCAAUUCUAAAAGAAUAAGAUAUAGUACCAUUCAAACAUUCUCAAAAAACCUUCUAACAGAAUGCGUUUAUAUAAAUAAAUUUUGACAGAAUACAUUACAGAAUGCACUUAAAUAACCUUUUUUGCAAUCAAAAUCCACCUUGCCAAUAUCCAUGUGAAAUUUAGAACCAUGUGAAUUUUAGUAAAAUGAUUUCCUAUCUACAACCAUUAAAAUCUAUCUUUGAUAAAAAUUUAUAUUCUAUGAGAAUGUCAUUAAAUCAAAUUCUAGGCAUUUACAAUAUGUGAGAAAUUUGCCAUAAAAACAAAAUUCUAGGCAUUCUUGAAUGUUUGAACAAUCAUAUCCUCCAUCAGAAAAUAAGAAAUAACAAUUUGAGCUGAUAAUUUGGCCCGAAUAGCCUGUUGUACUCUUUUGUAGUUUUGCAUAAGCAUAAAACAGAAAAUUAAUUUAUUGACAAAGAAAAUCGAGUUUUGAGUUCAAUAGAUUAGAAUUGUAACUGCACAACGAACAUGAAUUUGUAAGAAAAGUUGCAAUUUCUACAAUAAUCGAUUACUAUUUUAUAUACAACCCUCUAUAGAAAUUAAUGGAAAGAAAAUAAAACAAACCUCAACAUAAGUCAAUGAUGGAAGUGUGGUUGAAAAUUGGAAUCGAUUGGCAUCAAACAAAAAUCAAAACACAAGAAAAACAUACUUGCAACUAUGGUUAAUUGGUCGUUGAUGGCAACUAAUGAUACAUGAUGAAGCAGAAUGUCUACUUACCUCAAAAUCGACACCACCAGGCACCCCUUUCUUCUUCCUACUCGAUUUCAGCCUCACUUCCCUUCAUCCUCUUCUCUUCCGAUCGCACAACCCCUCCCCUCCAGAUUUCUUUUUCUCGGCCGAUAGCAAAAAGGGAACCAACGAAACACGUCCUCGCACAAUGGACUUGGACGGCUAGGGUUAGUUUAGGGCCUUUUAUGGUAACUGUUCCAUUAAUUAAGGAGUUUUAUAUCUAUAUAAGAGAAUUAUUUUUGGUUUAAUAAAUGAAGGUGAUGUAAAGUUACAAAAUUACCCUUAUAUUAUUUUUUAAUAAUUUUAUUAUUCCUAAAUUCCUAUUGGUGCAUUUAUGCACACAAUAGUUGCUAAAAACAUUUGAACCUAGCUCUCUCUCUCUCUCUCUNNNNNNNNNNNNNNNNNNNNNNNNNNNNNNNNNNNNNNNNNNNNNNNNNNNNNNNNNNNNNNNNNNNNNNNNNNNUAUAUAUGAAUGUACAAAAGUGAAUGGAAAUGAAUGUCCUGAAAAUAAAUUCAAUCAAAGGGAAAUUGCAACCUGGUCCAACCCCUCCUCCACUAAUCACAAUCCUCUAUUCGUUUCUCUCUCAUCUCGCCAACAAUUUAGCGAUGGAAGCUUAACGAGCCCCCUAACGAGCGCUAAGGGCGGUGUUCUCCUCCUUUUAGCGACCCUAGCGAUCCGGUAGCGAGCAUCCACUCCGUUUUGUCUAAUUGUAGAUGGUUUUCAUUGUUUUCAUUUCCUAGUGGUUGGAGUGUUAGAUAUAUAGAAGGGCAUGAUUAUAAGAAGACAACUUUGAGCGAAGGUUUUUAUUAUUAUUAUUAAUAAUUUUUUUUAGUUUCAACAAUAAAUUAUAUCUUAAUUUAUUUAUAUUUUAAAUAACAUGAAAAAAAUUUAUUAAAACUUUUUUUUGUCCUUAGACAACUGUAGUAUCUUUAAAAGUAUUUUUUCUAGUAGGGAUAUGCAAAACUUAUAACUGAUAUGCAUUUACACAUUUAGUCAUUCAAGUUUUUUUUAUCCACAAAAGACCAUUAAAGUUAAAUUUUACCUAUUAAAUAUAUCAUUAUAUAACCUGAUAAAGAAGAAGCCAGUUGCUUUUAUGACGUGACAUUUUAAAUUAUAUUUUUUUAUAUCUUUUUUAUGAUGUGGCAUUUCUUUAUAUAAGUUUUGUUAUAGAACAUAUCAAUUGCGAAACAUUUGUUGUUCACACUCUCAUCUUCUUCACCAUUUAUCACAUCCUUAUCCUUGUUGUUCAUAUCCACAUCUUCUUCACCUCCUCCAUAUAAAUCACGUUCUAAUCGAUGUUUUAAACCUAGAAAUUUAUAUUGCAAUCGUUUUAUUCUACUAGUAAUUUUACAAUCAAAAACUCCCUAAUCCGCCUACUAGAGGUGUUCAUGAUUCUUAGAUCCCUCGCCAGAAAAAUAUCCCAACGACAAGUACACUGAGAAAAAAAACCAUCUAUCAAAGUCAAGAAACACACCUUUAACAAAUCUAGAAAACACACCAUCGCUUCUGUCUGGUUCUGUUCUGCCUAUCGUACCUAUCACUAUCGCUAACCUUCAAAAUAGGACCUUUUAUAACUAAAUGGAAUCAAUUUCAAAAAUUGAUGCCUCUCAUCCUCCUUCCUCCUAAUUCAGAAUAUGAACAAGGUGUGAUUAUGUUUUCAUGUGUUUCAAGAAAAAACCGAUAUUAAUUCUUCCAAAAAUCGAGCUCAGUUUGUAGAUUUCUUCCAAAGUGAUUUCAUAUACUAGAAAACAGCCAUGGAAACCACAACAGUUCUCACUUAAAAUUGAUCGAUUUAAUAAAGGUUAUUCCAUGGCUUCGAAGUACGUCUCACUGAAACCAUAGCAACCGUCUUGAUGGAAAUAGUAGCAACGGUCUUCGUGAAGAUCGAGUGGGAUGGAAGGGGACUAUCAUUGGAUUUUUUUUCAUAGAGAUACAAGAGCGAGUAGUCAUAAAUAUGAAAUUGAAGAUGACCAAGGUUAUGGCCUUCAUUGGUUGCUUGUGUUUUUGUGUUUUGAUUCCUCUUUCUUCAAUCGAUUGUAGGUUUAAAUCGAUGGGUCUAAAAAGAACUCAAAUCCUUCCUUAUUAUGAUUCAUGUUUUGUUAGAGUGCUAGAAAUUUGAGAGGAAAAUACGUACAAGGGGAGAGAUUAUUUUGAAGGGUGAAGAUGGCUUGCAGAAAUGAAGAAAACAAAUACAGGAGAAGAUAAUGUUGAUGGAUCCCUAAGAGAGAGAGAGAGAGAGAGAGAGAGAGCUCAAACAUAAAACAUGAAAUGGAAAAAUAAAAGCCAUAGGGAUGAAGUUUUGAUUUCUAUUUUUUUUUUUAAAAAAAAAACCCACAUAUACUAUGUUUUAUCAGUGAAACCGAAAUUAUAUUGGAUGAUUAGUCUAUUUAGCAGGUAAAACUUAAUUUUAAUGGUUUAUUGUGCAAAAAAAAAACUUGAUUGACUAAAUAUUUAAAUGCAUCAAACUUUGUUGUGCUACAAUCCCAAAAACCUCAUAAACUAUUUUAAUUCUACAAGACACCUUGGAUUAUUGAAACGUGUAAACAACAAACUAGGGAUGAGCAUAUGGACCGGGGAACCGGCCGGAACCGGUACCGGAACCGGAACCGGCACCGGAACCGGAACCCGAUGGAACCGGUCGGGCCGGGACCGGGACGUUAUUUUUGUGGAUUUUUGGAACCGAGAACCGGUAGGAACCGGAACCGGUAGAACCGGCAAAAACCGGAACCGUAUGAUGCUAUUUUUCAAGGAGCGGUUCCAACAUUUGAAGACACGACAAGAACCAGUAGGAACCGGGAACCGGUAGAACCGCCGGGCCGGUUCGGUUCUUGAUUUUGGCCGNCUGUUCUUGAUUUUGGCCGAAGCCGGUUCCCCGGUCCGGUUCGGUUCGGGCCGGUUCGGGCCGGUUCGGUCCUUUUGCUCAUUCCUACAACAAACUAUAUAUUUAAUUUUUAUCUUUUUUUUUAAACGACAAAUCUAAUCUACUCCCAAACUACACCUUAAAUCCACCUAUGUCAACGACGAGACUUGAACCCUCAAUCUCAACGAGAAAGGACAACACCGGAUACCGCUAGGCUAUAAGCCCUUUGAUAGGCUACCAACAAGUGCUUCUUCGGUUCUUCGGCUACUAUAAUAUUCAGAUUUAGGAAGUAUACGAUCCAAUAAAUACAAAUAUUUCACAUUAUUACAUAAAAUAAGUAAAUACAAUGUAUGAACACUUAGCUAAUCACCUCGUCUACUAGUCGCUUGUUAGUCUCGGUUUUAUAUAUAUNNNNNNNNNNNNNNNNNNNNNNNNNNNNNNNNNNNNNNNNNNNNNNNNNNNNNNNNNNNNNNNNNNNNNNNNNNNNNNNNNNNNNNNNNNNNNNNNNNNNNNNNNNNNNNNNNNNNNNNNNNNNNNNNNNNNNNNNNNNNNNNNNNNNNNNNNNNNNNNNNNNNNNNNNNNNNNNNNNNNNNNNNNNNNNNNNNNNNNNNNNNNNNNNNNNNNNNNNNNNNNNNNNNNNNNNNNNNNNNNNNNNNNNNNNNNNNNNNNNNNNNNNNNNNNNNNNNNNNNNNNNNNNNNNNNNNNNNNNNNNNNNNNNNNNNNNNNNNNNNNNNNNNNNNNNNNNNNNNNNNNNNNNNNNNNNNNNNNNNNNNNNNNNNNNNNNNNNNNNNNNNNNNNNNNNNNNNNNNNNNNNNNNNNNNNNNNNNNNNNNNNNNNNNNNNNNNNNNNNNNNNNNNNNNNNNNNNNNNNNNNNNNNNNNNNNNNNNNNNNNNNNNNNNNNNNNNNNNNNNNNNNNNNNNNNNNNNNNNNNNNNNNNNNNNNNNNNNNNNNNNNNNNNNNNNNNNNNNNNNNNNNNNNNNNNNNNNNNNNNNNNNNNNNNNNNNNNNNNNNNNNNNNNNNNNNNNNNNNNNNNNNNNNNNNNNNNNNNNNNNNNNNNNNNNNNNNNNNNNNNNNNNNNNNNNNNNNNNNNNNNNNNNNNNNNNNNNNNNNNNNNNNNNNNNNNNNNNNNNNNNNNNNNAUAUCGAUGGCCUGCUUCAAGAAAAGCUAAUCAGCUCGUGAAACUGAAAAUAGUCAAUGCAUGGAAACCCUUUGUUUACCACCAAAGCUCUAUCUAAUAGAUUGCAAUAAUUACAUAACAUUUAACACUUUCCCAAAAACUCUAUAUAAUAUAUAUGUAGAUAAGAAUGCAUGUUCACAGUUUACUCUCUGUCCCGACCUUUCCAUCUCUAAAGUUCUUCUCUACAUUGAUUCGAAGAGUUUUGAUCUUAAAACUUUAAGGGCUUUAUUGCGUGUGCCGAGAUAUUGUAAAGAUCAAUCAACCAACAGAAAAUGGUGAUUGAAGGACGUUAUAUAUAUAAUAUUUGUUGCUUCAAUAUAUUUUUCAAGGUUCUAACUUCUAAAAAGCUGCUUUUAUCAUGACAUAUCAUAGUUCCGAGGCUUGUGUCAUGGGUCAUGUUUUAAUAAAAUGUCAGGUAAAUUAUAUGUGUACUCCAACUGUUUUGUAAGAUUUAAAUAGUCAAAAUAUCAUGUUUUUAACAUUUUAAAAAAAAGUUAAAUUGUAUGCACUCUAACUGUUUGAUGAAAUGCAUAAACUAAGUUACCACGUUAUAUUCAUAUAUGAAUAUGUUUUCUCAGUAUAUGAUUAUUAAAACAAAAAAACAAAUGCGCAAGUCUGUAUGUUAUUCAUAUGUGAAUAGCAUAUAAAAAUUAUAUAUAUAUUUGUGAAAAUACCUUGUAAUAUUCAUAUGUGAAUAUACUGUGUAAUAUUCAUAAGUGAAUAUAUCAUCCAAUAUUCACAAAUGAAUAUACUAUGUAAUAUUCACAUGUGAUAUACCAUGUAAUACUAUGUAAUAUUCAGAUAUGAAAAAUAUUAUAUAAUAUUCAUAAGUGAAUAUAUACCAUCUAAUAUUCACAAGUGAAUAUACUAUGUAAUAUUCAUAUGUGAAUGUAUCGUCUAAUAUUUAAAUAUGAAUAUAUUAUGUUUAUUAUAUGCUAUAUUCAUAUAUGAAUGAUACUUAAAUUGUAAAAAAAAAAUUAAUCAUAGUUUUUAUUCAUAACUGAAUAACGAAUGUACUUUAGUAAAAACCUGAUUCAUUUUUAUUCACUUAUAAAUAACGAUAGCUGAAAAUAUAAAAAAAAAAUUUAUUUUAUCUUAAAACUAUAUCAAUAUGGAUGUCUAUUUGUAGAGAAUAAAAAAUCAUGAAUUUUGGUAUAUUUAAAAUCAUUUUUCGAUAAAAAUANNNNNNNNNNNNNNNNNNNNNNNNNNNNNNNNNNNNNNNNNNNNNNNNNNNNNNNNNNNNNNNNNNNNNNNNNNNNNNNNNNNNNNNNNNNNNNNNNNNNNNNNNNNNNNNNNNNNNNNNNNNNNNNNNNNNNNNNNNNNNNNNNNNNNNNNNNNNNNNNNNNNNNNNNNNNNNNNNNNNNNNNNNNNNNNNNNNNNNNNNNNNNNNNNNNNNNNNNNNNNNNNNNNNNNNNNNNNNNNNNNNNNNNNNNNNNNNNNNNNNNNNNNNNNNNNNNNNNNNNNNNNNNNNNNNNNNNNNNNNNNNNNNNNNNNNNNNNNNNNNNNNNNNNNNNNNNNNNNNNNNNNNNNNNNNNNNNNNNNNNNNNNNNNNNNNNNNNNNNNNNNNNNNNNNNNNNNNNNNNNNNNNNNNNNNNNNNNNNNNNNNNNNNNNNNNNNNNNNNNNNNNNNNNNNNNNNNNNNNNNNNNNNNNNNNNNNNNNNNNNNNNNNNNNNNNUAUAUAUAUAUCGUCUUAAACGAUUCCUUUAAAAAAAAAUGAUUUGCCACUAGUCGUAAAAACUUCAAACUUUACAUUGCAAUUAAGUGCUUUAUCGUUAUUUAGAACUAUUGUAUUUCCUUCUGUUUUACAUUGAUAGAAACAACCACAAAAUGUUAACUCACAUCAAUGUACAAAAUAAGCUUAAACAACAACUAUUAAAAAAUAAAUAAAACAAUAUUUACAAAAUCAUUAAUAAAAUAAACCACGAUUAUAUGCAUCGCCUCUCUGUAGGGAUGAGCAUAGGCGGGUACCCGCCUAAUUUGAUAAGAACCGGAACCAGAACCGGAACCGGCGGUUCUUGAAAUUAUGAAACCGGAACCGGAACCGGUUACAUCGGUUCUCAAAAUUUCAAAACCGGCCCCGGAACCGGCAGUUCCGGUUCCAAUACCGGGUUCCCAGUUUAGUUGUUUGUUUUAGAAUAAUCAAGAACAAAUCAACUACAACAAGAACUAGGUAAAACCCAUUUAUAAAAAUAUUAACUAUGAAUUCAGUUAAAUACGUAAGCAUGCAUAUUAACUGAAAGCUCCUUAUUUGGAAAAAGGAAAUGAAGAGGCCUUAAGGGGAUAUGAAGCAUGAAGUUCAUUUAUAUAACAAUGGUGAGGAACAGACUUUUGUUUAGAAGUGAUGUGGGAUGGAAAUAUGGGAUGAGAAUAAGGGUGAAGUUUAAUCUCCUCCCACUUUUGCCUGUAAGCAUUAAAUCCACAACCAUGCCUUCCUUAAAUCUUAAAAAAUAGGACGGAAAUGAAAUGAAAUGGAAUUAAUUUAACUUCAGCCACAUCGACCUUUUNUUUAGCUUGCUGUUAACAAAUUUUGCAUGUAAUUUUAAUAUAUCUUCAAUAACCAUUACAAUUAAUCAGUAUGACAAACGUAUGUAAUUUUAAAAUAGAGAUUAAUAAUGUGUUUGUAUUUUCAACUUUGCUAUAUAUAUAUAGGCGAGUAGCGGUUCCGGGAACCGGAACCGGGACCGCCUAANNNNNNNNNNNNNNNNNNNNNNNNNNNNNNNNNNNNNNNNNNNNNNNNNNNNNNNNNNNNNNNNNNNNNNNNNNNNNNNNNNNNNNNNNNNNNNNNNNNNNNNNNNNNNNNNNNNNNNNNNNNNNNNNNNNAGCGGAUACCAUGAUGCUCAUCCCUAGCUCUCUGCAGUUGUCCGAAAAGUCCCAUAUUUUAACUUAAAUCUUGAAAAAUGGUUAUAAGAUUAACCUCUUUGGUCUCUUUCUUUUAUUAAUUUAUUAUUACUAAUACCAUCUAAUACUAUAAAUUUAAUAAAUUAUAAAAAAAAAAAAUAGCGAGCACAAUGACCAUUCUACAAGAAUUUAAAAGUAAUAUUACUAUUUUGAAAUUAAAUUUUAAUCGUAUUUGAUAUUGUAUAAUCUAUAUAUUGAAAAGAAUUAAUAAAUAAACUUAACACAUAAAACCGGGAUACCAGUAGCCCUUACGUUUUCAAUAAAUUAUAUAAUUAUUUAAUAAAAAAAUAUGUAAUUUUCUAUAAAUAGCAUCCAUCCGACGGUAGCACCAGUAACCAUGGCUUCUUCUCUUUCCUUAAUGCUUUUCUGCUUCAUCUUCAUAUCAUUCGCCAUCUCAGACGCUGUUGUUCCCCCCGCCGACACUUUUCGGUAUGUCAACCAAGGCGAUUUUGGAGAAGCCAACUCCGAAUACGCCCCAAACUAUCGUGCUCUUCCUCCAUUCACAUUUCCUUUCCAGCUAUGUUUCUACAAUACGACACCCGGUGUCUACACUCUCAGUCUCCGCAUGGGGGUCCGAAAUGACGAAUACAUGAUGCGAUGGGUAUGGGAAGCAAACAGAGGCAACCCUGUUGGCGAAAACGCCACAUUCUCAUUGGGCUCCGACGGAAACCUUGUACUGGCCGACAGAGAUGGCCGGAUCGCAUGGCAAACCAACACCGCCAACAAGGAUGUCGUCGGUUUUGCCAUACUCUCCGAUGGUAAUAUGGUGCUGCGUGACUCCAAGGGUAGUUUCGUAUGGCAAAGCUUUGAUUCACCUACUGAUACUCUCUUGUUUGGUCAAUCUCUCCGGAUCCGAGGUCCGACGAAGCUCGUCAGCAGAGCUUCAACGACGAACAACGUUAACGGAGCGUAUAGUUUCGUGAUAGAGCCUAAGAGAUUGGGUUUGUAUUAUAAGAACAUGCUUUACUGGUCAUCCACGUUCCCGGAAGUGAGCCAACGAAAUGUGACUAUUGUUAAUGCAACAUUCGGCAUCGUGGAAACCGAAUACAAUAAUGACUUUAAUGCACUGAGGGUUGUUCUAUCAAACUCUGAUGCUCAACCUUAUGUGGACUUGGACUUACUCCGAUUCAAUAACACGUUAUCGUAUAUCCGAUUAGGCAUCGACGGGAACUUACGACUCUACUCUUAUCGUCCGAAUGUGGCUUUUGGCAUGUGGAGUCUGGUGUUCAGUUUAUUCGAUAAAAGGGAGAACCCGAGGGGGGAUAUAUAUGAAGACGAGUGCCAACUGCCUGAACGCUGCGGCAAGUUUGGGCUGUGUGAGGAUAGCCAGUGUGUUGGGUGUCCGUCGUCGGAGGGUGUUUUUGCGUGGAGCACAAAAUGCAACGUGAAGACGCCGUCUUGUAAAGCGGGUGGUUCUCGUUACUACCAGCUGAAAGGAGUCGACCAUUUCACUUCUAAAUACUCUCCGGGGACUGGGCCGGUGAAGCAGAAAGAUUGCGAGAGUAAAUGCACAAACGACUGUAAGUGUAUGGGGUAUUUCUAUCGCACUGAUCUAUCGAGGUGUUGGAUUGCUAACGAGUUGAAAACGUUGACGAGG
This 110878-nucleotide long non-coding RNA is filed under the name Lactuca sativa (garden lettuce). RNAcentral's name for it is "long non-coding RNA (LSAT_LNC007664)". Lineage: Eukaryota; Viridiplantae; Streptophyta; Magnoliopsida; Asterales; Asteraceae. The record is from RNAcentral.